This 96990-nucleotide long non-coding RNA is filed under the name Coffea arabica (coffee). RNAcentral describes it as "long non-coding RNA (CARA_LNC001064)". Lineage: Eukaryota; Viridiplantae; Streptophyta; Magnoliopsida; Gentianales; Rubiaceae. The record is from RNAcentral.
UUUUUUUUUGGGGUUAUGUUUUUCUGAGUCCAAAGUUCCUGCUUUUUUUUUUUUUUCUUUUUUGGGUUUUGUAUUUUAAUUCAGACACGUGUAAGGUGAAAGACAUCUGUGAAUACAAAAUUUUGUACAAGAAAUGGAAUUAUAGAGGUUCUAUUCUUUCUUGUAGUUGAUUUAGCGAAUUCUACUUAAUUAUUUUACAUCUUCAUGUCAUCAUGUUUUUUAGAACUUUUAUUAUAAGUGGUAUUAGAAAAUUAUCCUUCGAGGUUUCUUUUUCUUCCAAUUUGGAGCUAACAGUCUGAACUUUGACAAAGCCUUAGUAGUUUAUGAUGGCAACACAAUUUACUGCUAAACUUAUAUGUGGGGUUGAAUUGGAUCAAAGGAAUCAAUCGAAACAAGUCAAUUAAUUAUUCGUACUAUUUUCCUGUCCACGUGAUUACCGAAACUAACUACGAAAUUCAAGUGAAUUUGAGAUCGUUGUCAAAGAUGUUUGCGAAGGAAACUUAGAUCAGCAGCAGCUGGUUAUGAAAGCUGCAAUUUCUUAAUUCACCUUUUUAUAAUUUCGAAAUUGUAAAAGAUUGAAAAAUUAAAGUUAAGCUUGUAAAUUCACACUGAUACUGGAAGCAUGCCUGCGUAGUGCGUGAAGGCGAAAACUAAGAAGACCACUCAAUAGUUUGAUGCCACAUUUAGAUUCCGUUCGUUUGGUUUCAGAUCAUGAAAGGGAGUUGCAUAGUCUAGCUACAAGAACAACAUUAAUCGAGAGACUUCCAUAUGAGACGCAUAAAUUCCUGGUGCCCUUUGCACCCUAUCAGGUUACGAGUUACGACACCAGUAUUUCUCUCUUUUCCACCCCACCCUUUCCUCGAAGGCAAAUCAUCAUGUUUCCUGAUAGUGUUUUACAUGCUUGUUCAUAAAUAAUAAUGCGCAUGCAAACGAUAUUUUGAUUUGGAAGAAGUCAUCAUCAGAUCAUCUCUCUUCUCCCAUCAUUCUUACCCUCCUUUUUUUCUUCAUAAUCCGUGGGGCUUAGUCUUCGUACCACUGGCUGAAGGUACCGACAACCAAUACAACUAGGUUAUAGUCAACCGCAAAAAAUUCAGUCUUUUGAAUACAAACCUCAUUUUCUGGGGCUUAUGCCGAUCACAUGAGUAGGAUUUUCACUGCCUUGUUCAUCAUGUUCAUUACUACCUUAGUUGGGACCGUUCCCCAUAGAGAGGUGAUAUAUAUCAUGGUUUUUCUGGAUCAUCGUCAAGCCAUCAUGACUUGAAAUCUCUCCAAAACAUCUGCUCUAUAGACAGUUAGUCUUGGUGGAAAGCUGUUGGUUUCUUGCAUUAUGUGGAUUUAUAUGCUCCAAAUUUGUACAGGCGACAGCUGGUUGCUUAGCUUUAGUUGGGAUUUUCUGCUAGUAUUUUUCUUCAAAGUUGAUGGAAGUAAUUUAAGAGUUUAGCUGAAGUAGUAGUAUACUAUUUUAUAUAGAUGGCUCUUUCUCUGUGCUCUUCUUGUGUACAUUCAAGCCCUAUUGAAUAAAUAUUCGUUUUACCUAAAAAAAAAAAUAAUAAAGUAAGAAAUCUAGUGCUUCACAGCGGUCUUACAUUAUGCCUUGAUAUGUCAAUCAGUAAGAAGAUCUGCUAUUUUAGUGCUUAAUUACUUUCACCCUCGGCAGUUGAUAAAUAGGUAUGAAAGGAAAGAACAGGUAUCUAAGAUUUUCUUUAAUGAUUUUUAGUGGCAAUUGAUAGUGUGAGAAAACUCUGCAACAAUGGAAAUCAAACUAGGAAGUAAAGAAGCGCUACUCAAAAUUCUCAUAAAUAUUGACUCACAAGCUAAUAGCUCCACAGCAUUUGCAAAUAUUACCACAUUUCCCCUUCGUUUGCAUUCCUCAAGUGCCACUAGAUCCUGACUGACAUCUGUAUCCCGAACAGGAAAAAUGUCAUUACGUCAAAAAGUGCUAUUGAAGUUUACACAUCAAUUGGCAAUUCUAAGUGCUAUUAAAAGCCAAAAUUUCUUGUAGUCUUUAUCUCCAAUUUUUGCAAAUUAUAACCUUAAUUAAUUCAUACUUAUUUGGGAUGAGACAUUGACCUAAUGAUCAAGGUUGAGACCCCAACAUUAAAUCUCUUGAAAACUAAGCUUUACAAAAUGUGAGUUUACCCUAAUUAUAUGUUAGUUUACAUAUAAUCUGCCACAGCUCCCUUUUUCAGUUUUAACAUCCUUGAGCCGGUGGAAGCAGUCUAGACCCGCCUCUGCUAACUGCUGAAGUGCUCACUAGUACUAGACAAGCAUCUUCGCAGGUUCAUUCUUGUGGACUAUUACAAGUAUGUUAGUUUUCUAUGUAUCUGUGUGAGUACAGAUAAUACAACAUCAACAGCAUAUAACACCAUAGGCAGCUACGUUAUAUGCCAGGAGAUGGACCAACUCUAAAUUACGUCAUUUUUUCUUUCCCUUUUUCUCAACGAUGCAACAAUCUAUACUGCUCGUCUUAUGAGGGAGAGGGAGUUCAACUGGAGCUUGUCUGAAGGUUGUAUUGCGGAUGCUCUAUCAAAUUAAGGUAUAACGAGUAAAUUAUUGUAUCUAAAAUUGCAAAAUGGUAAUUCUCAGGAAGUAUUUGGUAAGACACACUGCCCUGUUUAAGUACCAAUUUUCUAAACAGAAUCAUCUAUAUAUGCAAUUAAUUGCAUAAUAACUCACUACAAAUAUACCUACAAAUAUAGCUACUAAAUAGACAAUAAAAUAGAUCACCAGAAUUUAACAAGAUUCGGCUAAUUUGCCUACAUUCUCGAAUACCAAUGACAACUUAAUAUUUCACUAGAAGAAAUAUUACAAAGAGAGAGAAGGAAACAAGUUAUAAUUCUCUUGCUUGGUAUAUUUUAUCCUAUCAAAGGAUUCUUCUAUUUAUAGUUCACAAAUGAGAAAAUUUCUAACAAAACUAACGCUAUGGGAUGUAGAGUUUGUGCACGAUUGUCAACAAUUGUAACUUUGUACAAUUGAUAAUUGUGGCUAUUGAGCCAAUAAAUCAACAAAUCUUCACCUUGGCGAAAUCUCUACAUCUUCAAUGCCUCACUCUUCUCCAAACAUUCGAUGGUGUAUUCAAAUGCGCUGUUAAGUGUCAAUCUUCAAGUUGUGCACAACAUUUAUUAAAUUCAAACAAUGUUGGAAUUUGAUAUUUGUUGUGCACAACUUGAAGAUUGGCACUUGACAACGCAUUUGAAAACACACCGAAUGUUGGGGGAAGAGUAAAGCAUUGAAGAUGUAUAGAUUUUGCCAAGGUGGAGAUUUGUUGACUUAUUAGCUCAAUAACCACAAUUGUCAAUUAUGUAACUCUACAAUUAUUGACAAUCGUGCAAAACUCUACAUCCCACAUCGUUAGUUUUGUUGGAAUUCUCUCAUUUGUAAACUAUAAAUAGAAGGAUCCUUUGAUAGAAUAAAAUAUACCUACAAAUAUAACUACUAAAUAGACAAUAAAAUAGAUCACCAAAAUUUAACGAAGUUCGGCUAAUUUGCUUACAUCCUCGGACACCACUGACAACUUAAUAUUUCACUAGAAGAAAUAUUACAAAGAGGAAGCUCUACCAAAUUAAGGAAUAAUGAGUAAAUUAUUGUACCUAAAAUUGCAAAAUGGUAAUUCCCAAGAAAUAUUUGGUGAGGCACACUGGCCUGCUUAAUUACCAAUUUUCUAGAUAGAAUCACCUAUAUAUACAGUUAAUUGCACAAUAACUCACUACAAAUAUACCUACAAAUAUAGCAACUAAAUAGAUAAUAAAAUAGAUUACCAGAAUUUAACGAGAUUCAGCUAAUUUGCAUACGUUCUCAAACAUCAUUGACAACUUAAUAUUUCACUAGAAGAAAUAUCAUAAAGAGAGAGACGGAAGCAAGUUAUAAUUCUCUUACUUGGUAUAUUUUAUCCCAUCAAAUGAUUCUUCUAUUUAUAAUUUACAAAUGAGAGAAUUUCUAACAAAACUAACGAUGUGGGAUGUAGAAUUUGUGCACAAUUAUCAACAAUUGUAACUUUGCACAAUUGACAAUUGACAAUUGUGGCUAUUGAGCCAAUAAGUCAACAGGUAGGAGGUGAAUCUCCGGACCAAAUAAGUGCGAUACCGCGCUCUCUAAAUUUCUUAAAAUAAAGGAAGCAUGGUGCUUCCUGUAAUGCACUAGGCAGGCGUCACUUAACUACGUUACUUAGCCUUGAGAUUUUAACACUUAAUAGUUAGUUUAUGUGAAUGGUUGCCGUCCUUGAACCCUUUCAGAUCAUGAGUCAAAAGACUUUUCUCUCUUUCUGUUUUGUUGUCAUUUUCCCCCCUUCUCCCUUGACAAGCUGAAAUUAUAAUGUUUCCUGAAAGCGCUACACACUUUUUUAUUUCAAAAGAUAUUCACAAAUUUAAUUUGAAUGAAGUCACCAUCAACUUUUUUCCCUCUUCAUCCCUUAUUGUAACUAUAAAUACAUGCACAACCUGUGAAGCUUCAUUCACACCACUAGUUACAGGGUACCAAACUAUCAACACAGGUUGCCUAUAAUCAGUGAUGGAGCCAGGGUUUUUUUGGAUGGGGGCAAAAUUUUUUCCUAAUAAAAUUAUCUUAAUAUAUUAUGUUCGAAAUAAUUUUCUUCUAUUUAAAUAUAUGACAUCUAAAAAUAUCAAAUAUUAAAUUUAAUUAUAAAGGUAUAUCUAUUCAUAAAUAUGCGGUACAGUCAUAAUAAAACUUAACAAAAAAGAUAAUCUUUGAUUAAAUAUCUUAUAACAUUACAAACCAUUUAAUUUAUACAUUAUGAGAAGAUGCUCUCCAAUAUAUCACCUAUGCAAAUUUCAACAUCUUUUCUUAUAAGUAAAUUGAGCUCUACGCUCUUUCACAGAGUUAAAUUCAUCUAUGAUUGAAUCACUGCUAAAUUUUCAGCAACUUUCUUUUAUAUAUAUACAGUUGGACAAUCAUUCAAGAAAUUAUCUUCCAUCUUGUUUUGGAGCUUUGUCUUGAUUAUUUUCAUAAUUGAAAAUGUUCACUCUGUAGUUGCAAUUGAUACAGAAAGAGUAAAAACAAAUCUGAUCAAUCUAUCAAUAAGAGGAUAUGUCACUGAUUUUUUGUCUUCACUAAGUCUUGACAUAACUCAUGAAUACCAGAUAAUUCUUGCAAGUCAGGAUAAUUUGAAAUGUUGAGUUCAAAAUAUUGAAAUUCUAUUAUGAGACCUACUAGUUCUUUCUCCAUAAAAUCAUUCGGAUAGAACUUCUCUGCAAGUUUACAAAUAUCAUCAAUCUUGAACAGCAUAAAUCCAUUUAUAGAAUCUAAAGCAGUGCUCAAAACAAGAAAUUCCACGGCAUGAUCAUUAAACCUGUUAUGUAACUCUUGCAAUUGAUAAUCAAUUGUUGCAAGAAAUAUAUCCACUCGAUAAUAAUGCUCCACACUAAUCUCAUCAUGAUGAUUUCGAGAUCUACCACGUCUUGCAAUAUAUUGAGCAUUCAUAUCCGGGAUAUCAAUUUAAUGUUGCUCACAAAAUAAUUUAAUUUUCACCAAAAAAUCAUCCCAUUUUGAAUCUCGAAAAUUCUUCAGUAGCUUUGUUGUGCUUGAGACAAGAUGCAUUGCAUUCAAAAUAUCUUGAGAUUUACGUUGCAAUGCUAUACAAAGAAGAUGAGUAAUUUUCAUAAUGUCUUUUUUAAAAUGCAAAGUGAAAACAAGCUCAAAGGAUAACAACUGAUUCAAAGCAAAAUUUGCAUCUCCACGUUAAGAGUAUGAACCUCCAUUUACUGCAAUGUUACUUAAAACCACACAAGUAGCAUUGAACAUUUUCAGUAAACUAGAAAUAGAAUUCAAAUGAGAAUCCCAACAAGUAUCUCCAACUCGUUUUAAAGUGGCAAUUUGAUUAAGCCCCUUUCCAGUUUCAAGUUCACCAUUAGCAAUCUUAGUAGCAAUUUCAAUUGCUUGAGCCUCCUUUAAUUCAUCAUUACAUUUGCUAGAUGUAAUAACAAUGUUGAUAAUAAAAACUAAAUUGGAGAAGAAUUGGUGAACAGAAGCUACUUCUCUAGAAGCUGCAACUAAAGCAAGUUGAAGUCUAUGGGCUAAACAAUGAAUGUAAUAGGCAUAUGGACAUUCAUGGCAAAUUAAAGCUUGCAAGCCAUUCCAUUCACCUCUCAUAUUACUAGCUCCAUCAUACCCUUGUCCACGAAUGUUAUGAAUGGCCAAAUUAUGUUGAGAGAGAGUAGAAAAAAUAGCUUCCUUCAAAGUUAAAGCCAUAGUAUCACGGACAUGAAUAACACCAAAAAACUGUUCGCGGAUGCAUCCUUCCUUAUCUACAUAUCUCAAAACAAGAGCCAUUUGCUCUCUUUAGGACUCAUCACGAACUUCAUCAACUAUAAUGCAAAAUUUUGAAUUUCCAAUUUCUUGGCAAAUUUUUUUUCUAACCUUAUUGAAAAAUAUAUAAAGAAUCUCCUUUUGAAUUUCAGAAGAUGUAUAGGAGGCAUUGGAUGGAGCAUUUUCUUGACCAACAUUUGCAACCUGUCCAUUAAUAGAGCAUAAUUAUAAUUUUAUAAAGAUAAUAACUAAAUGGAAGCAUAUUAUGAAUUAAAAAGAAUUCUUUUAAGCAUGGAUAUUAUAUAAAUUCAAGAAAGAAUGCAAAGCUGGAAGAAAAUCAUUCUUACCUUAUCAUUAUAAGAAGCCAACAACUUGAUAAGUUGAUGAAAGUUUCCACGAUUAAGAGAUUUUUCACUCUCAUCUCGUCCUCGAAAGGCACAACCUUGAAGUGCAAGCCAUUGCACUACAUCAAUUGAAACUUGAAGCCUUAAUCGAUUAAUCUCAACUUGCUCAAAACUUUGUUUCUCAAUGAAAGUUCCAAUGUGUUGAGAAGCAUACAUCAAAUCAUUGCAUGCAUUUACCGCAAUUCUGUGAAAUGAGUUAGGACUUUUCCCCACAUGUAGUAAGAAAGCACAAUUAUCUCCAUUAUUGACCUUCUUCCAAUUGUUAAAGCCACCAAGAACAAAUGCACUUAAUUCAACUCGUCAAUUUAAUUCACAUUUCAUAAGUUAUAUACAACUCUAGCAAAUUAUCAUAAUAAAUUAUAUAUAUGCAUUAUAUUAGUAUUUCUUUGAACCACAAAUAAAGUAUGGAAUCACAAUUUUAAAUGAUACACACUUAUUAAACAAUAAAAUACUUUAUACAUGUCAAAUUAUUUUUCUUGAGAAAAAUAUACUACAAAUGUAGUAUAAUAUCACAAUUUUGAUACUAGAAAUGUAUUUUACAAGAGCAUAAGAUAAUUGGAAAGAGGGAAAGGUUAAAUUUCAUAAUAAAUUAAUUAUAAAAAGGAAAAGGUUUGGUACAGGUACUAAAGAAUGGAGCCACUUCACUUCAAUUUAUUAGAUUCUACUUUCUAGCACCAAGUGACCAAGCCACGGAAGCCACCAAACGGUCCAAUUGUCCAAACCAAUCACCCGACACCUUUGAUGAAUCUUCUUUGAAUCUUUAUUGUAUUCUUUUCCAGUUCUCUUGUCUUCUUUGCUCUUUUCAUUUUACUUUUGUUGGCAACUACCAAGUACCACCGUGAAAGAAAGAAAGAAAUGAAAAGUGACCCACACUUUCCUUUUUGAUCCGCAGAACAGAGAAGUAGGCAAGUAGCUUACUUUGUAAGCUUUUCUUAGAAUAGUAAAGAUAAAAUAAUUUUUUAAAAUCCUUUAUCCAUUGGGCUAAGUGAUAUAUUUGUAUUUGGGCCAACAAAAUAAUUAUUUUUAUUUUAGCCCAUUAACAAUUAUGAAUUGGAUCUUUUUAGUCUAAUACAUCAUAUUGGAUCAAUUUACUAUGGAACAUCAAAUUAUAUGUUUAAUUUUUGAAAGCUAAAUAAUUAGUACAAUAAAAAAUAAAUAAAUAAAAAAAUUAAUUCAAAUAUGACUAAUUCAUAUAUAUAUAUAUAUAUCAACUUUCAUAAUAUAAACUAAAAUUAUAAAAAUUUAGGGGGGACCAAUUUUAUUUUACACACAUAUUUACAUAUUAUGAAUUAAAAUUUUUAAAACUUAGGCCCCCCUCUGCCCCCCUUGGCUCCAUUAUUGCCUAUAAUCAACUGAAAAAAAAGUCUGUCGAGGAUCAAUACUACCAUCAUCUUGCUGGCAGCGUCGUUGAAGUUGAUUUUAGUGGCCAUGUAAAAGUACUCGCUCAACUACAAAGGUAUUAUUGGGCUUGAAGUGAACUGUCUAUGGCGAUCAAAGUUUUCCUUUGCUUUUACACAUAUCACAUUUGUACCCAUGGAGCCUUUGUUUACCACAACCAACUAUAGAAGUGCACGAGCUAACGAGUCCAUUGUUCUUGCUAACACCUUGAGAAAGAUCAAUCCCAGUGGAGUGGAAUCGUAUUUAUUUUUCUGAUUACCAGUAUUGCAUAUCGCGGGGUUGAACAAGUUUAGGAAGGUGCCAUUCUUUCAACCAUCUUUCAUCCACAACACAUUUUUAAAGCCAAAAUCUUAAUUGAACUUACACCGCUCCAAAUCAUGCAAGAGAGAACUUGUUCAUUUUUUUUUCUUCAAUCUCUCUGUGUUUUUUUUUUUUUGGGAACUUAUGUAGUUCAUUGACUUGUGCACUCCAUAAAUCAUGUGACUUGUCAAAAAGGGUUAGGUGCUAAAGAGUUUGAAUUGUUAACUCACAAUUUUGCCUACAAAUAAUCAGGUCAUCCAAUGACAAAUGGACCAGUUUUUUUCUUGUUAUAAUUAAGAAUUUUAAAGCAAAGGAAGCUGGCGUCCUCUCAAGGUCAAGCAUAGCACAAGCACACUUAUAUAGCAAUUAAUUCUUAUACAUCUUCACGGACUUCACUCUCAAGAGAAAGAGAGGACAUGAAUAUUUGUCAAUUAUCUCAACAUGAUAUACUUCAUUGUAAAUAGUUUGUCCAUUUCUCAUACAUGCUAGUUGUGUAACUUAUUUAUUUUUUUAAUUAAGCAUCAAUAAUUUACACCUACUUCUACUCUUACAUUAUGAGAAAGGGAACAAAUCUGAUUGAAUCAUUAGAAAGUAAAAAUUGGAAGGGAACUAAACUACCUUUGAAUAGAGCUGCUAAAUGGAACGAGCAGCUCGGAAGUUCAAUUGAGUUCAACUCGGUAAGGCUCGAUAAUUGUGAUAAACGAGUCGAGUUCAAGUUUGAAAUAUGCUCGUUUAAUUAACGAGUUUCAUUUGUUAUCCGAGUAAUUCUAUUGGACUUGAUAAAGAAGGGCAUGUAUGUCAUUUCACAAUUCAAAAGAAUAAAAAUUAAAAAUUAUAGAUUUUUAUUGUGGUUAAACUCAUGCAAGUUCGAUUCAUUUGUGAUAAACCAGUUGAACUCAAACUCGAGUUAUACGUCUCAUUUGACAAUCUGACUUCAAACACAUUUUAAAACUUGUCGGCCUAGUCGAGCGAGCUUGAGUCGGCCUCGAGUUUAGCUGGCAAUCAAAUUCUAGGCUUGAUUGACAGCACUACCUUUGAACGAGACAAGUACCCUUCGGCGCGGUUGAAUUUGGAGAAGUCACGUAUGCCAAAUUAUGUGCUCGGCCCAUACUGAUAGGAAGCAAAUUAAUACAGAAAUGAGAAGGCAUCAUGUUGAGUUGAGUCCUGGUGGAUCCGGGAUAUAGAAUCGGAGCAGCAGUGCUAGCGGGAAAUUAUAUACAAAUCAAAUCACAUUUCAGAUUUUCUCUUUUCUUCAGUUGCUCGUUCUGAGAUAGAAUUCAAUUGUCUCUCCCUCCCAAGAAAGAAAAAGAAAGGAAAAAAAAAAAGAGAGAAGUAAAGAGAGAAUGGCGGUGGCGACUAAGGUAGCAAUCGAAGAUGUAGUGAAGCAAGUGGUAAAUGAAGACGAUGACGAACGAGAUACUUGCCACAUCGUUAUGCAGAGAUACUUCCUCCAAGAAUGGAAGAUCGUUAAGUCCCUUCUCGACGACAUCGUUGCUGCCGGACGCGUCUCCGACUUCUCCUCUGUUCGCAAGAUCGAUCCAUUGUAAAUGCUCAAUGCUCAAUGCUCACCUUCACCUCACACUCAUCCACACACUUGAUUCAUAUUAUUAGAAUCGAAUUAGAUUUUUUUUUGGAUGGAAUCAGCUGAAGUAUUCAAAGACAAUCUGAUAUAGGAAAUGGAUGUAAGAAAGUUUUUUUUUUCUUUUUUGGGUCUCGCAAUUUUUGGGAUAAUAACUUGGGGCAAUAAAGUGGGAAUCUUUCGUUGAGAUUCUCUAAUGGAAUGAUUGUCAUUGUACAAAGAUUAUUACUUGGGCAAAAUUUGUAAGUUUCGAAAAUGUAGAUUAAUACUUAUCGACUAGCUCCUGCUAUCCUAGUUGGAUAGAUGGUCAAGUGCUGCUUUCUAAUUGAUAACGGGUGAUUAACUAGUAUACAUAAUUACUUAUGCACGUCUAUCCUUCUUACAGCUUGUUUUUGGAGGAGAUUGUCAUUUGCGAUUACAGCUAAUUUCUGUUUCAGCUGAAUAAUUGUAUUGCUGCGUUCUUUGCUGCAAGUAGCCAACUUUCAGAAGCACCCAGAGCUGCUUCUGGAAACAGCCUUAGUUUUUUUGAACAUUUAAAGGAAAAAUGUGGUUUCAUUUUGUUUUCCGCAGAUUUUCUGUAAACUUCUUAGUCUAUUAACCAAUGGACAGGAUGUCUUCACAUAUUGUACCAUAGUUAUGAUUAUAAGUAAAGUGCUUUUUACAAGAUUACAUGAACUUGUUUGGGAGAAGGGGUAAUAUUCAAUGUGAAGAUUCUUAAGAUGGUUAGGAUAAGGCGGUGAAGAGGAUGUUCUAGGACUAUCUGAAUAAAUGUGUUAGAAUUUCAGUUUCUCAAAAAUUUGUUACUAUAUGCUUCAUAUGUUUUGUACACAUAAGGAGAAGCUUCUAGUAUGGAGUUUGUCGAUUGAAUUAUAGGAACUGUGGUGGACAAUCAGUGAUAAACUCUGUCAGAAAAUUUACUCAUCUAUUGGCUACUCCAGUUUGCGGGAAAAUCAGUACUCUGUCAUCUUAUGUCUAUUUAAAUUUUUUUGAAGCUCUUGUAGUGCAUGGGUGUAGCUAUUCCUUGACAUUCUAGAAUGUGCGCUUUUGCAGCUGGACAAGUAUCAGGAACAAAGUCAACUGGUAGAGCCUUAUCUGGAGCACAUUGUUCCUCCAUAAUGUUUAUUAUUCGCUCUCAAACCGCUGAACUAGGGGUGGCAUCAGAGGGAAUUCUUGAUGUGAUCAAACCUUUAUCCAUCAUAAUUUAUUCGUCGUAACAGUCUGUGGUUAUAAGGCUGUCAUCAAGUUCUUCCCACACCAGGUUUCUGAUUUAGAACUUGCAGUCAGUCUCUUGGAGAAAUGUCACAACACUGAUUCUGGAACAUCACUGAGGGAAGAAAGUACAGGAGAGAUGGAGGCAAAAUGCGUGAUUCUACUCUGGCUUUCAAUUCUUGUGCUGAUUCCUUUCGAUUUAUCAUCUGUUGAUACUAGUAUGGUCGAUGGUAAUAAUGUUGACAGAGGAGAGCUGCCUCCCCUUGUACAAAGGAUUAUAGGGUUUGCAAAAGAUUAUUUGUCAAGUUCAGGUCCAAUGCGUACAAUCGCUGGAUUAUUGCUCUCAAGGCUUUUGACUCGCCCUGAUAUGUCAAAGGCUUUUUCCAGGUCUCUUUCUUAUUUAUAGUAUCUCCACCCACUUGUGUCUUAAUUAAAUGAAAUGGUUUAGGCUGCUUAUUAGAUCAAGUGAUUACCAUUGCAGAGCUCUUGAUUUAUGCUCUCUUGAACUCUGUAAACAAAAGGAUUAUAGAACUUGGAUGAAUUUUUUUUUUUAAUAUUUAUCAGGUUAAAGGCAUUUAGUAUCUGGGAUUAAGAAACCUGCACAAAUGGCAAACACUCUUAAAGAUGUUAUACUGGUUGAUAGUGGACUGGCAAAGGCUAUAGUUAACCUUUUAUCCCCUUUUUUGACUUAAAGGUUUAUUGAACACUAAAAUAGAUCUAAUUAUUUAAUCUUCUAGACUAAACGAGGACAGUAAAUGAUUAUAGUGAGGUUUACCAGUUUAUCUGUUUAAUUUGGUGUUUUGAAGAGAUUUGUUUCAUCUUAGAUUCAAUCAACUUUCUACAACUUUGUUGCUUUUCUUAGUUAUUUAUUUUUUCAAAUUAAUUAAGUUGGUAUUCUUUCUUUGUUUCUUUUCUUUUCUGUUUUUAUUUUUUAUUUAUGUAUUUAUUUAUUUGUUUGCAGCUUUACUAAUUGGACCCAUGAAGUUCUAUCUUCUCAGACAAACGAUGUUACUGAUCAUUUCCGAUUAUUAGGUGCAGGAGAAGCUUUGGCUGCCAUUUUUAAGGUCUACUUUUGGUUCUCUUUGUCACUAUUCUGCAAAUAAAUGAUUUCUGGUUUAAAUUGGGAAUAAAAAAGGAUGUUUUUAAAAGUGUAACUGAUGUUAGCUUUUGGCAUUGAUGUUUCAUAUGUAUAUAAUUUCCAUUUGAUUUUGUUUAUGUCAGCUAGAUGUAUUAAUGCUAUUUGGUUUUGGAUUUAUCUUACAUCAAAUCCUUGGUUGUGGUACAUGUCCUUUUUUCCCUUUUUUUUUGGGGAGGUGGGGGGUGUUGGCAAGAAGGGGUUGGAGAGGCUAAAUUUUAGCUUGUCAUUGGCUCCUUUCAACUUAGUAUCUGCAUCUAAGAUGUUGUCCAUUUUUUGGCUAAAAGUCACCUUUGUGUUGCCCCUUUACAUGGCAUGCAUGUUUCAAGGCCUCAUUCAAUCUUCUUAUUACCAAAGCAAGGUACUAAAAAAUUGGACUUAACUUCACUAACAAGUAGAAAGUGAAUCAAUGCAUAACUGGGGAAAACACCUGAAGAACUAAAUUAUUUGUUUUCACUAAUACAUCUAUCUCAACAGGAACUUGGAUGUUAAUUUUCCAUAGUAUCCUUGUUUGUUAAUAACUGUUUGUAUUUUUGAGUCUUGGGAGUCCUAUUUUCAGAACUUUUUUGAAUAUGCAGACUGGCAGCCCUAAACUGCUACUUGAAGUGGUUCCAACUGUUUGGAGUGACACAUCAGCUUUGAUGAAGUCGAACACUGCAGUUCGUAGUCCUUUACUUCGCAAAUUCUUAGUGAAGCUAUCUCAGCGGAUUGCACUUGCUUGCCUGCCUAACCGUCCACCAUCAUGGCACUAUGUGGUUAGAUAUGCUUCAUUAGUUUUAAAAUCAAUCUAUUUACAUCUUACAGUUUCUUCCUUUGAUUGUCUUUGAGUUUAUGGUGUCACCUCCAACUUUUCUUUCCAUAUAUUCCAUUCUCGAUGUCCAGAAUUGUUUUCAAACAAUCUAUGAAACCUAUUCUCAUCGCUUUCUUGAAUUGCCUCCCAUCCUUUGUUAGUAAAAGAUGAAAUACUUCAAAUAAAUGUAUCCCAUAUUAAGAUUGCUAUGUGGUAAGGGAUCAGAAUGCCUGAUAAUGUGUUGAACUAUUCAGGGGUGGCUUCUUGCACAAGUCAUUGAUGUGACAAGGCAUUCUGCUUCUGUUUUUUGUCAUUGACUACUUCAUCAUUCUUCCAAAAAUGACAUCUAUGGUGGAAUCUUAGAGGCUUUAAUGGUUUUGGGAGCUUUAGAUCUUUUGUCUUGGUUUUUUUUUGGUUCUCUAUUUAUGCUAGUAUUCUGCUCUCUCUGUUGAAAACAAGCUAUUAUUUUUAAAAAAAUUCUAAAGUUUCUGUGUACAAGAAUCAUGUUUUAACUAAGACAUGUUUUGUGUGUAGGGUAGAACUAGCACUCUUGAAGAGCAUAUCCCUUCAGGUGUCCCCAAAAGUGAUCAAGGCAAUGAUUCUUCAAAGAUUUUUUCUAACUCUUGCGACCAAGAUGAAUGCUGCCCUCAAGAGGAAGAUAUGGAUGUUCCAGAAAUAGUGGAAGAGAUUAUUGAACUACUGCUUUCAGGACUGAGAGACACGGUAUGUUUGCAGGGUGAGAUUCUACCAUAAUCUAACAAUUCUUUAAGAGCUGUCUCCAGCAGUUUGUUUGAUGAUGACCUAUAAUUCAGGCAGCGGCUGAGACUGCUGCACUGAGGCAGCUGUUUUCUGCCUUCUCACUCAUUUCCUGAGAAGCUGUAAACACCAUUUAAGUAUUUUCCAAUCAUGAGGUCCUUUUGCUGCCACCCAAGUGCUGGCAAUUUGAAGGGCUUGCAACUCCUGUUUAUAUCCUAUAUUCUCUUUGCUUGUAAUGUUCCUUGCAAAGAUUGUUGUAACAUGCAUUUGAAACUGAAGUUUGUGUCAAAAGUUUAUUAUGCUUGACCCCUUACGCUAAAGUAGCUGUUCUUUUUCCAUAGUGAACAGUAGAUGACUUGAGCUGAGUUUUCAGACUCCCUAUGUAGCUUAUGUACCAGCAUUGAAUGAUGUAUUUCAAACAGACAGUCAUGAAUGACAACCUAUUGGGUUUUUGAGUGGUUGAUAUGUGCUAAUUGUUUUAGUGGCUGGGAUUCUGUAAUUGGAUGUAUGACCAAGCUUCUUUCACACUUAGUAUUUUCUCACCAUGUACACGUGGUUGUGGUAAAAACUAGAAUAAGCAGAGUGGAUUCAUGGUUGACAGUAAAAGUAGAAACACCGAGUGAAGGUUGUCUGGCCUGCUAGAUAGAUUCCUGGUAUUUCUCUCAUACUUGUGACAAUUGCGAGCUUGUUUAGAUUUGAUAUGGUAAGUCAGCAAAUGUUGUUUUCUGCUACAAAUUAGGGCAUUUGCAAGGUUUGAUGGCAGCUUCUAGAAUCAAAGGUUCACUUCUUUCAAUGCAUUGUGUCGUAUCUUGAAAGCAUGCUUAACAAUUGUGACUGCUGAGUAAUAAGCAUCUAAAUGAAUUUUGAGAUAAAUUGUUGGGAAAUUUCCAAAGAAUCAAGUUCUUGAUGAAUAAUGUUUUCAUAUGAAGGCCCCAAAAAAAAGUAUUGUAUAUGAAGUCUUAUGAGUUAAUGUAUCCAUUGAAAUGCUCCUUAAAUUUGUUAUCUGUUACAAGUCAUAGAAAUUGGAUGCAUUCUCUUGCUUCAAAAUUUUGCUGUGUUUUGUUUAUCAAUUUUCCUUUAGUAGAUUGCACAAAGCAUUUCAAGAUGUUGACAAACAGGUAACAUUUAUGGAUAAAGUAAGCCUUGUGAUUUCUGUUUUCAAUGAUGAUGUGAAUGAGUAAAUCUCCAAACCAUAUUACCAGCCAAAAGUGCCAGCUAUUAGCAUGUUGGAAACUCAUAGUUACUAAGGACAACAACAUUGGUUUUGCAUGAGAGUUAUAGCUUGACCAGUUUCAUGCGUUUGCCUUGUUAGUUGGCCUAGAUGGUCAAACCAAGAGCUGGUUAUUCAGCAUCCUGCAAAAGGAGUUGUAAACUUCCUUUCCCUUCAGGUCUACGGGGCCAAUAGUGGGACUGGUUGCCUGCCCACAAACUGAGAAGGUUAAGUGCUGAAUAAAUUCCUAGGUGCAAAUGUUAGGAACUUAAUUUGCACCUGAUGGUUAAAUCGAUAACAUGUAUAAAUAGGUAUACAACAUUUUAUUAUAAUGUGUUAAUAGGAUUACUUUUUUCUAGUCUAUUACAAGCGAACCUGAUAAAAGGAUUUCACUGGUGGUUGCAUGGUAAUUAUCCCGGCUUGCGUGUGUAAAGAAAUUUUUCCCUAAUGAUGUGUUUGAGAUUUAUUUAAUGCUUUUAUGAAUACUAAGGAGCAACAACAUAAAUGGUAUGCAUUUGUGGGCUAAGGCUGUCAGGUUACUUAUUACUUUGGUAUAGUUACUUAUUACUUUGGUAUAAAGGUUUUACACCUUUUACUUUAUCCUUUGAUAUUCAUGGCUUAGAGCUUCAUGAUAUUCUUGACUAUUGCCUUUGAGAAAUAAGCCAUUUUAUACUCUGUAACAGGGUAUAUUUUUUUAAUCUCUUGGCUUCUCAUGUACACAAGCCUUAAGUUUGUGCUCCUUUAUUCAAUUUAUUAGUGCUUUUAUGUGGUUAAGUUUUCUGCAUUUUAAACAUUCACAUUAUUUACAUACAGAAAUUACUUAUCCUUAGUUUCUUCCAAUGUUUGUGUAAGUCAGCUCUCAUCAAGUGACAGUUUUGACAUUGGUGACUUUUUAUGAUUUUUAUGAUGUAGGAUACUGUUGUGCGCUGGUCUGCUGCGAAAGGUAUUGGUCGCAUUACUUCACACUUAACUUGCACACUUGCAGAUGAAGUCCUUGCAUCUAUACUGGAGCUAUUUUCACCUGGCGAGGUAAGCUGAUGCAGUGUUAUUUAGUCUGUUCAUCUACAAUUUAAUAAGUAGGAGCAGUUUUUCAAAUAUAUUUUGACAAUACUAAAGUGAAAUUGUAAUGUAAAUAUAAAUUAAAGGAAAAUAUAGAUAUGUUAACUAAAAGUUUGACUUCAUUAAGGCUUUGUUUGGAUGGAAAGUGUAUCCCUAGGUUAUUUGAAGUGAAGCAAAUAGUUUGCUUUACUUUCGGUGCUUGUGUAACAAAUUGUUGGGCAUUCUCAUGGUAAAGAGUAUGAUCCUUGAUGGCUUUCUAUAAAAUCUUGAAAUUCUGAAAGACACAAUGUAUAGCAAUUUUCUUUUUCUUUAGGAAAUUAACCAUUCACUUUCAUGGAAACCCUGGAUGCUUGCUGGGAAAUUUAGCAAACUUUGCCAUUCUUUCCUUUUCCUUUCCCAGAUUAUUUGUUUAAGAAUACCUGUGGAUAACAAUUAUUAAGUUUGUGCUUGAGUGCUUACCUCCUGGUAAUGUAUGAAUCUAAGCAAACUUUGCUUCAGUUAAUCUCUUACUUUUAUAUGUUAUACUGUGUCCUCAUUUGGUAGGGCGAUGGUUCCUGGCACGGUGGUUGCUUGGCCAUGGCUGAAUUGGCACGAAGAGGAUUACUUUUGCCAUCAAUUUUUGUAAAGUUGUGCCAGUUGUUGUGAAGGUUUGCAGCUUCUGUCAUCUCAUAUUUUUCUCUUAUUGCUUUUUAUCAAGAUCGUGAAGUUGUUUUUUUGCAUUUAACUUAUAAUAUUGUCCAUUGUAACUAUUGUCCCUAUUUGUAGUCCAUUGCUGUUAAAGGGGGAUAAAGAACUACUCUCUCUGUCCCACUUUGAUAGUAAGCUAGAUUUAUUCUUCCAAAAAAGUUAACUUUUCUUAAACUAUGUGAAAAAAAAAACCAAACCUAUCAAAGUGGGAUGGAAGGAGUAUAUUGAAAAUGCCUUAUUCGUCUAAGGAGGAAAAAAUGAAGCUGUUUGUGCUUCAUUAAAUUUGCAAGGAGGAAAUAAACAGCUCAGUUAUAUUUGUGGUUAUGUUAUAUUAUUUUUUUAAAAAACCCAAUAUUGCUAAGUGUUAUCCCUUCUUCUGCCCCAUGUAGAUAGCUAAGUGUUUAUCAGCUGGAAGCUGUAUGAGCAUUGUCGUCCAUGUCAGGUUAUGUGAGAAUAUUGCUUAGCGUUUGUUGUUUUGGGGGGGGGGGAGGGUGUGUGGGGGUGUUGGGGCCUGGCUUUACGGAGGGAGGGUGGAAUGUGGUUGCCAAUUUAGUAUAUAUGGCCCUGCAUCUGAAGUUCUUGGCGCCCUUCAGGAGGCUACUUUUGUGCAUUUUUAUGCAAUCUGUAUAUUUUAAGCCUUUAAGGUGUAGAAUGAUGAGAAACAAAAAAAAUUCGUGAAGUAGUCAUUGGAAAAUUAGUGACUACACCUGAAAACAAAUGAAAAUAGAGCCUGAAAGAAUUCUCAUUGCAAAGAAUUUUGAAUCUUUUUAAAUUGGAUUAAUUGUGUUUAUUUGUUUGGAAGUUUGGAAAUUGAGCAUGAAGAACAAACUGUAAGUGUGUGUGCUUGUGUGUGUGUGUGAGAGAGAGAGAGAGAGAGAGAGGGAGGGAGGGAGGGGGAGAGAGCGAGAGAGAGAGAGAGAGAGAGGAGAGAGAGAGUCAAGGAAAAAGAGAAAUGGAAAUAGGCCAGCAGAAGGUGCUGAGAGCAAUUCUUUUGGGGUUUUGGAAGUGUGUGGGCAGGGUUUGGGGGAUUGGAACAGAGGAAGAAAGAUAUUUUGUUUGAUUAUUAGAUUUACAGAGGUUGUCAUCUUUGCUGACAAAUUUUCAUGCUGUCAAAGUGAACCGUGUAACCUAUUUGUUGGUGAGAUUUUAUGUCAAUCUGAUACAUUCUAUGCUAUUAUAGACAGUUCGACCCUUUUGAUUUUAAGUCAACAAUCAGACACUUAGUAGUCCAAAAUGAUUAUUUUGAAGAAGCAUAUGCCUGAAAUUUACCCUCUGCUCAAUGCGCUUCAGUAUGACAUGUUUUCUACGGCGUUAAUUAUUCUUAAUGAUUUGACCUCAGAGUUUAUUUUACUUGAAUUUUUCUUCUUCUAAUUCAUGCUUUGACACUUUAAUCUUGCUACGCUCAAUUCAGACCAUACUCACUGAAUUAUUGUUUUGGAAGAAUUCUACUUUAGUGCAACCUUUACACCAUUUACAAGAUCUUAUUGGGGGCUUGUGAAACCAUCAUGUGCUAUGUUCCUACUAUUCCUGUCCCUGGUCUCUUGUUUUUCCUUUUUGUCUAAAGUGUAUGACUUUCCCCAGGAGCUUGGAGUGGUUGUGCUAUAUUACUUGAUUAAUGUCAUUGAUAAAAAUACUGUGUAACAGGCAUUACAUUACGACAUUCGAAGAGGUCCACACAGUGUUGGAUCCCAUGUACGUGAUGCUGCUGCAUAUGUUUGUUGGGCAUUUGGCCGCUCAUAUUAUCACACAGAUAUGAGAAGUGUACUUGAACAGCUGGCUUCCCACCUCUUAACCAUAGCUUGCUAUGACCGUGAGGUGCUCAAAUCAUGAUACUGUUUUCUGCUUUUCUACUGUAUUUAUGUUUGUCCUAAAAAGAUACUUAUUCAUUUACUAAAGAUGGUAAAAUUAUGAUUCUAUUAAAAGGUUAACUGCAGAAGAGCAGCAGCAGCUGCUUUUCAGGAGAAUGUAGGGAGACAAGGGAAUUUUCCCCAUGGCAUUGAUAUUGUGAAUACAGCUGAUUACUUUGCACUCUCUUCAAGGGUAAACUCCUAUCUCCAUGUUGCUGUCUGCAUUGCUGAGUACGAUGACUAUCUUCACCCUUUUGUGGAUGAAUUGCGGCAUAGCAAGAUCUGUCAUUGGGUAUGCUAUAUCUUUCUCCAUAUCAAAAGUUGGUCUUCAACUAUCAUUUGCCCUAUUUCUUUAUUCUAAAAGUUAAAUCAAGAAAGUUCUUAUCUGUAGGCCUCUUGUAUGUUUUUAUUAGAUUCCAAGCUUUAAAAGAUUAGGACAAAUAUAGUAACUUAUUUUGAUCAGAGCUAUAUAAUCAACAACCUAGAAAAUUUUCUUCAGAUCUUCUCCUAAUGUUUCCUUGUGCUGCUGAGUUCAUCACAAUUUUGUAAAAUCAGUCAAAAAUCUCAUCCUGAUCGCAAUAUAUUUUUAUUGGAUAGGCCUUUGGAUAGAGUUCAAUCUAGGCAUUUAAAGCAAAUCCUUAUUGUAGGGAGUGGGCCAAAUGCCUUCCAAAUGAACAGUUUAAUAUCAUUUUUUAUUUCCCAAAUUAGUCUUGCAUUGAAAACUAGAGUACAUGUUCAGUGUUAGUUGCCUUGUUUUUUCACUAACUAACUGACAUUCCAGUCUCCUCCAUUUGAGCACACUCAUUGGUUUUGCCUCGAUCACUAGUGCUAAGUUUCUUAUUUUUAAGUAUUUCAUCUUCUUUGACUCCAUUUUGUUCUCCUGAGUACAUUGACCAAAAUGAAAAUUAGGCAAAGUGGAAAGGAGAAGCCUUAGUCCUACAACAGUGUCUUAUUCUACUUGUCUAAGUGGGACAAGAUAGGGAUUUUGCAGAUUUCCUGUAAUUUCCUGAUAGUGCUAUUGUCCAUAUCGAAAAUUACUGACAACUAAGUUGUCUGUUUAUUUUUUUGUGAACUUGAAUCUUGUUUGAAGAACUUAAUAGCUGUUUUGUGCCUCAUAUUGUUGCUUGGCUGGAUAUUCCAUAGAAGCUCAAUUUAUCAUUGCUAUAUACAGGACAAAGGUUUGAGAGAGCUUGCAACAAAUGCUCUUUCUGCCCUUGUAAGAUACAAGCCUGAUUAUUUUGCGGGUGUCAUUCUUGAGAAAUUAAUUCCUUGCACCCUGUCAUCUGAUUUAUGCAUGCGGCAUGGUGCAACUUUAGCAGUUGGAGAAGUUAUUUUGGCUUUACACAAGUGUGGCUAUCUUCUUUCAACAGGUUGGUUCUCAUCUGCUGAUUUGAACCUCACUUUGUCUAAUUGGUUCUUUGCUUUGUCUAAUCGGUUCUUAUCAAGUGUUACUUCAUAGUUUUCUUAAUGCAGUUUUCUUUAAAUUUUUGACUUGCCUUCAAGUACUUUUGGUGCUGGUGUUGGUUUCUUUAACAAUUUACUUCAAUGCCCAUAUCUAGUUAAAGUUAUGAAGAAAAAUUUGUUCAAAGAGUUGAUUUGUCUCAAUAAAUAUGUGUAUCAAUACUGAGAAGUUAGUGGCUGAUCAGCGAUGAACGGUUUAUUGUCAUUUCUCCUUUUAGACUUUGAUUCGACAGACUAAUAAAUAGCCAAACUCAACUGAUACUUGUCUCAUUUGUACUCAAAAGUUGAGAAGCAGUCAACCUGAGCUUGUUUAUCCCUUGUUUAACAAUGCAUCAGGGGUUAUGUUAAUUAAGAAUUAGUAGGAGAUAUGGACGUUCCAUGGCUAUCUGGGGAUUUGUCACACUAUCUUUAUAAGUGAUACCAUCAUUUACAUUGCUUAAAUGAAUGCAUGAGAACUUCAGAUCUGUUAGUUCAUAGGUGAAUUAGUUGGUUUUUUACCUUAGAUGAUGGGAUAAAUUUCUCCUAAAUCUUUUUAAUUACGUAGAGCUUGUAGUUUGUCUUUAGUGUGUUUGUGCUCACAAUGUUAUACCAUAAAAUUGCUGACCCUGCUUCAUUAAUAUGAUGCAGAUAAGCAAAAGCAAAUUGCUGGUAUAGUUCCUGCAAUUGAGAAAGCGCGUCUUUAUCGUGGGAAAGGUGGAGAAAUAAUGCGCUCUGCUGUUUCACGCUUCAUUGAGUGCAUUUCCUUGGCUCAUAUACAGUUGACAGAGAAAAUAAAGCGAAGUUUUCUUGAUACUCUUAACGAGAAUCUGAGACAUCCUAAUUCUCAAAUACAGGUUUUGCAACUUGUGGAAGUAUUAUCAGUGGUUUUAUGAAAAGUUAAUUUCCUGUAUGAACUCUCUUCAUUGUGAUGUACAGCAUGCUGCUGUUGAAGCCCUGAAGCGCUUCGUCUGUGCUUACCUUGUUGGAUUGGGAAAUAAAAGCAUUUAUGACAUUUUGCCGAAAUACCUUGAACAAUUAAAUGAUGCUAAUGUGGCUGCAAGACGAGGAUCUGCACUUGCACUAGGUGUUUUGCCUUCAGACAUUCUUGCUAGUCAAUGGAAAGUUGUACUUUUGAAGCUCUGUAGCUGUUGCGAAAUUGAGGUAGAGAUUACUUAUGUUGCCUCAACUACAGAAAAUCUAUAGAAAGCCAUACCUGUGAUUGAACAAUUCUUGAUGUGCAGAAUAAUCCUGAAGAUCGGGACGCUGAGUCACGGGUGAAUGCUGUCAAAGCACUUGUCUCGGUUUGUGAAACUUUAACUCAGGAAAUUGAGCAUUCUAGUUUCUUCUCUAGUGAAGAUACUGUUUCUUUUCUUUUAUUUGUGAAAAAUGAAGUUAUGCAGAGUCUGUUUAAAGCUCUAGAUGAUUACUCUGUGGACAAUAGAGGUGAUGUAGGCUCUUGGGUUCGUGAGGCUGCCAUUUUUGGCAUUGAAAAGUGUACAUAUAUUCUAUGUCGUAGAAGUUCCUUGGUAUCUAUAAGUCAAUUACAAGAAAGUAAAUCCAUUCCAGAAUGGCAAAACGAAGAUAAUAUUCCAGAUGAUGAGGUCCAAUCAUAUUUUGAUGCAAGUCUUUCAACUACUUUGGUUGGUGGCCUUGUUAAGCAAGCGGUGGAGAAGAUGGAUAAGAUAAGGGAAUUAGCUGCUAAGGUUCUUCAAAGGAUUUUGUAUAGCAAUACGGUACCAGUUCCAUUUAUAGCUUGCCAAGAGAAAUUAAAAGAUAUAAUUCCUGAAAAAGCCGAUUCAGAAUGGGGGGUAAGUAAAGCAAGUUAUUUUAUAUGAAAAAUUCAACUUCAAUAUAUUUUGCCAAACAUGCCAUUUUAUUUUUAUUUGCAGGAACCAGCUUUCUUAUAUCCUCGGUUUAUUCAGUUACUUCAGCUCAGUUGUUACAGUAAAUAUGUGAUAUCAGGGUUGGUUAUUUCUAUUGGUGGACUGCAAGAUUCUUUGAGAAAGGUGUCACUGAGUGCUCUGUUGGAUUAUCUUCAAGGGAAAGAAGCAAAGGAUGGGGAGUUGAGUCUCGCCUCUGAUAUUCUUUGGGUUCUUCAGAAUUACAAAAGAUGCGACAGAGUCACAGUACCAACUUUAAAGGUACUUGGGGUUUAGGGUUCUCAAAAAAUGAUGGUUAUAUUUUGGUUUAUGUCAGUGUUGGAAUGGUCAAUUUACUUUCUGAAUUAUGUAAAAGCAUCUUCUAAUAUUUUGUGUACAAACAUGGCUCUCAAUACUUGAACAAGAAAAUAAACAUUCUCAGAUUAAAAAUAAAAUAGAUGCCUAAAAUAAUUCUCAGGUAGGAGUGCAAUGAAACAGAUGUGGACCUCUUAGUUGGAAGGCUGGUAUAUUUAGAAUCAUCUGCACUUCUAUUUUUUUUCUUCUUCAAGAAGUAAGAGUAAAUAAAGCUUUUUUAUGAUAGGCAUGCUUGUAUGGAGUCAAUAACUUUUGUAUGAUUCAAUUGUAACUGCUAUUGAACCAUGAAUUUAAUUUUAUGCUCAACAGAAGAACAUCAUUUGUUAAAGAAAGAAUACGAAUAAUUUAUUCUUUUAUUCAUUCUGGUGCUAGAAAACACUCAUCCUCAUGUUCUGUUGAUGUCCUGAGAAAAGUGGAGUUGUUUUCUUUUCUUUCUGCAGCUUAUGGUAAGAAUAUGGAAGUUUUUGUUACCGUUAUGUUUUAAAUUUUUAAAAAACUUGAAGAAAUUGAAGAAUGAGACAUUUUGUUUGUUAUACCUGGAUAUGAGGUAGUCUACCUUCAUUUCAUCAUCCUGUCCAUGGUGAGUGCUGGUUAUAAAUCAUGGAUGAGUGAUCCCUUUAGUAGGCUCAAUGCUACGCUGAUAAAUGUGUUGCUGUUUUAAUUGUUAUUUAAACGUGAUGCGUUUCGCACUGCAGGCAUUAAAGAGAGUAUUUAGCCCUUAUUCCCUAAGACCAGUUGACAUCUCAAUUAUAACAAAUUUUCAUUUCCUUUAGAAAAUUGCUUUUCUUAGCUCUAAAUCUGUAUUAACUCCAUUUUGUGUGUUUGAGUGGUCAAUCUGUUGCACUCAUGAUUCAUUUGGCUGUUUUCUUAUCUCAUAAUUUUUCAUUUUUCAUGUUUAUAAUUUUCCUUUUCAGACUAUUGAGAUUCUUUUCAGCAAAAAGGUGUUCUUAAACAUGGAGGUCAGUUGAUUCUCCAUAGUGAAAUGACAUAGCUUUCCGUACUUCAUUUGUAAAUAUACUUUAUUUCUCCCUUCUCCCUAAUAAAAUGGCUUUCUUCCUAAUAAUCUUUUAGGCAUAUACUCCAAUCUUUUGUGCUGGCAUUCUGGAUUCCAUCACAGUAGAGUUGAAAGGAUCUAAGGAUUUUUCGAAGUUAUACUCUGGGAUUGCAAUUCUUGGAUAUAUUGCUUCGCUUUCAGAUCUCAUUAAUAAGCGGGCCUUCACGCAUCUUCUGACUUUUCUCAGCCAUAGAUACCCCAAGGUAUACAGCACUAGAAGGUUCUUAAGAAAUGGUCUAUGAUGUAGAAUUCUCCUACUGUUUUUCCAGUGUUGAUGUGAUUUCUUCUGUGGCUGUUUAUUCAUGCACUGUGAUCACCUUGUGUGUGCAGAUUCGCAAGGCUACUGCAGAACAAGUGUAUCUUGUCCUCCUGCAAAAUGGGAGUUUGGUAGCAGACAUAAAUUUGGAGAAAGCACUUGAUAUUAUUCAGAAACCUGUUGGGAAGGUGACUUUGAUGAAGUAAAACGUAAAAAGUUAGAACUCUGUGAUAUGGCAGAUGUUGAAGCUGGUCAGCUUCCUAAAGCUACCAGUGAACAAAACAACACUGUACAGAGGCGUGAAACACUUGAUGAAAACGCGUCAUAUUCCUCAUUAGUUGAAUCAGUUGGGUUUUAGAUUAUUCAGUCAAAACCAUUUGAGGAAGGAGAAAGAUGGUAGGGGUGUUUAUUAUGUAAGAAAGAUGCUGCGAGGAAUUGAAAUCUAUUGCGUGUCUUUUCUUUUUCAGUAUGUGAGUGCUCAUCCGAUCAGCCACCUUUUAUUUCAAGAAUUCUUGCUAUUGCUAGGACUUUGCAUCAGUCUAAUUGCAGCUUGACCUGCAACUCUCUCAUCUUGGCAUAUUUAAUUUCCUCGUGUUCGAAAUGACUUUGGCUUGGGUGCCACUUUCUGAAAAUAGGCUUGAACGGGCUGUUAUUGAGGCUGUUGCCGCAGAUGGUGUGAGAGCUGUUAUUGAGGUAACAAAAGCUUUCAUGCUGGUGCGUUAGGUAAGAUUCUGAGACUGCAGUAGCGCGGAUGGCAAUUUGGCUGGCAGAGCCUUCUGUUGUGUCAGGUUUCGAAGGACAAGUUGAUGCUCUUAAUGUGAUCUAUAUACUUCAUCGGUCCUAUUGCUGAACAAAAUUAAGGGCUGUAUUGUAUGGCUAGAGGUUAGCAAAGUGUAAAUAAAAUAGAGAGGGAGAAGUUAAGUGCUGCAGACAGGAGUAAUGAGAGUGCAUUAUAACAACGUAAUUAUUGAAUCAGCAUCUUUGAGCUUUCUAAAUCACAUUAUAAAUCUACAUAGACUGUAUUAUUAGCACACAGUCAUUUAACUCCUAAGCAAACCAAUAUUAAAAGCGGACGCUAUAGCAGAUUCUUAAGAAAAAGAGAACUUAGAUCUUUGAGUGGCUUGUAGGUGCUUCUACAGCCAGACACAUUUCGAACUACAAACCUUCUUAUCAAAUUUUCAAUCCAAUAGAUUACAAAUGCAAGUCAAUUUGAUAAAGUAGUGUAAAAAAAUCCAGCAAAAAGGUAUGAUAUUCCCCCGAGAAUGCGAAGCGGGUACCACUGGCUUCUUGUCAAAGCUCUAAAGCACAAAAAUAGGUUGAGAUUGAUCUGGCUGGAUGAUAUCGGUUAUGAGUGUAUCCAGGGGAACACGUUGGGGGAUGUUGGCAAGCGUGCUGUGAGAACUUCAACCCCCGUCUCCGUCACCUGCAAAAUUGCACUUAAUUAUAUUGUGCAUCACUAGUUGAAAUUAUAUUAUCCCAAAAAAAAAAAAAAGGGUUAAUCAGAUGCACGACUUUUCGUUGCACUUGGCAUACAUCAGUUUCAAAGCAAAGAGACCAUGCUAGAAUGAUAAUCCUAGAAAACUAAAUUGUUCUGUUGCAGGGAUGUUAGUAAACACCACAAAUGCCUUGCAACUUUUGUAAACUUUGAAGACUUCUUAGGAGGUGAACCUUGGGUCUAGUCUAUUGCCACUAAAUUAACUUUAGCAGUGAUUCACAAAGGUGGCAAGGCACUUAAGGAAUACAGUCAAGGUGGAAAUGCAUACAUGCAUGAGAUAUUGUCCCUCUUGAAGGAGUCUAAAUUCUCAUGUGGUGUACGAACUCAUUGCAUCACUAAAAUGGACCAAUUUCAUCAGCUCCCAAGUAUAUGAAAGAAUAUCAAGGACCAGUAGCAAACAAAUCAGUAUUAAUGUGUUCAACACUAACAGAUCUCACCAAAAGAGUGUGUUCAAACUGAGCACUGCGUUUUCCAUCUGCAGUAACAGCUGUCCAUCCAUCAGGCCACAUCCGGUCACGCCAAACACCUGUCAGUGGGAAGUAGCUCAAUAUAUAACAUUGAGAAAACCUAAACCUAUACAUAUCGGUUGUGAUAUCCUGUGAAUGAAACUAGUACCUGCAUUGAUCAUUGGUUCUAUAGUAAAGGUCUGGCCAGCCUUCAUUAUACCAACUGCUUUAUUUCCUGCUCGGAGUUAAAGGGCAAAACCAGAGAAAUGGGAAUUCAACAGCAACGGCAAUCAAUCCUUUCUAUCUUCUAUAAUUUAUCUAUUUAGUACCAUUCAGAUUCACUGUACCCAAAGACAGAUUUCAUGGAGAAGCCAUAUUUCAAACCUAAAACUGGGAACCAGAAGGUUUCAAGCGAAAAAGAUUUCAUAAUGUCAAGCAGCUUUUCUCAAGGAUACUAGCAUAAUGCGGAAUAUUUGGUGCACAAUGGAAUAGCUCUCCAAUACCAUGACCACAAUAAGAUUUGACCUGUUUUACAAGCCAGAAACGCAAAAAAAUUUUAUAAAAAAUGAAAUUGAAGAAAUAUUUUAAAUUCUUUAAGCAAGACGUGGGGAACAAGGUACUAGCAGUUUACCACAGAGAAGCCUGACAUCAAAGCGUGUCGAUUGAUGACCUCUCCAACUUCACGAAAUCGUACCCCAGGCUUGACUAGAAGUAGCAAUACAAAGUAGUUUAAAAAAAAAAAUGAUACUCACUGAAUCUACAACUUAACUUCCCAAGAAAGUUGGAAUUUUGUAAGCGCAGCAUUCCAAAACUGAAAGUAAUAUCAGAACUUUGUGGACAGAUGCAAAUUGAAACAUGCAAAACCGGGAUGAAACAAAGCACAUGCAAUAUUACUUCUAAAUAAAUCACAACUUUGUAUCUCUCCUUUAAAGUAACAAUAUUUUUCCAGAUGGAAGAAUUUUUUUUGCAAAGAAAUGAGAUGCAUCAGAAAGGAAAGAGUACACGUCACAGAUAGAAGGAAAAGAGGGAAAGAAACUGCAUAAUAAGGCUACUAGAAAUGUCAAGUGAUGGUAAAGUUCAGCGCUGAUCUCUAAGAAACAGUUCUGGGGCUGUCAGGAGAUGGAAUACAACUUUGAUGUACAAAGAUCUCAAAGCAACACCCACCAAUAGAUAUUGCCUUCUCCAAACACUCGUAUGUACAUUGCACGAGCCGCUGAGAUGCUUCAUCAACGUUGCCCACAAAGAAUGUUUCAUUGAGAUCACCUGCAUACUCAGCAUAACAGACCAGUUAAUCUUGUAAGUUUAUAGUAAUCAGAUUAACACAACAAAAAAAUCAAUAGUACCAAGAGUUUACCAUGGACCCCUUUAUAGUACACAGUUACAUCUACAUUUACAAUGUCGCCAUCCUCUAAUUUCCUGAGAAGAUUAAGUAUAUAGCAUAAUGUAUAGAGGCUCAAUCCAACUUUCAGCGAGGCUUAGAUAUAAAAUAUAACAGAUUGUUACUAGAUCCUCCUUUCAGACUGUAUUACAUAAUAAAAAGCAACAUGAUCCCAAAUUAUAUAUAUAUAUAUAUAUAUAUAUAUAUAUAUAUAUAUAUAUAAGCAAGCAUGAAGCACCUCAUAAAAUGGAACAUAAACUAAAGAAAGUAAGACAAAAAUGCAGUGAUCAGCAGCAUUCUUUUACCUGCCUUCUGAUAUUGUGGAAUGAACAGAAAAAAGAAUUUCAUAUGAAAGACUAAUUGUGCAGAGAGAACAUAGUCAAACAAUUUUAAUCGAUAUGUUAAAUUCAGAAGUCAGAAGACAUGGUUAGGAUCAGCAAAAGGACAUCAAAAGAAUGUACGAUGUUUAACAGAAAAACAGAAGCGACUACCAUGAAUAUGCUUGGUUUCAAGCAGGAGGUACCUUGCAUCCGGAAUUCCAUGGCAGAUUACCUCAUUAACUGACCUGUGACCACAAGGCAGAAAAAUGUCGAAAAUGCAGGAUGAUAACAAGGAAACAUGAAUGUACCGUGCACAAUGUGGAAGUACCUACGUGCAGCAAGAUUUUGGGAAGAAAUGAUAGUUCAGAGGCGAUGGUAUCCACCUGCAGUGGAUAAAACUGAAAGUGUCAUGAAGGUCACGGAUAGUUGCCAUGUGCAAUAUCAUAUGAAAGAACCAAGAAUAAGAAACAUAAAAAUUGCUACAAGUCAAACAACAAGAUAGGACCACCUGUGCAAUAAUAAUUAUAGUACCUAACAAGAAAAGAGAAAAGAGAGGGAGUGGUAACAUCUAAGAAGGGGUAAGAAUUUCAAGAAAAUUUUACUAUCAUAAGAAGGAUCUCAGACUAUCUACAUCACUGAGAAAACUAAAAUGACUAAUCCUAAUGUACAAUUUUAGACUUGUUUGCCUAUCAUAUCAAUAGUUUAUCUAGAUAACCACCAAUCAAAAGAAACAGGUAAGUUUUCUAACAAGAUGUCUGCCUUGCUCAAAUGUGGUAGAAAUACAUGCCAGUGAUCUAAAUCCAAAAAUUGGCUUGAAGCUAACAAUGCAAAAAUGUCUUCCAAACUAAAACAAGGCAGAGAAACAAGUUGGAUUGUUCGCCAACACACAUCUGGAAAAAUAAGUAGCCCAGAUGACAAAUUUAGUGUACCGACAAAUUCAAGUUCUCAAUAUAAAAAUUCUUCUCAAAACACAAACAUGAGUGUACAAAGGCACAUGAGAGAGAAGGAAAAAGCAAUAAAUUUGAAUAGCAUCCUAAAGGAAAAACACCUGCAGAAACAGUAGCUUCAUGAACCACCGCAUCAAUUUCAUCAGUAGUUAUGCCAGGUCGAAUAACACGGGCAGCUGCAUCCAAAACUUCUCUUGCAAUCUGCGGGUCACAAACAAUACUCAUAACCAAUUCAAAAAACUUGUGUGUUCAACUAGCAUCUAUAGUAAGGUUAACGUCAAAUUUUAUCUUUGUCAUAAAAGACUGAAGUUCUUCCAAGGAUAAAUACAUAGAAAAUAAGAUAAGCAAAAUAUGAAAAUUGCAUGGAAGUCAAGAUGAAUCCCCCCCCUCCCAAAAAAAAAAAGUUUUUUCUCAGUCUCAAUCAAGUGUAAGAUAAUUUACUUUUCUUCAUCAGUUCCAGACUACCUUCUUCCUUGACCGAGAUAACAUAAAACAUCAUAUUCAUAUUUCUCUCUCUAACUUCAGAUAAUGUUUUCCAUGAUCAAUUCCUUGCUUUGUCCAUUUUUUGUUCUAAAGAGCCAUUGUGCCUCUUGCUUUUUAAAAAAAAAAAUUGAGGAAUGGGAUUUAAGAAGUGGAGAGGUGGAAGGGGGAUCAGAACCCAGGACUUCUAAGUCGUGAAGCCUCAACCUCAGCCACUAGACCAAGGCCUCUUUGGCUUACUGUGCCUCUUGCUUCUUAAUGCAGAUUAUUUAUAAACAGAGACAUAAAUUCUGCGGCAUGUACUUGGUUGAUGUGAUUCACAACUUAUAACAUAAAGAUUGAUAUCUCAAACCACCAAAUAGAACAAUGUACCAAGUUAAACAAAAAGACAAUUACUUACUCGACAAGUUUCUCGCAUUCUCUCAAUUUGGUCGGGAGUCUUGAUCUUCAAAUUACGUGUAUUUGCAAAACAUAAACAAAACUAAGUCACAACUCUCUCUUGUGCAGAAAUUUGAGACUAAAAUGUUUAGCUUCAAUCAGAGGAUACCUCAACAGUGUGCUGCAGGUCACUAUUUGGCUCAACCUUUGGGAUUCCCUGCCAUGUUAAACAUACGAAGUUAAGCAAACUCAAGAAUUAUAGCAUGAAGUUCCAAUGCAAAGUUAAAAUUACAGUCCACGAGCCUAACUGAAAUAAAGGAUUACAAUUUCCAUAUAACAACCAAGGAGAUAAAUUAGUAAUGAAACCAACUGAUCAUUAAAAUCACAUUCAUUCAAAUAAAAAAACUCUGCAGAAUUUCUGCUCUAUACUUCAAAACCUAUAAGACAAAAACAACAUUUGAAUGGGAAAGUGAAACACUCACAUCACUUGCCCAAUCAGGUUGUUCAACGUGAGCAGGAACUUCACGCUUUUUUGAUAUAGGAUACGGCCUUAGUGUCCUGAGCCAAAACAGAAGAGAUAAUUCAAAAGAACAUCCCCAAUAAAUCAAGGCAUUGGCCAUUUUGAGUCCCUAGUUAAUCCAUUGCUCUCAUUCUAACACUUUUUCUUUACAUGAAAGGAUUACAAUGUUCCUAAAUUUUUGGCGAACCUGAAUCUCAAGCAAAAAUUACAAUGACUUACGAGAGAAGUUGCUAUCACAACAUACUUAAUUGCACUUGCAUAAAACACGUAGAAAAGGAGAAAUUUUUCCUCCAAGAUCCCAACUCUUUAUUCAUUGGAAACAAUUUAUGGAACAUUAUCACUAGGAAAGGCAACUUCUUUAGCAAGAGGAUGAGAAGAAUUGGCCACACCAGGAGUCAAAAUUGAGUAAAAUACCCUGUCCAAUCAAAGUUUGGCAUUUUCAGUGUACGAGCCUGUCCUUUCUUCAAGCAAUAAAGCCAACUGCUUGCAGGAGAGGUAGCAUCUUGCUCAUUGCCAGGUGAAAGUUCCAAUAAUUUCGCUUUCAAGUGAAUUGAUUUAUGAGAACCCCAGGAUGCCUUGAAACAGUCCUGUGUGCUAGUAACAAAUGCAUCUCCGUCAAGGUAAAAUAUAAGCCAUGCCAAAAUAUUAAAUGUUUGAAUACAUUCAGGCAUACAUACAUGUUUCAGCGGCUCUUUUAUUGUCAAAUUUAUAAAACUAAAGAGUAGCUGUUUUCAGAAGUCUUCCUUCCAUUUUUUUUUGUUUCAGCUCUAUCUUUGCUAAUUGACUCUUUCAGGAAGUUAAAACCCAGAAGCAUGAAUAUACAAUUCACAGGUCAGAAUUACAAACCAGAAAGCAGCACCUUCACGGGAAGCUUCAGCUCUACACAUUUGGGGCACCUGCAAGGGAAAAUCCCACUGCUUAUUAUAUAUGAACCAGCAAGACAAUCAUCAAUUUAGUGUAAUAUACACAUGGCCCAUAUAAGAUUACUUCAGUAAGGAAAAAAGAAAACGCAUGAGUUUCUUCACCUUUUCACCAUUUUUAAACAAAAAUGCUUUUACAGCGAUGUGAAUCAUUGUACAACUUUGAAUUUGUACGCAGAAUGAGUAAUGAUUAGUGUAAACAAUUUAAGAAAGUAUAUAGGAUAAAGAUCACUAACUGAAGAUGAGCUGGUUUGCCACAUUUAGCACAGCACAAGGCUGCAGUUUCAACAGCAUCUGCUCCUCCACCCGCCAUAAAAAAAAAUCUGAUUUUUCACAAAUUAUCAAUCAGAUUUUUGAAUAUUUUUCAAAAAUUUUAUAUGGGUUCGAAAAAGAUUGCAUCUUUUUCGGUUGUUGCACAUGAAUAACUGACCUGGAAUCUGGGUUCUGAUCGUUUCCAGUAGGAAGAUUUAGGAAUUUAACGGAGCGAGGGUUGAGCUAGGGUUUUGAGCUCCGUUUUGAAGUUUGUAGAAAAAGGAAAUUUAGUAGCAGAAUAGCAACAAAACGAAAGAGAAAAGAAAAGUAGUUGAACAGGGCCUCUCUUUUCUUUUUCUAAUUCGGGUGUGGAAAUUUUUACCAUAUACAUAUUAGGAUUACUUUCAAUAAGGCCCGCCUCAAAGAAUGGCCUCUUACUCCAUUGUUUUAGGAGAAUUUUCGCUUGUUGGACCCUCGUGGGAAAAUACCGGUUUUCAUCCCUAAACUUUGGGCACAAGACACAUUUCGUCCCUCAUCUUUUGGGCAUGACACAUUUGGUGUCUGAAUUAAUAAUUUUUGACCUAAUGUCAUCCUCAGACAGCAAUUUAACCAACCUUUAACGGACCGUUAAGUAAAUGUGGCUAAUCGAAGCAAAAUUAGGUGGAAAAUGACGUUGUUUUCACUUCCUCUGCAAAUUUCCAAGACUAAGCUCCUAUUGCAAAUUUCUCUGAGAGUAAACCCCCUCUUCCAAUUAUAAAUAUAUAAUUAUAAUUAUAUAAUACAUAUAAAUAUUACUUGUAUUAAUAUUUUAUAUAAUUAUAAUGUAUAUUAGAUAUUAAAUUUAAUCAUUAUAUAACCUUAUAUUCAUAAUAAUAAAUAUAAUUAUAAUUAUAUAAUUUAUUGAUAUUAUAUACACAUAUAUAUUAUAAGGGAUAAUUACAUAAACCUCCCCUAAAUUAGCUUAUGGAAAAAUGGAAAAAUGGAUAAUUUAUGGAGAAAAGCCAUAAAGAGCUGGUGUUUUAUUAGAGAACUGGUUUAUUUUUAUUUUAUCCGAUAAAUAAAUUUGUUUAUGAAAAAAUGGGUACUCUGUUCUUAUAAUAGAGGAAAGCCAUAAAGAGCUGAAGUUUUAUUGGAAAACGAGUUUAUUUUUAUUUUAUUCGAUAAAUAAAUUUAUUUAUGAAAAAAUGGGUACUGUGUUUUUAUAAUGGAGGAAAGCCCUAAAGCGCUAGUCUUUUAUGGAAAAGCGAUACUUUACAGAAAGUGACCGCGAUUUGGUUUAUGAAAUUAUCCAAAAAAACAAUUUAGAAUGAAUUUGUUUAUUUAAUUAAAUAAUUAUUAUAUAUAUUUAUAUAAUGCAUAAUAUAAUUAUACUAAUAUAUUUUAUGAGUAUAAAGUAUAUUAUAUAUUAAUUAUAAUUUUUAGUAUAUAUUAGUAUAUUUAUCAUAAUAAAUAUAAAUAUAAUUAUAUAAUAUAUUAUUACUAUAGACACAUAUAUAUUAAAAUAUAUGCAUAUAUAAUAUACAUUUAUAAAUAUAUAUAAAUAUAUUAUUAGGGUAUAUACCCUAAUAACUAUAAUAUAUUUAGGGUAAUAACUAUAAUAACUAUACCCUAAUAACUAUAAUAUAUUUAUAUAUAUUUAUAAAUGUAUAUUAUAUGUGCAUAUAUUUAUAAUAUAUAUGUGUAUAUAGUAAUAAUAUAUUAUAUAAUUAUAAUUAUAUUUAUUAUUAUAAAUAUACUAAUAUAUACUAAAAAUUAUAAUUAAUAUAUAAUAUACUUUAUAAUCAUAUAAUAUAUUAGUAUAAUUAAAAUUUAUAUAUAUAAUAUAGUUAUAAUUAUAUAUUUUAUAAUAAUAUUAGUAUAAUUAUAUAAUGCAUUAUAUAAAUAUAUAUAUAUAAUAAUUAUUUAAUUAAAUAAACAAAUUCAUUCAAUUUUUUUUGGAUAAUUUCAUAAACCAAAUCGCGGUCACUUUCUGUAAAGUAUCACUUUUCCAUAAAAGACUAGUUCUUUAGGGUUUUCCUCCAUUAUAAGAGCAGAGUACCCAUUUUUCCAUAAAUAAAUUUAUUUAUCGAAUAAAAUAAAAAUAAACUCAUUUUCCAAUAAAACUUCAGCUCUUUAUGGCUUUCCUCUAUUAUAAGAACAGAGUACCCAUUUUUUCAUAAACAAAUUUAUUUAUCGGAUAAAAUAAAAAUAAACUAGUUCUCCAAUAAAACACCAACUCUUUAUGGCUUUUCUCCAUAAAUUAUCCAUUUUCCCAUUUUUCCAUAAGCUAAUUUAGGGGACGUUUCUGAAAUUAUCCCUUAUAAUAUAUAUGUGUAUGUAAUAUUAAUAAAUUAGAUAAUUAUAAUUAUAUUUAUUAUUAUGAAUAUAAGUUUAUAUAAUGAUUAGAUUUAAUAUCUAAUAUACAUUAUAAUUAUAUAAAAUAUUAGUAUAAAAUAUUUAUAUGUAUUAUAUAAUUAUAAUUAUAUAUUUAUAAUUGGAAGAGAGGGUUUACUCUCAGAGAAAUUUGCAGUAGGAGCUUAGUCUUGGAAAUUUGCAGAGGAAGUUGUUGAAUUGAAAGAAAAAGGGAAAGUGAAGACAACGUCAUUUUUCACCUGAUUUUGCUUCAGAUAGCCACAUUUACUUAACGGUCCGUUAAAGGUUGGCUAAAUUGCCGUUUGAGGAUGACAUUUGAUCAAAAAUUGUUAAUUCAGACACCAAAUGUGUCAUGCCCAAAAGAUGAGGGACGAAAUGUAUCUUGUGCCCAAAGUUUGGGAUGAAAACCGGUAUUUUCCCGACCCCGCUGUAUGAAAUUAUUAUUUCAUCCUAAUUUUGUCCCUCUUGUUCAAAAUAUUAGGACAUUUGAUAGCUUAUCUUAUAUGAAAAGAAAAAAAAAAAGAGACUAAAGCGCAUUUCCCCCCUCCUUUCUGGUUAAUGGGCUGCAAAAGGAGGGAAAGAAACAACUAACAUGAAAGAGCGGAGGAUUUUAUAGGUGAACAAACCUCAUUGUUAUUAACAUUCUAUUCUUACUAAUAUGCUACUUCCAAUUAGUAAGGAUGCUUUUGCGAAACAAUUAAACAGUCAAAAUGUCACACCUGAAUCAUAAUAUCGAAACAAAUUAUUGCAUUUAUUAGAUUGACGUCUCAAUUCUCGUGCAAAGAUGAUCGCCUGCCUGCCUCGUUUACAGAUUGUGAUUCUUGAAGCACUAAUAAGGGGCAGUUUUCACUUUUGUUUUUCCACGAUUCAUUGAUUCGUUAUAUAGUACUCAGUUAGGUGAAAUGAAAACUGCAGGAAGGAGAGAUUUUAGCUCCGUUGAGGAUUUUGAUUUUUAGGCUAAUGAAAUCCAAUUAAACUAGCCACAUUCCGAGUGGAAUAUAAAGUUCUAACUGCCAAAAUACAAGUUAAACAAGAAGGAGGCAUAUUGUCAAAGCUCUCAAACUUCAAACAUCAAGCGAAGAUGGUACUCCGGUGGCAGAAAGCCACAGGUCCCCCUGGAUGAAAUUUCUUACAGAAAACCAACUAGCCUCUCGGGGAUCGUACAUUGGAUGAAAUCCAGGCCAUUUCACCCUGUUUGCAGUUGAAGCUCCACGUCCUGUGUUCAUAUACUCCCCAUAAUACAGUGUUGAAAGAGCAAAAUUUCCCGCCCAUUCGCUCCAUCCUCGUGGAUGAACUAAGCCACCCAAGUCUGUCUUAAGAAAUACGGUUCUUGAAUAUUGCUUCCACGGCCGACCAAGGUAACUAUUGAACCUCCCCGUAAAGGGGCUGAAUUCAGAGGAUGGUGCAACUCGACAGUUUAUUAUUGAAAUCCCGUAUACUGAUCUGGGUGAUCCCUCCCUUGUGCAGUUAUCAUGUUAGACUGGUCAUCCAUUGGCCUACGCACGAAAAUGUCGCAAUUUUGGAAGACUGCUGAUGCAUCACCAAAGAUGAAGUCGAUGGUCCCAUGUAUCUGGCAAUCGCGAUAGAAUUGUCUUAGCGAAUGAACCAAGAGGGUGUCUUGGUAACCUUUGAAACUGCAGCGAUAGAAGACCGAGAGGUCUGAGCCUACCCUAAGUGCCACGGCCUGCAUUUUUUGAGGUCCUGCUGUGUUCUCAAACGUUAUGUCUCUUGCCCAAAAGCCGUUUCCAGAAAUACCUACGUGCAGAAAGGGUGAUCAUUCAAUAUUUGUGAAGCUGACAUACAACUAUGUCAGGCAUUUUACGUAUUAUUCUUAAUGGAAAAUAAAACAUCUUUAGCUGGAUCAGCUUUUAAUUUAUCUGGCAAAUUCAGAAUCUGGUUAGUAAAGUCUUCAUGGGAAUAGUGAACUUUAAGAAGAAUACUAGAUUUCAAGCUUACCAAAGGUAGCAGAGCUCAAGGUACUUGCACCAUCAACGACAUUUUGAUUGCCAGUGACAAUUGUUUUGUCGAUACCAUCCCCAACAAACAUGACAUUCUCCAAAUUUCUCGGAUCUCCACCUUCUCAUGGUAUAACCCCGAUUUCACGUAUACUACUGCUCUUCCUGGCCUAUUAUGUCCCAUUCUGCCAAGAGCAGCCACUGCCUCCUUUAUAGUCUCAAAGUUUCCUGAUCCAUCCUGCGCAACUACAAUAUCAGCCUUCGACGUUGCUGGACUCCAUGAUGCUAAUAGCCCCCAAUAUUGAUCAGUGCCUUGUUUUCUUGGAAUCCCUGAAUAAAAAAUUAGUUAGCAAAAGGAUUAUAGCGAGCAUCCCCUGCUUAGUGUAACUUUUAACGAAAGGAGCGAUAUUUCCACUCAGAAACAGUAAAUAUUUCACCAAUACAUUUUGUAGGGGGAGUUCGUACGUUACUUUUUUAAGCGAUCAUGCCCUGUUUGUUAGGCAAUUUUACAUGAAUAUAGACACUCACUAACCAUUCUGCCUAGACAUGUACUAGACGGAUAAGUUGCACAAAAGGCCUAAUUACUCUGAGAAGCUAGCUUACCAUGCGUUAGUGGCCUUCCAAAAUUGCCUUGUAGCUUUACGCGAAGCCAAAGCUGGUGAAGCAACAGAGUUAAGUUUUGUGCUGCCUGAGUAUCAAAAGACAAACCCUUCUCCUCCAAGCCAUCCAAAACAACUUCUGUGGCUAGCCAAGGCCGCACUCAACCAGGUGACUGCAUCAGCUUGGCUGUAAUUCUUGCUAGACAAUUCUAACGCAUGCAGCAAUGGCUCAGACUCCUCAUAAAGCUUCAAGCAAUCAGCUCAAUAGCAAUAUCACCAAAUCUUGAGCCAUGAUCCAAGUGAUCAUGAUAUCUUCUCAAGCUUUGAGCCCAGUUAACGGCUUGUAAAAAUGCCAAACCUGGCCGCUCGGACCGCCUCAAGUUCUUGCUCGCAGGAGAUAUAGCUGGGUACUUGCAAAGACAAUGAAAAGGAAGAUCGCAAACCCUGAAGUUUUUGAACAAGCAGACGGCGGUGAAGUUUGGAGCUGUUGGUUUCCCACCAUACAAGGCACUUUGGAGAAUUCUUAGACAUAAGCGGUGCCGCAGCAUGGGUCACUGAGAUGGAAUAUUUUUCUGAUUCGUCCUCCUGAGUGAAACUUAUUUUUGUGUCAUAGUAACCGUUAAUCAUUUAGAGGUGCAUAAAUAGCCUACUACUAGCUGCCAAUGUAGGUUGAUACAGUCUGAUUCUCCUACUCCUCAUGACAACUAAAUGUAUUGCACAAUCUAUAUAUGGCACUCAUGGUCAUGUAUAUGUUAGUUCAGAGUUAUUUCGUAUACAUUGUUUCCUUUGCGCUUUGUUUUUUCUGUUUUAAAUUUUGGUAAGAAUUCUUAAUAUUUCUGCAAGGAUUAUACUUUCUCAGGCUUCUUGGCUUAAGUACCCUUUUCUAUAUUUUCCAUUUUCUUUUUUGAGGAAAUUGGAUUAAUGUCUUUCAAGGAGUUAUUUAAGAUGAUUAAUUGACCAACCUUUUUUUCCAUUUGGGUGAUUACAAUUUACAUGCGUUACUUAACCGAUUACUGGAGGAUAUUAGUAAAAUGAGUUAAAGAUUUUUAGUAAGGGAGAAAUAAAACCAAAUUAUCAAAUAACUAGUGAGAAAUCAAACUAGCAUUAAACAAAAAAAAACAAAAACAAAAAAACCAAAUCCAUUGACGUUUAUCGAAAAAAAAAGUUGGAUGAUUAUAUAUAGCCGUUGGCUCCUUAUGGAUUAGAUGUUUUUAAAAAACUUUAUUGUAGCAUUCUAUUUAAAAAAUUUUCUGUCAUAAAUUGUCCGUUUGAAUUGUGUGUUUUUGGGAUGUUUUUAAAAUUUAUAAUUUUCUUAGGGUUUUUUUUAAAGAAUUUGUUAAAAUUACUUACCACAACCAUCCACCACCCUUCCCCUUCUCUUCUCUCUACCACUGCUGCCUCCCUCUUCUUCCUCUUUUUCCUCUUUCUCCCCUCUCCUCCUUCCUUGAGGAAGGAAAGAGGAGAAAGGGGAUGGCAGUGGUGGAGGAGGGAAUACAGGAGGGGGCGGUGGUGUGUGAUGAGUGGUGAACUAGUGGGUGGGAAAAAAAAAGGGUUAGAUUUAUUUUAUUUUGUUUAUGUGUAUUUGAGAUUGUAUGUAUUUAAAGUGUUAUUAGGAUAUUUUUAAAGUGUUUUAUUGUAGGUUCCAACGAUAAAAACUAGUUUGUGUCAAUCCAAUUGUGAUUGCUAUAAGAUCUAUUAAUGGCUAAAAGCUCAUCCCAGGCACAAUCUGGUUGCUCUUGGACUAACAGAACUAGCAAGACGGUAACUUGCUUACUGAUUCCAACGAUCAGAAUAUGGAAAAACAAAUAUGGCAGCAGUAGGAAAAUUGGGAUCAUUCGUAGUGAUAAAAUCAAACCAGAAAACUCUAGCAGGUCAAAAUUAUAAAUUAAAAAAAAACAGCAUUUUGAUCAUUGAUUGAAUAUAGAUGUGAAAUAGGCAUCACAGUUAACCUCAAAGUCUCGAGCAAAUGCAUCAAUAAGUAACAUAAUAUCAAACUGCUUAAGUAAAAAAAGAAUAAUAGCCAAAUUAUUGUGUGCUAUUUUAUUUGAGUUCCAUAAAGAUGAUACAUGUCCACCAAUCGGCAAAUUGCUAUAUGUUACGAAUUCUACAAUAAUGAAGCUACAACAAAUUACAUCCCCAGGACUGGCAAAAGGUUGUUUUCAGGUUUCUUUUGAAACUGAUCAGGAUGCCCAGCAAAUAAUUGUCCAUUGACCACCAACCUUAAAAACACCUUCAUCGUGGGAUUGAAAUUGCCUCCUUAGAAGGCACCAUGAGAUAUAUGCGAACAAGAUUAUGGGGCAAUGAACACAGAUAUGUUAAAAAACAAUCAUAAGAAUCAAAAUGAAGAAGAAUCAACUGAUCCUAACCACACAAAUGAAAGAAUAUAUCACUGGGAACUCUUUUUGCCAUUACCAUAGUAGCUGAGAUACCAUCUAACAAACUUCUUCAAACCUGUUUGUAGAUCUGUUGUAGGCUUAUACCCAAGCUCCCUCUGAGCCAAGCUUAUGUUCGCAUGCGUAAACUGCACAUCCCCAUUCCUUGGCAACUUCAUUAUAGUUCUCUUAGCCUUCACCUUCAACAACCUCUCCAAAAUGCUAACAAGAUCCGAAACUGGCACAGGUGAAGUAUUCCCCAAAUUGUACACCCUCAACUGAGCUGGCCCUUUCUUCUUCCCACCACUGCCAGUACUCUUCUCUGCCGUAUCCAAUGCUGCCAAACAACCCUUCACAAUAUCAUCAAUAUAGGUAAAAUCUCUAGCAACUGUGCCAUGAUUAGCUGCCUCAAAAAUCUGAAUUGCCUUCCCCUUCAAAAUAUCCUUCGUAAAAAAGAAAUAUGCCAUAUCUGGCCUCCCCCAGGGUCCAUAAACUGUGAAGAACCUCAACCCUGUUAAUGAAAGCCCGUAAAUGUGAUUAUAAGUGUGUGCAAUCUCCUCGCCAGCCUUUUUAGUUGCAGCAUACAAACUUGCGGGGUUAUCGGUCCUAUCCUUUUCUGAAAACGGGACCUUAGUAUUCAAUCCAUAAACAGAACUAGACGAUGCCCAAACAAUCGCAGGCUGAGGAUUCACGCUUUUGCAAACCUCGAGAACGCUAACAAGCCCAGCAAUAUUACUAUGCACAUAUGAGCUAGGAUUUUCCAUGGCAUAUCUGACGCCAGCCUGAGCAGCCAAAUGCAUAACAUGGGUAAAUUGUACAAUAUCAAAAAGCUUCUUCAGGAGGGCGACGUCAUUGAUAUCACCCUCCACAAUGUACACCCCAGAGCGCUCCAAAAGCGCUUGCCGGGCUCUUUUCAAUGACUGAUCAUAGUAAUCAUUGAAAUUAUCAAGCCCCAAAACGCCGUCCCCGCGGCGUUUUAAGGCAGCAGAAACAUGGGUUCCAACAAAACCAGCAGCCCCGGUAACCAAAACAGACAUACCAUUUCUUGACCUGACUUUAGCUGAGGCUUUGAUCCUUUUCUCCCAAUCAGGGCCACCAUAGGAGCUGGUUCUGAGGGACCUCCUCGAGGGAUCUGCGGUGAGAGAUUCUGGGGAUGAUGAAGAAGGUGAUCUGAAGAAGAAGACAAAGAUCAGGCCCAAGAAAACAAAUGACCAAAAAGUCAGCUUGGCCAGAGAAGAAUGGAGCCUUAAUCUGUUAUAAGGGGAUUUCUCCAUCUUGAACUUUCCUGGGGUUGAUGGGAUAUUGUCAAUGUGCUUCAUUUGGGACAUUUAUUCCGCAAAAAUCUUGCAGAUUUGAGCAAUACCCUUUCUGGGUUGCUCUUCGUUGGGGCCAAUCUGGUGGAGGGGGCGUUACUUAAAAAAAAACCAAAACAAAAAAAAAAAAUUAAGGAUAAGGGUAAAGCCAGAAAAAAAUGAAUCUUUUUUUCUUUGUUUUGAUUCUCUUGUGUAUUUGAUUGGUUUGGUGGGUGGGAAGAAGGCAAAGGGAUAAUGGGUUGAGGAGAAAGAUGAAAAUGGGGGGGUGUGUGUGUGUGGAGAUGGUGAUAUUGAAGGUGGAUGAUGGAGGUGGUAAUGGUAUGGGGAGUUUUAAAAGGCCUCUGGAUUUUCUUUUUUUUUUUUUUUAAAGGGGAAUCUUCUGGUUUCUUGGGAGGGACUGGUUGUUGUUGGUGGUGGUGGUGAUGGUUUUACUUUUGUGGGGUUUUCUUGUUUUGGUUCCAGAGAGGAAAGAAAAAAUGCUUUCAGAUUUUGAUGAAUGAUCAAGGAAUGGGUGAUUGGAGAGAGAAAUGUGAAAGAAAGAGAGAUAGAGAGAGAGGGAGAGAGAGAUUUGAGGGGAGUGGACUAAUGGUGGGGAGGGAGAAGAAUCAGGUUUGAAGCGUUUUGAAAAAUGUGACUGUAAUUAAGAUCGGUGAUGAUGAAGAUUCAGACUGCAGAGUUGGAUUAAGCAAAGAAGUUCAGUCAAAAGAUGACAGUAAUUAAUGAGUUGGAGCAGACUACCAAAUGUUAGUAGUUAAUCUUGAUUCAACUUGAGGAGAGUUAAUUUAUUAGGGUUUUUAAUCAUUAUUGCCAUUUUAGGAAAACCAGAGUCCACAUGCAAGCUUGGGUGGAAUGAGUUACAGCAUGGAGAAGAUAAAAUGGCCAGUACAAGUAGUUUCAAUGGUUGAGGAUGCCUCUUCAAAUUAAGGCCCCUUUUCAUGCAGCUCCCCUGUGUAAGUAAGACUUUUUUUUUUUUUUUUUUAUGCUGGUUUGGUAUGGGAUUUGUUAGAUUUAUCCCUUUUUUGGUGUGGGAUUUGUUUAUUUUGAGUUUAGUGGAUAGAUUUUGGGAUUUGAAGUUUGGUUUUGGGAGGUUGUUGGAGGUUGUGUGGAGUAAAUUUUUAGGGUAAUUAUGAGGGGUUACUAAUUUUCACAUAUCAUUGGAUGGGAUGGUGUGUGAGAUUUGUGGGGUUUGAGAAUUUUUAAUUGCCUCAUUAACAACCUAAUCAUUCAAAGCAUUUUGGAGUAGACCAUGUUCAAUGUUUUCUUCCUAUAAUUUUAAGGUUUGACAAUUAAUAGGAAUUGUGAGUUGGCUAAAAUUAGCAUUAUGGUAUUAGACCUAUUGAGUAAUUAUUAUUGUUGUUGUUCAACACAGGGGAGAAAGAAUUGAGUGUGCCCUAUUUAAUGGGUAACGUUACAGACUUACAGCUGUAUUUUUUUUUUUUCAGAGGAGCAGGAUAAAUAAUUCUACUCCACUAUCAAUCAAGAGGCAGCUUAGGUGUUCUGUAACUUCUUCCUGUCCAUCCCUUCAUCCAAUGCAUCAUCAUGCAUGGCAUCCAAAUAAACCAUUGAAUUUUGACCCUAAUGUUUUUUCAUUUUUCUCAGAUAUUAAUCCAGUUGAAAUAUGUUUGGAUAGCAGAUUAUUUGAAAUAAUUACUGUAGUAUUUUUUGUGAUGUGAUGUGAUGUAUGUGAGAUAAAAAGAUAAUUGUGAAGAUAAAAAGAUGUAUUGAAAAUUGUAUUUGUGAUGUAAACAAAUAAUUUUUAGCCAUUAUUUGGCUAUCCAAACAAAUAAUAUGUCUUUUUUUUUUUGUCUGUUUUCGGUUGAAGGAAGAAUAAUCCUAGUAAUUAUAUGUAAAAGUUUCAAAAAUUUCCCAUCAAAUUAACAAUGAAACAUAACUAGAAUCGAUCGUCUCUCAAACACGAAAAUAAAAAUUAAAAAAAAAUGAGGGGAAAUAGAACUAGGAUUUGAAGGCAAUGACAUUUAAAAAAAAUUGGUGAUAUAUAAUGCUUUUCAUGUCCCAUAUUAUCUAAGUUGAUGGCGAUAAGAAAAUCUGAGAUAUGAUCCUUAUGCAACGACCGAUUUUGAUAAUGUCACCCUGAUUCUCGUAACUAUAAUAGUUACAUUAAUGAUAAAAUGUGCCAUAAUUAUUUUUUUUAUCAUUCAUGAUUGAGAGACCUAACUCCAUUAGAACUUCAUAGCCAAACAUCUUAAGAUACAACGCAGUAAUUCAUUCUAGAAAAAGCAAAACCAUAAGAAACCAUCAAUUUAUGAAAAGUUGAAAAUAUAAAGAAUUAGUUCUCGAAUUCAGUGAAAAGAAUCAAGUAUUGCACAUGAUAACUGGAUACUAAUAAUACUAUAGUAAAUCACAGCUAGUCAUAAGUCAUUUCAUGGCCAAGAAUAACAUGUGCAUGUAUGUGCCUACUUAUAUUCUAUACUAUAUGGCUCGACAUUAGUAUAGCAUGUGGGUGUAUAAGUGGAUAUUAUUAUAGUGUGUAUGUAUAUAUAUGUGUGUGCGCGUGUUUUAGCGUGUAUUCACGUACAACAAAAGUUUAGGGUUUAAAGUUUAUAUCUAUAACAUGUUUUAAGGUGAGAGUCGAAUAUCAAGUACAAGACGCUCAACCACUAACUUCAUUUCCCAUUUAUCUAUAAUUGAAAAAGAAAUCAAAUUUGUAACGCCAGUCAUAUAUAUAUAUAUAUAUAUACAUAUAUGUAGUACAUAACAAUAAUUACACAAUAACACAUUUUGGAAUUCAUUUUUGCAAUGGCCAGCAAUAUGUGAAGAGGGCAACUGCCGAUGUUUUUAUAUUUUUGUCUUUUCCUUUUACAAAGGGCUAGUAAGCCAGCAAUAUGUGUUACUUAUGGAUUCAAUUUUCUUGCUUCCUUCUUUUUCACCUUACUAAAGGAGAAAAGAAAAUCUACACCAAGUCUAUGAGUAUAAGUUGGUGUAAAAUGACAAUAAUAUCAAGCUUAAUAUGUAAUAUAUAUCACGGUCAUAACUCGGUAAAAAGAAGCAUAAAAUUUGGUUCUUUUGAUAAGAACAAAAGAAUGAAGGUUAAUAAUGAUUUCAUCUUUUCAUAUAUCAUUUUCAGCCAAGAUUCAUCCUACCUAUUACUAUUGCCUUAGAAGGAGGCAAAAGGGAAAAUUUUCCAUGUUUUGGCUGUUUGAUGAAACUAGAACAAGCCCAACUAACUAAUAUAAAGUUAAAAAAAAACAAGCACUACUAUCUUCUGGUUACAGAUUAUUUCGAGCAUUAUUUGAGUGCAAAAAAAGGGCAACAAUUAGUUGGAAGGUUAAUUUUCAAGAUACUUCAAUUUUGUAUUGACUUUCAGUGCUCGAAGCAAACCCCCAUUUCUCUUAUAUAUCCUCAUGAUCAUAUCCAUUAGAAACACUACUUCAAAUUUUUAGAUCCCAUAAGAAAUAAUGACAUUAAAGGGUAGAUGAUUAUGGUAGGUUACAAGAAAUAAUAAAAAGAAAAACACAAAUUAAGCAAAAAUCUGUUGCAUUACGUUGACUGAUCAUCCAUCCUUAUAACUUCUGCAUGUCAUUUACGUUAGGGCGAAUAUAUAGUACAACUCAAAACUAAGAACCGAAACAUGCACGCACGGGAACUUUCACUAGUGUUUCGUAAAAUAUAUAAAUCUCUAAAUACGUUUCUUCAAGCAUUGCUACAAGCAAAAACUCAUACUCAGGCUGCAAAAGAAAACGUCAUUUUUCUUAAAGAUAACGUUAUUUUACUCUAGUAUCAUGUUUUACUCCAAAAAAGCUACACAUUAUCCUGCUAUUCUCAAAUAAAAAUACUACAAAUAGCAGCUGAUGAGUACGAGGGAGAAGAGAAGUAUAAUGGAUUGGAACUAACAAAAUCAAUGGGAAAGAAUUGCAUGCUUUCACUAUUAUCUUUCUUGAGAAUCAAAACAAAGAAAGGCUUUUUCUUUUUCUGGCUUGGAAUAUUUUGAUGAGGAAUAUAAUUCUCAUAAGAAGCGGACUUUCGACAGUACUGUUGAUAUGGACAGCAAGACUUUUGAUCUUUUCCCUCUGCAUGAUUGAUAAUUAAUAUGUUUUCUUCCUUUCCACCGGCUUGCUGCAUUCAUUUUUUCUUUCUCUGGAAACCCGAAAUUUUGGACUUGGGUUUUUCCUUCAAAACAUGGCCCUUAUCUUCUUUCUCUGCAUUUGAUCAGUUUGAGGUGGGGGUGGGUCGGGUGAGAUUUGGAGGUGAAUUAAUGGUAGAGAGGAAAGGAGACAAAAUCAUGUGAGAGUUGGGGUUGUCACACUUUAGUGUGUGGUAAUACUUGAAAGGAAGGCAAAAGCCCCCUUUCAAGAACUCUUUUAUUUCUAGUGUCUUAUGUCCCAAUUUUGGUUAGGCUACUGCUAGCAUCAUGUGAUGAAUGUGUACGUGCAGAUUAUUGGUUAGAAAAACAGCACUAGACUGCUAGACUUGACCAAACUAGCUAGUGCUAGUUCCCUUCAGCUCAAAGCUCAUUGUCACCUUGUAAGUAAAAUGGAGUGAUCUCCAAGAUACUCUAAAAAAAGUUUUGCCACCCCAAAUUCCUCACUAGCUACCAUACGCCUUAUAAUAAUUCUAUUGUUGUCAUCUAUGGAUUAUUAAUUAGGACUAAAAGUCCAAGCAGUAAAGCAUCUCCUUGGUCCUCUGCAGUAUGUAAUAUAGGGAUUGAGAUCCUCUGCAGUCAAUGACUAUAUGGGGUGUUUUGAAAUUGGACUAUAUUUGUCAUGUCAGUGUUAUAUCACUUUGUUUGUUUUAUUUUUUGUGAUAUUGGUGACGGUAGAAACCACACCUUUGACGUAUUAAUAUCUAUCCUUAGCUCCUACUACGUAAAUCAUAGCAAAUGCUGAGUAUAAAACAAUAGAAAUCUGCUUGUGCUCUUGUACUAAAAUAGUAGGAUAAAUUCCUAGAGCAGGAACUGACAGUUUGUUGGGUAUCCUAUUUUACAAGAAAAGUUAAAUCUGCGGUCGAUGUGCAAAACACUAGAAAAAUAUGAAAUACUAACAUGAAUGAGACGGCCACCGUCUGCUACAUGUGACUAUCUGAAGCGGAAGGUAAGGGAACCAUGCCUUUCCUAGCAGUUUCUUUUAUAAGUCAGCAUCAUGUUCCCUGCUUUUCUACUUAAUAAAACCCACGCAAGCAAGAUUGAUAGAUAAAUGAACUUUACAGAUCUGAAAAGCAUGAAGACAAGCUCAUAGAAAAAGAUGGAUUUGUUGUUGUUAUUGUCGGUUCCCAGAUUUUCAGCUCCUCUUCAGGUUCCUAAAUGCACAUUGUCAAAAAUUCCAUAAACAAUGUGAGAAAAGACUGGAACUUCUUGAAGCCAAAUUCUGCACUCUUUGUUUUCUUCUGUUUGCUUGUUUUAAGGUGCAAACAAACUUAUGACAUAGUCAUGGAAAGGUAAAAGAAAAGUCUGAAAGUUCAACAAGCGCAGGGGGCUUGGAUGCCUACUUUAACCUACUUAACGUAAGGAAAAUGAAUUCUGCCUUCUCCGCGAAAGACUCUAUGCAUUUGAUUAAAGCCAGCUAAGUUUGUCUGGUUUCCAGAAGGUAUAGUUAUUGCAUUCAACCAGUAUCACGGUCUGUCUUUGAAAGGACUCGGGGCUUCUCUUGCUGGCAAAUGCAUUCAAAGUCAAUACUCUCAAGUUUCCUUGUCUAGCAGCCUGGCAGCUCACAAAGAGCCCAUCAUCAGCCUACCAAACUUUUUAAGAAGUUGCAGACUGAUUGCCAUGUAGCAUGCUGCGGGAAUCUACUUUCUUCCAACUGUUUUCUACACGGCUUUAACUCUAUCUGCAUGUCCCACGUUCUUUUUAGUGUCCAUUCGUGCAAAAUACAAAGUUUUCACUUUCCCACCGCGCGAGACUCUGACCAAGUAAAUAUAAUACGGAUAUCCAAUGUGAAACUAUCAAUUUUAAUGACUUUCAUUCAAAUGCAGAGCCAACAAAAAGGGAUCUUUCCAUGUAAUAAGUUGCUAGAGAUACACACGCGUUUACCAAGAAUUUGAGUUAAACCAGUACACAGAUUUUAAUCUAUCCAUGGCUUCAGCAAAACAACUUGACUUCCUGACCCAUGUUGAACACUCUCACUAAGAUAAGGGGCAGCAAGCAUCCAACAUCUCCUGCACAAAGAGACUGGAAACUCCAUUCUUGUAGCAGCCCUCUAAAAUUGUUCACAUUCUUUAUGUGAUGCUACAUAUCGUUUCAAAAAGUUUAUUCAGUGCUUUGAGAACUUUUCAAGGACAUCAAAGUAAUCAGGGAAGGUUUUGCGUGUGCAGCCAGGAUCCUUGAUGGUUACAGGAACAUCUGCACAUGCCGCAAGAGAAAAAGCCAUAGCCAUUCUGUGAUCAUCAUAAGUAUCAAUUGAUGUAACAUUUAACUUCUCUGGUGGAGUGAUUAUGCAGUAAUCUGGCCCUUCUUCAACUGUAGCCCCUAACUGAAAUUGUAGGAAAUGUAUGGAUGAGUGUUACAAGGAGAAUUUUCGAGAAAACAUGCAAGGCUUGUGAGAUUGAAAAAUAAUGAUGCAUCACAAAAUUAACCUUUCUAAGCUCUGUGCAUAUAGCAAUCAUCCGCUCAGUUUCCUUCACUCUCCAGCUAGCCACUGAGAACAUAAAUUAAGUCAGACGAAAUAUCUCAGGGUGAUGAAGAAAUAGCAAAGGAAACAGACAGAGUAUUAAAACAGAAAAGAAAAGCUAAAAGCAGAUUAUUGGAUCAUGCAUACUGACGCGGAGCUAGGACUGGUAACCGAUCCUAACCUCAAAAAUCUAUUGGAUUCUAAACUCAUGUACUGUUCAAGAUAAUCCAGUUCUCAUAAGUUACAGACCAGAUUACCAUACGAUCCAAACAUUUUCACAUUAUGCUGUAGACAAAGAAAACUGAAAUAUCAAUUUUCAAGGAUGAAUUCAAAGAGGUAUCCUUAACACGACAAUAAGUCCUAUUUUAAACUUGCCGUACAGCAUUAAUCAAGGAAUUCCUAGUUUUCUCAAAAGAAUUCACUUUGCAUAAAGUAUUAUAUUAUGGAAUAUGAUUCCAAAUUAUUCAUAUUAUAUAGCUUAUGAACACCAAGAAACUAAUGGCAUUUUGCUUCUUGUUAACGAAAAGCCAAUUAUGUCCUGAUCAGUGAUCUAGAACUUCUGUUAUUCCAAUGAAAUUUGAAACAGCUUUAAUUAACUCUUAUAUUCGGUAAACCAGUAACAUUCAUACCAUCUCUUAUUGCAGUGGAACCAUCCGCGAAAAGUGCAACUACAGCAAGAGUCAUGGCAACAUCUGGCAUUUUGUUCAUGUUGAUAUCAAUGGCACGAAGGUGUUUUCCUCUGGAAGAAUCCCUCCGCGGUCCUUUAACAAUAACACUGUUUUCUGUCCAGGUGACUUCAGCACCCAUUUGCUCAAGAACCUCAGCAAAUUUCACGUCACCCUUUAGAAAGGAAAGAAACAAAAAGAAAUGAGAUGAUGAAUGCCAUGCAAUUUACGUGCACAAAACAUUCAAAACCAUGUUAGCAAGGUGAUACUGCAUAACCUAUUUAAAUCCAAGAUACUUUAAGUUUGCAGCAACACAACAUUCACUUCUCAAUAAAAGACAAAAGUCAAGUUUUCACCAUGGACAUAACGCAGAAAGGGCCUUCUUGUCUGAAUGACGUAAUUAUCUUCAGAACAAGAAAAAGAGAGAUACAACAUGCCAGCAUGCAUUUUACCUGUAAACUGCCAGUCCCACAACCUUCGACGGUAAUGGUACCACCAGUAACAGCUGCACCAGCUAAGAAGUAACUGGCACUUGAGGCAUCACCUUCAACAUAAGCUUUUCCAGGAGACCUGACAAAAUGAUAAUCUUUUUACUUGCUACACAACAAGCUACUAAAGUCCAUUUUACUCAAUACAAGUACACUUACUUGUAUUUCUGACCCCCAUGAACCAGGAAUCUGUCCCAACUACCACUAUGCUCUACAGUGACCCCAAACCGUUCCAUCAGUUUCAAAGUCAUUUCAACAUAAGGAACAGAAAUGAGUUUAUCAAUAAUUUCAAUCUCAACAUCUCCUAGAGCCAGUGGAGCUGCCAUGAGUAAAGCAGUUAGGUAUUGACUACUGAUAGAUCCAGAGAGCUUCACCUGCCAGUGAUGAUCAAAAUACAUGUUCAUCGUCAAUCCAAGUAACCUAUUUCAAAAUAUAGUAAGAUAAGAAAAAGAGAGCCCAGCCCCACGAGUCCCAUGCCUUUCUUGGUAGGCCAUGCCAUUUGUGAGAAGUCUUUCUUCAUUCAAAGGCAGAAGCAGAAUUGCAAGGAUGAAAUGAAUAGUGAUUCCCAGUACUAAACCCAAGAACCCAAUAAAGAAAUUUUACCAUUGUCCCAUCCAAUGCUGUGCAUAUAUGAAAUUGUAUUUCUCAUUCACAGAUUCAUGUUUGUUUAGACUAAUCACCCACACUUUGGUCCUGCUUUUGAUUUUGUUACUAAGAGGGGAAGAAAAUCAGGACCAAAUGCUUGGCAGUUCCUGGUGGAGCUUAUUGAGUGCUGAACCCAAUAAGAAAGUGUAAAAUAGGUGGUCUUUGCAAAAAUGUUUUGCAAAAAUAUACCCCUUGCAUCUUGGUCACUUUUACAAUUUCAUUUAUAAGCAGUCUCAUUACUUUGAAUCUCUCAUUUUCUAUACUUAAUUGUCUAAUUAAGUAUCCGUUUCUUGAAGCAGGACUGAAGCUAAUCCAAGCUUCACAACAAAUUGAAAGAAGAAAACAGAUUGGCGAAAUGACAUUGGGCCGGAGCCUCGACAAGGGGAGGUGAUAGUGGAUAUUCUGCUUGUCUUGGGGUGUACAGUAGCACCUGAUCAACCCCCAGAAAUUAAUAAAAUAAUUACAUUAGCCCAGAAUCCAAAAACACAAAAACAAAAGAGUAUGGUGAACAUCAUUGUCUGCCCUGCUAACAAGAGGAAUGUCUCAGAAGUGGAGAAUGACAAGUCAGCUGCAAUGUCUACACAGCUCUUCUUUUCUCAUGCAUGCGUAUAUUAAUAAAGCAUGGAUUGUCCUCUUUGCUUUUCUUUUAAAUCAAGGAAUAAGCAAUUAAGCAUGUUUAGACAAUGUUAAACUCACCUUUCCCCCAGGAAGGCCUCCCUUUCCCACUACACGAACUGGGGGGCAAUUUGUACCAAGAAAACAAUCAACAUCAGAACCAAGCUGCUUAAGACCAGAGACCAGAUCACCAAUUGGCCUCUCCCUCAUUCUAGGAACUCCAUCAAGUACAUAGCUGAAACAUAAAAUUCCAGUUUGAAUUUAACUUCACUAAUUUAAAAAACAAAGUAACUGUCCCGAAAAUGCAAUCAUGGCGAGCAAUCACUAAUUUCUGAGGAAAAUUUUAAACCAAUUUGCAGCAUACAUAUUAAUAUAUAAAAGUUGGGUGACAUUUGUAACUAGAAAAAUAAGGAUAUGGACCUUGAAUUCCCACCAGCAGCAGCAACUGCAGCAGUCAAUGGGCGCAUAGCUGUUCCAGCAUUUCCCAGGAAUAGUUGAAUUUCACCUUUAGAUUCUUUACCAACAGGAAAUAGACCACCACAACCUUCUACAAUUGCUUGCUGUACAGCGCGAUUAUCUUCCACAUGCAGACCCAGUGUCUUUAAAGCACCGAGCAUGUAAUGGAUAUCAUCACUGUCCAACAAGUUAUCAACAACAGUUCUUCCCUGGGAAACAAGCAGAACGGAAAUCCAAUAAGUUCUUGAGAUUGAGGAUUAUUGUGAUUCUUUAACAGAAAUACUACUUUGUAAAAGAACUAAACCAAAAAGCGAUUAGAAACAUUUUAUGUAUGCGUUGCUAUUGUAAACAAUAGCCAAUCCUGGGGACGAAAUUAUUAUAUAAGAGCAUUCUGUUAGGAUAGCGAAACUAUAACAUAAUGUAGACUACAGUUAAGUUGCAUCCAUCAGAAGAGCAAUCUACAGAAUUAUCAAUAUCUUAUGGUCUGUUUUGAGGUGGAAAACUUCUCAAUUCUGAAUGAAACUACGAACUGUAGAACCAGCAUAAACAUGCCACAAUUUGGUCUCUUCUUGCAGGCAAAAGAUUACAGGAGCACCUUUUCAAAUACAAGAAAAUGUCAUUUCUUUCUUGCUUUUCCAUAUUCUUUUGUUUUAUUUUCUUCUGAAUGGGUGGAGAGGGAGAAUAGAGUGAGGGGCGGACUUAAACACAUAUUGUAGAAAAUCAGUUCUAACAACUUUUAGUGACCAAUUUUUUAUAGAACUUCUUUCCUUAUAGAAACAAAGUAAAAGACAGAUAAAGUCUAGUUAAUUUCGUAUAAGAACAACUAAAGACAAAACAUGAAGAACCCAUUAAAUUUUUAUCCAAUAACUGCAAAUUUAGAGACAGAAGUGCAUGAAAAUGCUGCAACUCAAGUUUCCAAUCUCAGAUAAUAGACUAAACAAAUAUACAUAUACAUAUACAUAUACAUAUAUAUAUAUAUAUUAAAAGUUGUGCUUGCAUCUAUAUAGCACUCUUACAACAAUUAUGAACUUCCAAAAGAUUGCUCUCAAGAGUCUUUCAGCUCUCGUAAAGUCACCAUGACUAGAAUCCUGAAUCAUCUCCAACACACUUGGCAAAACUAGAAAAGUCAAGUGCAAAAGGUGCUUAACAUUCCCUCUUAUCUUUUCAGUCAUUAAUCUGUAAUAAAAGCAAGUGAACACUGAACAAGAUUUGGUUCUUUUGAAUAUACGCUCCAAAUUACUUGCAUCGUCUGACUGAAAGUGCUUUAACUACAGUCCUUGAACCUAACCAGUCUCCAUUAGCCAACUUUUGUAAAAUACAGCAUUCUACUGCAUGAAGUCUUUCAAACACACGUACUCCACAUCCCACAAUGAACUGAAUCAAAACUCCAGGUUAAUUUGAAAAAAUAUAUAAUUCCUAUAGAGGAAAGAAGUCAAAAUCAACAAUUCAUCAAGAGUAUAAUGAUUAAACAGAAAUGUAUAGCACAAAGAAGAAGAAAAAGUCACUCAUAGUAGCUUUUACAAUCAUGGUUCGCAGUCGCGUCUCGUCUCGGUCUCGACCGAGACUGAGAGACUGAGACUGAGACCGAGACCGAGACCGAGACGACUCGGCCGAAUCGUCACCGUCUCUCGAUCCCUACCGAUACAAUAUCGUGACGAAACGAUACCGAAAUACUUGACUCGUCGAGAAAUCGACCGAGCCGCUAUCGCAACGAAUUGACUCGACCAAGUCAUAUCGAGUUACUCUGAAUUAUCCCGAAUCAAGACAAAAAAUUAAUCAAACGAGAAAUCAGCCGAGUCAUGCCGCGACGGAUUGACUUGGCUGUUUCUUUUGCUAAUUUUUAAUUAUUUUUAUUUAGUAUACCUUUUUAUAUUAUUAAUAAUUUUAAAAUAUUAAAUACUUUAAAAUUUACGUCUCACCGAGACGGUGAUCGAUAUGCCGAGAUCGAUGUGGAACGUUUCGAGCCGCAACACCGACCGCAACUGUGGCUUUGAACCAUGUUUACAAUGCUUAGCAGAAGGGUCGUAUAACUGCACGAUUCUUAAAUAUUAUAGAUUACCUCAGCCAGGGCAGCAAGGAGAAGAAUGCGAUUGGAGAGGGAUUUUGAGCCAGGCAGCUUGACGGUGCCAGAUAUCUCUUUAAUAGGCUGAAGCACAAUCUCCGGCACAGUAGACGGCUUCUCAGCCGCGGCCACUGAAACAAAAACCUUCAAAGGAGACCUACCUCUAGUCAACAUCGAAUCUCUACUCAAAACCCGUGAAUAUUUUGGUGAACUUUUCGCAAUUCUUGACCCAAGUAUUAAAGAAUGUGGUGAAGAAUACUGGUUUUGGAGUUUCGAGACUUUAGGUGUAGUGAAUUGAGGAGCUUGGAUUGCUUGAGCCAUUUCUCUUUUUGCCGCAGAAUAGAGGGGACAAGGAUGAGAAGUAAUCCCUCUUUCUUUCUUUAUGUUCUUUCAAUUUAAGCUCUGAUGCAGCUACCUACCGGAAAUGGGGAUGGAGGAGGCGUUAGGUAGGCAGGGCAGGGAAGGGAAGUUGGAUUGGAAGACUAACUUGGGGGGAGUUUGGUUUGGUGGGGAUCCAUAACAAUAGUGAGAAAAUAAGCAAUUCGGCAAGAAUGGUCCCAUGACAAUAAUGAUCCCAUAGAUUUGACUGUCACCAACCACUUCUGUCCGUUAAACAAGCACAUGGACUAUCGCUGGAGUGGUGCGGGUGCCUAAUGGUUUGCCAUAGCUUAAGAGCAUUACAAUUUGAGUCACUUCCAACUUCAAGAACCUUUUGCAUUCCCCCAACUACCCCUUAAUCCCACGCCACGCCCGGGAGGAAAGAAAGAGAGAGAGAGAGAGAGAGAGAGAAUCUUUCUGUUUCUUUUUAUUUUUUUGUCAUUUUGAUUAUACGAAAAUAGCUGUCAAUCAUAUACAUUCAUUCAACUUCUGGUUUAACAAUUCGGCCAAUGUUUGCUUCGAGAUAAUCAAUUAUGAAUUAAUGUUACUGACAGUAUAUACGGUUUUGUUAUUGAAUGUACGUCACUUAAUUUCAAAUUAAAUUUGAAUAUCACUUUUUUUACAUACGUGGCAUAUGUUAAAAAAAUAAUAAAUUAUCGGCUGUCAUUUUUAUCAUUAUUAGAUGCAUGUCACUUAAUUUUAAAUUGAAUUUUAAUAUCAUUUUGUACAUAUGGGACACAUAUUAAAAAAUGAUAGCGUAAAGAUAAACUCAAUCAAUCGUAGUCCAAGUUUAAGUACUUUAAGAUUUUCUUUUCGCUCUUCCAAACACUUUAAGAAUGUAUUAGGAAUAUGUAAUUAAUAAUAUAAAAGUUAUUAGUAAUAUGUUAAUUAAUAUGCUUUUAAAGUCACAUAUUUGUUUAUAAGCAUAAAUUAUAACAUUAUUGAUUAAUACAUUAAUAAUAUGAUAUUAGUAGGCAUGAAAUAUAUUUUUAAUUAAAAUAUGAAGUUCGAUCAUUUUGAUCGGUGAUCUGGAAUUCAAGAAUCGUAUUUCAAUAUUCAUUCCCAAAUUAUUUUACCAAAUUUUAAGAUUAGACCUUAAGCAAUUUUUUCGAAUUCUGCUUUACCAAUAUCCAAUUUUCGAUCUAAAUUGAAUCGGUCAUUCAAUUCUUUGGAAGUGUGAACCCUAAGUUAAAGGGCUGACAAAGCAAAUCCUUUGUCUUCGUUAAAAAAAAAAAAAAAAAAAAAAAGUGAAAUGGGUGCUGAAUGGGACCUAAUGAGGUGAGCAAUGAGAGAAAGAACAAGCAAGAAUCAAAUUCAACAACUUGCUGAAGGUGCCAAGCAAGCUUGCUCGAAUGGUUUGUUUGGAUUGUAAGUUGUUUGGGAUAUUUUUACUGUAAUACUUUUUGUAACGUGAUGUACGUGAGAUAAAAACGUAAUUGGAAAAAUAAAGCAGCAGAACAUAACAGGGAUGGAGACUCGUCAACAUUGGAGUUUCUGACAAAAAUCUACUACAGCAAAUCCAACCUAUGGAUGCAUGGACAACAACACAUUAAUACUCCUUGUUUUACAAAUACUCCUUUUGCCUAGAAAUAGUGAAUAGAAAUGAUCUAAAUGUUCAGUUUAGUACCUUAAUUAUCAAGAUAUAAAAUGGAUUAAUCCCAAUCUUUUGUGCUAAUAGCACAUUGGAUUGUAUCGAGUCAUCAUUUAUUUUGUAAAUACUUUUGUUUCAAGUAAUACAAGCGAGUUAUUUUGGUGCUUGUCUAAAACUUUACUAUUGAAGUUUUUAAAAAAAAUUUUAAAAUAUAUAAAUUUUUAAAUAUUUUAAAAUAUAUAGCUUAAAAUUUUUUAAAAAUUUCGAGGCUACUGUAACUGAGCAAACGAAAUUUUUAAAAAACUUGUAGCAGACAAACUUGGUAAAAAACUCAACUGCCAAACAGAGGUUCGACAAAAAAAAAGGGCUUAACAACUGCGCGGUGCAUGGUUGGGCCAUGAACCAGGUUCACUCGACCUUUUACCAACCCAACUCCUCCUCCCUUAAAGGCUUAAACCCUAACAGUCCUUGAGUUACUGCUUUCCUUUCCACGACUCCAUCUCUCCCUCUCUCUUGUCUCUCCCAUGGGAGUCUGAGCGUAAAACUUCAAUCCCUCACUUUCCCAAAUCCCUCCCGGAUCAAAGUCAAAACCUUAAAAAUCGAUUCGAAGAAUGGCGUAUCUUUCAGCUUCGAAACCAUCUCAUUUCCAUCCCAGAAACCUCUCAAAUGUCUCCACCCCACUUUCGCUAAAAUCCCUCUUCUUCUUCUGCUCAUCCCCAGGUGGUAACCCCGAUCAGGAAACAGCGGCCAUUUCACCAACUGAAUCCACUGGGCCAGAAACACGGAAUGUUGAUCCUGCGGCAACGCCAUCCAGAAGCCCAAGAGGUAAGCAUCGUCGUCUUCAGAAAAACCCAGAAAAAUUAGAAGAUAUUAUCUGUAGAAUGAUGGCUAAUCGUGCUUGGACUACCCGUUUACAGAAUUCUAUUCGCAAUUUGGUUCCUAGCUUUGAUCAUGAACUUGUUUAUAAUGUACUUCAUGGUGCGAAAAACUCUGAGCACGCGCUCCAGUUCUUCAGAUGGGUGGAAAGGGCUGGACUUUUUCAGCAUACUAGAGAAACCCAUUUGAAAAUUAUUGAGAUUUUAGGCCGAGCUUCGAAGCUCAAUCACGCCAGGUGUAUUCUGUUGGAUCUGCCACAAAAGGGGGUCGAGUGGGAUGAGGAUAUGUGGGUUCUGUUGAUUGAGAGCUAUGGUAGCGCGGGCAUUGUGCAGGAGAGUGUGCAGCUGUUUCAAAAAAUGGAGGAGUUGGGGGUUCAGAGGACGAUAAAAACGUAUGAUGCUUUGUUUAAGGUUAUAAUGCGCAGAGGGCGGUAUGGGAUGGCCAAGAGGUACUUUAAUAAGAUGUUGAAGGAGGGGAUUGAGCCCACAAGGCAUACCUAUAACCUUAUGAUUUGGGGGUUUUUCCUUUCUUCGAAAGUGGAAAGUGCGGUAAGGUUCUUUGAGGAGAUGAAAAGUAGGGAAAUUUCACCUGAUGUUGUCACUUAUAAUACCAUGAUCAAUGGGUAUUGUCGUGUUAAAAACAUGGAGGAGGCUGAGAAGUAUUUCGUGGAGAUGAAGGGGAGGAAUUUAGAGCCAUCAGUGAUAACUUACACGACUUUGAUUAAGGGUUUUGUUUCUGCUGGGGGAGUUGACAAUGCAUUGAGAUUUCUGGAAGAAAUGAAGAAAUUUGGGAUUAAGCCAAAUGCUAUUACGUACUCAACCUUGUUGCCAGGGCUGUGUGAUGCAGACAAGAUGUCGGAAGCUGAUAAGAUUUUGAAGGAGAUGGUCGAAAGACAUAUUGCUCCAAAUGAUGACUCAAUCUUCACGAGACUGCUGUCUGGACAGUGCAAGGCAGGUCAUUUGGAUGCGGCUGCUGAUGUGCUCAAAGCAAUGAUUCGCUUGAGUAUUCCAACAGAGGCUGGGCAUUAUGGUAUCCUGAUAGAGAAUUUCUGUAAGGCUGGUGCGUAUCAACGAGCUGUUCAAUUGUUGGAUAAGCUUAUAGAGAAGGAAAUCAUCUUAAGACCACAGACUACUUUGCAAAUGGAGCCUAGUGCUUACAAUCCUGUCAUUGAGCAUCUAUGCAACAAUGGACAGACAAGAAAAGCUGAGAUGCUUUUGCGACAGUUGAUGAAAAUGGGUGUCCAGGAUCCAGUUGCCUUCAACUAUCUGAUUCGUGGCCAUUCAAAAGAAGGUACUCCUGAGUCAGCUUCUGAACUUUUGACAAUCAUGGUUAGGAGGAAGGUUGUUUCAGAAGCAAGUGCUCACGUAUCACUUAUCGAAAGUUACUUGACCAAGGGUGACCCUGCUGAUGCUAAAUCAGCUUUGGAUACUAUGAUUGAAAAUGGUCAUCUGCCAGACUCGUCUCUAUAUAGGUCAGUGAUGGAGAGCUUGUUUGCAGAUGGAAGAGUUCAAACAGCAAGCAGGGUGAUGAUGACUAUGCUGGAGAAGGGUGUGAAAGAGCACAUGGAUUUGAUUGCUAAAAUCUUGGAGGCUCUCCUUCUGAGGGGCCAUGUUGAGGAAGCCCUGGGAAGAAUUGAAUUGCUUAUGCAAAAUGGACUUGCACCUAACUUUGAUAAUCUUCUGUCCAUUCUCUGUGAGAAAGGGAAGACAAUUGCUGCUUUGAAGUUGUUAGAUCAUUGUUUACAGAGAGAUUAUAGUGUUGACUUCUCCAGCUAUGAUAAAGUUUUGGAUGGCCUUUUAGCUGCUGGAAAAACUCUUAAUGCAUAUUCAAUUCUGUGCAAGAUAACGGAGAAAGGAGGAGUUACAGACAAAAAUAGCUAUGAAGACUUAAUCAAGACCCUUAAUGCAGAGGGAAACACUAAGCAAGCAGAUAUUCUUUCAAGAAUGAUCAUGGCCUCCAAUAGCAAGAAAGGAAAGAAACAAGCGUCUAUGGCAUAGUUGGCCUCUUUAUUCUGGACUCUUUGAAUUUCAGGGUUACAGCUUUUGAUUUUAGCUUACUUUAAUGGGAUAUUAUGGGUUUAGCUAAGUGGCAGAAUAGUUCAGGUCGAAUUGCAUGUCUUUUUUAAUCUUAAAUAGCAGCAGAAUCUAAUUGUUUUCUGUAGAAAUUAUGAAAGUCUACCUCUUCAGAAUAAAUAAAAGAAGGAAAUAUGCUGCUGAGGUUUUCAUAAAAGCAUAUAACCUUGCAUUCAUAUUAUUGACACUUUGACACUGUACUGUAUACAUGAAAGCCAAAUUUUUGCAUUUAAUUAUCUGGUUAUGGCUGUUGAGAAAUGAGAACUGCUAGAGCUUUGCAGGAUCAUCUCUCAUUGAAGGAUUUCUCAUUCCGAUUUACAUGGAAAGCAUCCGUCUUGAUAUCUAAGAGGCUCUCUGCGUAGGAACAGCCUCUGGGUACAUUGUGCUUCAGCAUAUGACACUAAUAUUCCAGCUCGUGGAAAUAUAAUUACAUUGUUGUCUCUGUGUUUUGGUUUUUGAUAAGGUCAACUGUUUCGCUAUUUUCUUAACUGCACCUUGAUGAUGAGUGAAGUAUGGCUUAUCUUGCUUUGUUUUCUACCUUUGUUACUGUUGCCUUGAUAAGGAUUAAAAUUGGAUUGGGCAAAGUAAUUUCUGCUUUUGUUGAUUAAAGAUAGGAUCAUCCAUCGUGUGGUAUGUCACCGUCACGUUAGUGGUACCUCAAGAGUUUUUUUUUUUUUUUUUUUGGGUCACACACUUAUUUCUACAGUGUGAUUUACCUUUCAACAGCGCAAAGAAACACACGCACAUAGAAUCUAAGGUAAUACGCACAUAGAAUCUAAGGUAAUUUCACCAGUUUACUCAAAAGACAAUUGCUGACUUCUGGAUAAAUUCACGGACUUUAAAUCCUAUUCACACACCUCUUACAACCGAUGUGGAAACAAGGAGUUGGGGGAAAGGGAACACAGGAAGCUUAAGAGCCUUGACUAAGAACCCAUACGGACACUGACACUCCUCUCCUGUUUUCCUUUUUCUUUCAACAGCAGUGUGAUUUACCAUAAUGUGGUUAUCACAUCACUCUGUAGAAUUUUCCUUAAAAAAAUGUCUACAAAGUAAAUAAAGAGAAAAGGCUGGCAACAGGUCAAAGGGCUCAUUCUAUUUGGCACUUCGUUGCCUUACUUUCAAGUACGCCAAUAGGGCAGUUGAACACUAGCUAGCUUAUGCCAACUGGAGUUUAGUUGGGAUGGCAAUAUCAGUUAGCUCACGAGGUACUAGAGAUUGUUCUUCUAAACCAAUUCAAUUUUGGGACUCUUGAUUUCAACUGACUGUGUUACAGAUGCAAUGGGACUCUUGAUUGAGGUCGAUUCGAUUGUAGUUUUUUUUUCAUUCAGAUUUCGGCAAUCUUUCGUCUCUGUGAAAAGGAAAAGGAAAAGAAUGGACUGGAAAUGUCUGAAUUUGAUAUGAAUGAGGGCUUUGAUAUGAAUGAAUCUUUCGUUGCUUUGGCAAAUAUUACACUUAUGCUCGGUGGGAACAGCGGAUGGACGAUUGCCCAUGUGACACUCUCCUGUUAAUACUCUCAAAGAUCUACACCUAACGCAUGAUUCUGCUUAAUAAACAAUUAUACAGAACAUCACUGAUCUGAAGUUGUUGGAUAGUACUAAAGUCUUGACUUCGAAGUUCCCGGUAAGGUAGGUGUUGAAUUGUUCUAUGCACUAUCACACGAUUCUGUACAAGAGUUUUUUUGACUCGGGGGAAUUUUUUUAAUAAACGACCAUAAUUGGAUUAUUCUUAAGAAACUGGUUAUAUCUAAUAAAACUCACUCGUGAGUGUCUCACCAUUAAAUCAUCCUGUGGUAGGCCAUUGGACGUUUGUAAUUAAAUAAAGAACUGCGUUGCAUUUUGCAUAGGAGGAGAAUAUGCCUUUUACCAUUCUCAAGGCAUAUUAUUCCAUGGGAGGAUACUUUUUUCACGGUCCAUACCAAACCAUACUUCCAACUUCCAGGGAAAUAAAGUGCAAUAAUUUGAGCUCUUCAGCUAAGCUAAGGUAAACCUGUUGCCUCUGCACAAGAAAAUGGUACUCUGGUAUAAUACUAGUAGACAAGUACGUACGUUGAGGAUAGGCAGGUUGAGAGCCAGAAGUUCAACUACCACAUAUGAAAUAGCCACACCCGCAACAUUCAACAACCACAUAACAAUGGAUGGAUCAUCAUUCAUCGCCCCACUCCCGGUCCCAUACAUUGUUUGUUUGUUUGUUUCUGGCUUAGGAAAUCCUCAUUCUCAGCCUAAAGAGAUUGGGUUGCCCCACACAGGUUUUGAAAGGUUUGAAGCUCCGCAGCAGUCCAUCUCAAUACAAAUUCUGAAAUUUACUCUAUGUGUUUAUCCAAGAUAUCAUAUAGCGAACAUUGGAACUCUUAUUGGUCCGUUUAAUAUCGUUAAGAAGCGCCGGACAUCACAUUUCCAAUCGCAGCAAAAUGACUCAGAAAAGCUACUCACUAUUCAAAGACUGCGAGCAGUUUUGAUGAUACAUGGCAAUGUGGAGGAGAGCUUAUUAGUCUCAUUUAUCUCUAUUAAAACAUGAGAAAACAUAAUAAAGAGGGGAAAAAAACAAACAAACAAACAAAAAGGACCUCCAAUCAAAUAACCACAUCAAAUUACAAAAACCACGUUCCAGUGUACAAGUUCAGAAGCAUCCUAAACUGCCUCCUCUCUGCAGCCUCAAAUUGCUCCACCGAUGAAGGCAGCUGCUAAAGCAAGAAAUUUUUCUUCUCUUAUUAUGAAAUGUCAAAUGGCAGUCAAUUGAGCCAAGAACCUCACCAAGGGUUUUUGCUGUAAACUGCAGCCUCAUAUAACGAAUCCAAAAUACCUCAGCACAGAACGAGCAACUGGAAAUCCCAUUUUCUGAAGCCUAAGAAACACUUUUUGCUGCAGCUACAACAGCCUCUGCUGUAAUGCCAAGCUCCUUGUAUAUUUUUCCUGCAGGAGCACUAGCACCAAAUCGGUCAAUUCCGAUUGCUUUUCCUUUAGGUCCAACAAUCUUCUCCCAUCCGAAUGUUGAUCCUGCCUCGAUGCUAACCCUAGCUGUUACAGCCGCUGGAAAGACACUUUCCUUGUACUCAGCUGAUUGCUCAUCAAAAAGCUCCCAUGAAACAAGAGAGACAACUCUGACGGCCUUCCCUUCCUUUCUUAGUUCAUCAGCAGCUUUGGCUGCAAUUUCCAACUCUGAACCAGUUCCAAUCAAGAUCACAUCAGGCUUGUUGCCUGAAGAGUUGUCUGAUAUAAUGUAGCCACCCUUUGCCACUCCUUCAAUAGAAGUUCCAGCAAGUUGGGGCAACUUUUGCCUUGAGAGAGCAAGGAUUGAUGGUCUCUUCCUAUUGAGGACAGCUACCUUGUAAGAACCAGCUGUCUCAUUCCCAUCAGCUGGACGCAACAUCAAAAUAUUAGGCAUUGCCCGAAAACUUGCCAAGUGCUCAAUUGGCUGAUGGGUGGGUCCAUCUUCUCCCAGCCCAAUUGAAUCAUGAGUCAUCACGUAGAUAACACCGGCCUCAGACAAGGCAGAUAUCCUAAUGGCAGCUCUCAUGUAGUCAGUGAACACAAAGAAAGUUGCACAGUAGGGAAGUAGGCCAGGGCUGUGGAGAGCAAUCCCAUUACAGAUGGAUCCCAUACCAUGCUCACGUACACCAAACCUAACAUUACGCUCUUCUGGUGUCUUCUUUUGGAAGUCACCAAACAUCUUAAGAAGGGUCAUGUUAGAGGAGGCAAGAUCAGCACUCCCACCAAGCAGACCAGGGAGAACCUUAACAAGGGCAUUAAGAUUUUGCUGAGACAGGUUUCUGGUGGCAUCAGCUGGGCUCUCAGGAGUGUAUGCCUGAGGGUAAAAGUAUAAAAAUCACAACUGAAUUAAACCACAGGACAAGGGAAGGGAAUGCAAUGCCAGGUCAAUAGAUCUGACUUGAAAGCAGACACUAAAUAUAAUUGAGUCCAAUUUGUUUAGUCCAAAAGAAAAGUUUCCAAAGACAAAGGAUAAUAUAUAUGCAAAUUAACAGAAUGAAUCUCGAUGUCACAAGGUGAAAUAAAAGAGCAAAUCUGUUUCUUAGCUACUUACAGGAAGCGCUUUCUCCCAUCCAGCUGGCAAUUCACCAGUUAUGAGGGACUUCAACUCAGCAGCUUCUUCUGGAUAUUUUUUUUCAUAUUCAGCAAAUUUGGCAUUCCAUUCAGCUUCAUAAGCAGCACCCACAGGAACAUGGCGGCUCCAGUGUCUGAAGAAAAAAUGAUCACAAUUGUAAGUUUUCAAGAAAAAGUUAGCUAAGUUUUAUCCAAUUCAAGAAGCAGGCGAGAUCAUUCAUACUUCUUGACAUCCUCAGGAACAUGGAAAGGCUCAUAAGGCCAUCCAAGGUUCUGCCUAGUGGCCUCUACUUCCUUGGCACCCAACGCACUGCCAUGUACACUGUAUGAGUUUGCCUUGUUGGGGGAUCCAUAACCAAUUGUUGUGGUUACCUGUAUGGAAGAAAUAUAUUUAACAAAAAUAUCCCAAUUUGAAGAAUGCAGGAAGAAACACCAAGCAAUCAAGCUGGAAAUAUUUCAAAUCUACCAGCCCAUUCAAUUUAGCGGAGGAACUGUUUUAGAGAUAAAUGCAGCAACAACUAUAGGAAAACAUGAAGUAAGGCUCAAGAUGAAGCAUAAUCAGUAUCUGACCUUGAUCAAGGUAGGCUUGUCUUUUACAGCCUUUGCUUCCUUGAUGGCAGCACGAAUUUCAUCAUAACCUGUAUUACCAUUCUUGACCCAGAUAACAUGCCAUCCAAGAGCCUCAAACCGGAGUUCGACACUCUCGGUGAAAGCAAUUUCAGUAUCACCAUCAAUUGAAAUAUGGUUAUCAUCAUAGAAGGCAAUCAGCUUUCCAAGUCCCCAGUGGCCAGCAAGGGAACAAACUUCAUUGGAGACCCCCUCCAUUUGACAUCCAUCACCAAGGAUAGCAUAUCUAUAUAAGAUGUAAAAGUCCCGUCAUUAAACAACAUAGAGAACUGGUAUUUGAGACCCACCAGAAAAUUGAAACAACUAUUAACAAUUCAGGAAGUCAUAUUACGUGUAGUGGUCAACAAUCUCGGCAUCCGGUUUGUUGUAACGAGCAGCCAAGUGUUUCUCAGCAAGGGCUAAACCAACAGCAUUUGCAAUACCUUGGCCAAGCGGACCUAAUCAAAAGCAAUGAGAGACAACGAUUAGUCCCACCACUCCGUUCAACGUCCAAAUAUACUAGCUGAACUAAAUUCUAACCAGUGGUGACUUCAACACCAGGGGUCUCAAAGUUCUCAGGAUGACCCGGAGUUUUGCUUCCCCAUUGGCGGAACUGCUUCAAAUCUUCCUCCUAAAUAUCCCAUGGAAACACAUUCAGUCCAACGGGAGAAAAAAAAACCCACUCCAUAACUCAAUCCAGCACAAGCAAUGUCAUGAAAACAACUUGAAACCUUCCUGCACAGGACAAUAUCACCCCCAUCUUGCUACUUUAAAAACCCAGGCUCCAUUUACUAGCUCAAGUAAUACAAUCAUCUUAUACCAGGUGAAUUAAACAAACUACAAGCAGACCAGUGAAAAAAAAUCAGCAACCAACUCUAAACAGUACCAAAUAAUUGAAAAGGCAACAGAAAAUAAUAAAUGUAAGCUAAUUAUAAAACAAGAUCAGAUAUAAUCCAGUAAAAUUCCAUUCAAAAUCCAAUUGUUACCAGAUUCUCCACCAAAACCACCUCCAAAAUGAGGUGCAAAAGUCAAACAUCACAGCAAAAUGCAUUGAAAAUCCGAUCUUCAGCAAUGUUCUAACAAGCCGACCUCGAAAAUGACAUGCAGAGUUGGAAAACCACAAAUCCAAGAAAAAACCAGAUCCAAAAUCCAAUCUUCAAACCCAAAAAAAAAAUAAUAAUAAUCUGGGACUGCACCAGUUAGAUCGGAUAAAAGGAUGAAUUCACACAGAAACUACGAUUAAUAAGUUUUGACCUUGACAGAGUCAUAUCCAGCAAGGUGAAGCAAAGCAUACUGAAGCAUACAUCCAUGGCCGGCUGAGAGAACAAACCGGUCCCUGUUGAACCAAUAAGGAUUCUUGGGAUUAUACUUCAUGACCUCAUCAUAAAGAAUAUGACCCAUUGGAGCGCAACCCAUGGGUAGACCCGGGUGACCGGAAUUAGCCUUCUCGACAGCAUCGACGGCCAAGAAACGGAUGGUAUUGAUGGACUUUUCUACAAGGGCCGUGCCGGUUUUCUCCAGAGUUUCUACUGCAGCUGAGGCCAAGACCUGGGCUUGGCGUCGACCCGCUGCUGGGACGGAGGGACUGCGGCGGCGGGAGGCAGCAGUGGUGGUUGUGGAGGGGGUGGAUUUGAGGGCAGAAAACGUGGGGAAGGAAACAGAAGGGAGGUGGGGGUUGGAAGAGCCAUGGCGAGGGAUGGAGCCGGCGAGAACGGCCUGGGAGAGAGUGAGGGAAGAAGAAGAAGCCAUGACUCUCUUGUGGUAGUGGUGUUGGUGGGGACUUGGGAGGGAGAAGAAUUAGGAGGUGUGUUUGUUCGGGGUGGAUAGAUUAUAUCGAGAAGGGAGGGAGGAGAGUUGGUGGACUUUUUAAUUUGAUUUUGUUGCUGUUUUUAUUUAAUGAUGAUGGAUAAUAUAUAUGACGUCGUACUACAAAAACACAUUGGUGUGUGCCGUGAGAAAGGGAUAAAAAGAGGCUCUAUUGGAGACCGAAAGAGGUACAAAAGCUUUGCUUUUUUUUUUUUUUUUUAAAAUUUUGGAAAAGGGUAUUACCGAAUUAUAGAAGAGUGUUUAAUUAUAAAUUUGUAGCAUUUAAAAUGUGAAAAAUAAUUUUUAAAAAUUAUUAGAGAUAAAAACAAGGAAUCGAAACGAAACGGGCCUUGAGCAUAUGUACACCAAUUGAGUCAAUAAAAAGCCGUUAACAGAACCUCAACUGUAAACGCUGCUACUAUUACUAAUAUCCAAUUCUUGUGUAUGGCAAGAGAUGAACGGUUGAAAGGACAAAAGAUUUUAUUAUUGAGAACUGGGGUAAGGAAGAAAAGGGACAGAGAUUCGAUCAAUGACAGACAGAGACUGGGGAAGAAGAAGAGGGAGAGCUUGUGGUGGCAUGAGAUAGGAUGGGGGAGGAGAAACCGAGGAAGAGAUCGGGGCCGUUGAGUAAGGGUAGGAUAUCAAUGCUUUUCAAAUUUUUAAUGAAUUAACGUUGUCCGCAUGCAGAAUUUUCUGACUCAAGUUGUGCAUUCGUUUGCUUUGUAAGGUGAAUUAAACUAAGAGAGCAACAACGACUAAUAAAGUCUUGAUCAAACCUCCUUAGAUUAGAUUAGAUUAGAUUAGAUUAUAGGCGGGGUUCAGACCUCAAACCUUCAAGGCUUCAACCAAAAAAAAAAAAUUUAAGAAUAGUAUUAUAGCAUUUUUUUGAUUUAGUUAAAUCUGUAUACUCACUAAUCUCUAACACAUGCCUCCUUAAACUUUCCUUCCCCUUAAAUAAGAAUAGAAUAGAUUAUACAAUGUAUCGUUACUGGCACGACAAAAAACGCAGCCCCCAAUUUGGUUUGGUGAGAUUUGCGUCUGCAUGACAUAAAUUUUUGUUUGCAGCUCUUGGAAUAUUUGCUAUGCAUUUCAUCAAUCAACUAACUAACGGGUCUUGUCUUGAAAGAAUGGCUCUAAAAUUUUAAUAGACCACAACAUAAGUGGUCGUUGUAGGAGAAAAGAGAGAACAUAGGUGGAGUCGGCGAAAUGUUUUAAGAACAAAUCUAGGGAUAGUUUUCGCAUCCUGUACAAAUUCAACCUCAUUGACUAGAAAAAGUUGAGCCGCCAGACUCCACCUACCUCCGUAUCCAAUCCACCAUUUCUGUUAUUGUUUUGGCAACCCUUCAAUGACUUAGAGGCCAUUCAGAGGUUGCUGAGCUAUAUAUAUAUAUAUGCGUAGGGCAAAAAAAAAAAAAUGGGUGGGGGGUUAGAGUAUAUGUCAUUGGGUUCUGUGACCUCAGUCCUCUAUAGCCGAAAGUCAAGCAUCUUCUAUCUCUUAGAAUAAAACACCUAGAAGGCUAGAACCAAUACGCAAUAAGUGACGCAAUAACUCAUGUGGGCUUUUGGGCAUACAAGUGACGCAAUAAUAAGACAACAAAAGUAGAAGAUGAUGAUCUUCUUCAACAAAUUUGCAACCAAAUAAGAAAACCUCAAAGCACCCGACCCGAGGACAAAAUUUUCAUAAAUGAUGAAUAGGAUCGAUGUUCAACAACAAUGAGGCUAAUCCCUUUAGCGGGCGUGUAGACAAGCAAAACAAGCCCUAAUAUCAAAAGAAAGUACGAAAAGUUAGAGAACAUAUUGCAUGAAAACAAAUAAUAAUAAUAAUAAUAAAAGAGUACCCCAAAAAAGGCUGGAUUUUGACAUGAAAAAUUCUUGGCACCCUGGAGACUAGAAGUUUGCUACUCAAAAGUCAGCUUCAGAUUAAACUUCUGCAUAUAUGCUCAUCGUGCGCAAGUCUAGCACGGAGUCUGAAGGGCAAAAGCUUGUUCAAACAAGGAAUGGCAGCUAGUAAUUUAUUUUUAAACGACAAAGGAUGAAUAUAACAUCAAGAAAAAUACACCAAAUCUAUACUCGUCAAAUGCUGAAAAGUUGACUUCUAAAUUUUCAGAUGUAUCCAUGGUACAUUACAAAUUAUGUUGUAAGAACAGGUGUUCUCGAAAGUUCUGAAGUCCUUGUGAUGGGGAUAAUGGAAGGAGAGAUGACUAAAACGUUGAUUUUACCACCAGACGAUUUGAUUCAUUGUCAUUCAGCCUCAGACAACAAAUUGGUUCUAUAAUUACAAAGCUACAAGGAAACAAAGCACCCCUGCAUUGAUUUCUAGGGAAUCAGUAUAAACUUACAUCAGUUUGACUCGUUUACAGUUUGAAGCCAAAUUUCGGAUCCCUCGGCCAGUUACAGCAUAUGGAGCAGAUGCUGAUCGAAUAGAAGGUGACUUGUCAAUGUGGGCAUAGCGUCCAUUGCCAUUCCAGUACAAAAUGAUACGAUUUGUACAAGCAUGUGACCAACUAUCACCUGCCCAGCAAGAUUUAGGAACUCAGAAAAGGAUAUGUCCCUGAUGACCAGAAUCUGGAAUCAGGUUGGAUGAAAGACAAAGAGGGAGGAAAAAUUAACUAUAAAAACAACAGUAGCAGAGCACCCAAGGAAAGACAAGUAUAAGAAAAUUAUUCUUAAAGAAGACAGAUUCUUACCUAGAGCAAGAGUCAGUUGAAAUGAACCUCCCGAAUACUUGGUGGUUACUUGAUUCAACAAAAUAACCUGUAUUAUGAUGUCCUCUGGUCAUUAGAGUGCACAAACAUGAAGUAAUGCCAUUCAGUUGGAUAAGAAGGAGACAGCUUAAAGAAUAUGAGAAGGAAAAGAGAUAGUCUAAUUCUUACCGCUAGAGUAAAUUUCUUUGCAAGUUUCAUCAACUUCAAGGCCAUUCCACCAAGUAAUCGAGUUCUAAGUGCCAUGUCAUCAAAAUCUUGACGGAAGUGAAAAGUAAUGCUGUCAACAAUAACAACCUUGAUCUGUGACAGUAGAGGAAUGUCAAUAAUUUACAACGAAAAUUUGCAUAAUGCAAGCUCUCAAUGACAUCACCAACAUCAUUAAAAGAAAAGAAAAAAAAAAGAACUUAAAUACUACACCUACAUCUUUAUGCUCUGAAAUGAACUUCUCCAAGUAAUUUAUCACGGCGAUUUGCUCUGUGUAACUGCAAAUGCGAAAGUAGUAUAUAUUGGCAAGAAAAUCAUUUGCCUGCAGAUUUACUUGACGGGCUGGCAAAUCUUUACGUAGAAAGCUAUCAUAUUCUUGCAUGUCUUUGAUGCAUGCUUCAGCAACUUGCUGAACACGUUCAACCAUAAAGCUGCCUUCUGUAUCUAAAAAAAGAACUCAUAGAAUCUUCAGUUGAAAUGCCUUUGGAGAAAGCAGUAGCAGAUUUAGUCACACCACCAUGAGUAUUUUGUGUACCGUACUUACCAAUAUAAACUGCUUUCCCUGCAAGGCCACCAUAUUCAAGUGGAAUUUGAACAUUGAUGGCAAGUUGAAUACUGCAUGCUAGUAUAUGUCUUAAUAAGAACCAAAAGGAACAGAACAAAAUUUGUCAAUCAACUGUAAACAGGAACAAAUUCUUACCCAAGUUGUGUUUUACCAAUUCCUGGCACUCCACCUGACAAAAUAGAAAGUGAUAAAGCUUGAGAUUGUCAGCAAUUUGUAGAUGUCCUCUGUCUCGUUCUCUCUCUCUCUCUCUCAAUGAAAGUGUUUAAGGUACCAAACAUGGUAGGAACCACCAUAGAGAUGAUAAAAGACUAACCAAUUUCAGUAACUUCUUUGCAACUUAUUCCUCCACCUAGGAUGUCAUCAAGAUCUGCACAUGAUGUGGUAAUUCUUCUGCAUGAUUCCUCCUCAUGCAACAUGUCCCAGGCGGUCUGUGCCCCUAAACAAGAAGAAAAAAAUUAAGAUUCAGUUAGCCGAAUUUUGUGCAUCCCUUGUAAGAGGCCGCAUCUAGCAGACAAAAGAAAUAUCUUACACAACAAGAUCUAUGGGUUAACAAAUUCCUUCAUUCACAAUCCUCAGUAAACAAAAUUUACACACACACAAUCGGUGAUACACUUUUACAACUUACUGUGUUGGCAUGCCAGUAAAAUGGUAGAAAAACAAGAAGAUAUUCACAUAUUCACCUAAAAAAAAUCUCAAGUACAACAAAAGUGCUAAUUCGGCAUAGUAGGUGAAUCUUCAGACUAUAUAUUCCAUAACGCGAAAUGUAACAAAGCAAGAAAAAACUAAACAAGCCCAGCAUAUCACUGUAGAUUUGCCCUCCUUAAAAAUAAUAAAAAUAAAAAUUUUGUAGCUCCACGAAACGGAUACAUCACACCUAUUUGGUAAAAGCAAAAGGAAAAGAUUACCAAGUACAAUCCCUUUAUGAUGAUAGUCAUGACUCAUGCAUUAGUGAAGUAAAACAAAUAGAACAACUCCACAGCAACAUCAAAUUCCACAGCAACAUCAAAGGCCCCCCUCAAAAAAAAAAUCACAAUAAUAAUAUAUAAUCAGCAUUGAUAAAUUACUCAAACCAUCAACAAUAGAAUGGUGACUUGGAAUGGUUCUCUCCGGUCCACCCCUUUGGGAUGCCACCUUCAAAAUCCCAGUAGCCUCGUUCUCUGAAAUCCCCAAAUCUAGCCAUUAAACAAGAGAAACCCGUCAGGGGAAAUGUUAUAAAAUAUUCAAAAAUUUAACUCACACUCAUUUAGCGCAAAGAUUAGCUAUUAUCCAACAAUGAGAUGUAUUUGCAAUCAAAUACGAGUACACAAGAAAAAAGAGAAUAGAUGACAUAACAGCUCUAGUAAUACCAACAAGAAGGCAUACCACGGGCGAGGUGGGCGGGCGAGAUAGAGCUGAGGGAGGAGAUAGAAAUGUAGCCGGCGGAUAUCAACUUUGCUCUAUGCGAAGCUGAAAUUGGGAGACUCGAUACUUCCAUUCUCUCUCAAAUUUGUCUCAGUGUGUGACUGUGUGUUUUUGUUUAGAAGCUUUUCGCGGUUUUUGUUCAAUUGAGAAUCUGUUCAAAGGGUUUCAAUUUCAAUUCAAGUGCUGCUGCAAAGGAAGCAUUCACAAUACUUAAACGCUGCGUUUCAGAAACAUUAUAAAAGUUUCUUCGGCCCAGAGACUCUACCAAGCUGGCCCGAAUCCGUUGAACUCGUCUUAAUUAGAGAAAGUUCUGGUUUGCUGUAAAAGGUUGAUAUUGAUUUUGUUUCCUAUCGUUCGGCCGCUGCUACAUACGCGCAUCGCAGCAGAAGGCUUAUUUCAUUGGGCCCGAGUUUUAUUCACUCUUGAGUCUUGACCAGUUUGAAUUCAUUCAUCAUUUAGGGUCCGUUUGGUUGGACUGACAAUAUUUUCCCUAGGAAAAUAUUUUCCAUCGAAGCCACUUUCCUGAAAAAUCAAUUCCUUCCCCAAAAUUUUCCAGUGUUUGGUUAUUAAGUGAAAAUAUUUUCCAAAUUCCUUUUUUUAUAAUUUUUCAGUGUUUGGUUUGUCAAUCAAAAACCUUAUUCAUGGUACAGAAUUAGAACUAUUGGUACGUAAAAGCACCCUAAUCAAGUCUAGAGUGACUCAAAUCCCUGCUUUAAAUGUUGUCGGCCUCAGUUGGAUCAAAAAUCUGGAACAAUUCAAUACAUACAGAGGCAAAUAUAUGCCAAAAUAUAAAAUAUUGCUCAACAAAAACAAAAAUCACAUCUCCAAAUGGAAAAUGGUCCCAAAAAUAUCAGUUGCCCAGGCAGUAAAUCAUGGUUACAUCAUUAAUAGCACUGAAGAUUAUGUCCUUAAUAGCAGAGAUCUUCUGAUCUGUGACCGAUUGUGGAGAGAUGUAUCCCCUAUCAAUCUGCAUGUCAAAAAGAAUACUAACCAAGUCAUAUUUAAAUCACAAUUAUCAAGUAAACAAAACGCAAAGCAGGGGAAAAAGAUUUUCAUAUCAAGACUUGGGAAAGGCAUGGGGAAGCAGCUCGAACAGACCUCCAUUCCUUCCUCCACAUUGACUGUAGUCUCAAAGGAAGAGGAUGACUCAAUGGACAAGACACCAUCAGGUCCAACCUUGUCAAUUGCAUCAGCAACCAUGAUUCCAAUAGUUUCAUCAUUUCCAGCAGAGAUAGUAGCAAUGGCUGCAUAUAGAGGAAGAAAUACAUCAAUACGAAUUUCUCUGGUGACAUCAAACUAGGAACUAAAUGGACAAUACAUAUGGAUCCACAUCAUAAGAGCCAAAAGAUAUACCUUUGAUAUCUUCACGACCUUUAACUGGCCUGCCCUUUUUCUCUAGCUCAUCAAUCAAACCUUGUGCAGUGGUUUUUGGGCAUGAAGAAUGAGAAUCAUGGGACAAUAACUUCACUCAUCCAUGGUUAUAACAGGCAAUGAUAAAUUUUUAGGAUUGUUAUCUCUGCAGAGCACUCCCUGCAACGGUAUUAGCAUAUAGAUACAGGGGCUGCUAAGACGUGGACGUAUCAAAGAGCGGCAGAAAUAAUUAGACACGAUACAAAAUGAACAAAAACAUUUAAUAGCUCCAAUGCCUCUCACGCAAACAGCUUUUCAGUACCGAUAGUUAAUAUUUGGAUGCCAGUACAACCAUAAAUAAUACAAAACCAUGACAGAAAAGGAUGACCAUAUUCAAUAUUACAGUUGAGACGAGAUUUUACAAGAGCGAAAUCUCAAAUGUUAAAAAGUUACAGCUCAACUGAGCUUGAAAGUGCCCUGCGGGUACUAACAUAAGCCUCCACUAGCAAGAAACUGCUGACUGAGAGUUUCAUUUCAAGGCAGAUAUCUAGUUUAAUAUAUACACUUCAGAAAGAUCUGUAUUCAAGUUCAAAAUUCUUCGAUCAACUGAGUUCCUAGCUAACUAACUUACAUCCUUUCGUCGGUCUAUUUGUGCAAAUAAACUAGCCUACUGUGUGACUAAGAAGCUACUAACCAGUUUCAUGUCUUAAAUAUCCAUCUUGAGUACAAUAUUGUUGACAUUGCUCUCCUGUAAUUUCUCCAGCGCAACAACCUCAGCCCGAUAAGCUGCUGCUGCAGCCGCUGUCCUUGCCCUCUCUCCUUGAGGAAGUUCACAUGCUUCGCUGAGAGAACCCAAUCUCAACUCAGCAGGUGGAAUGAAACACUCUCCCGACAGACCAGGAGCAUUAAAGGCUACUUCCUCGAUGGUCCAUGCUUCUUCCAUCCUGGUUUUGGUAUGACUCAUUGCUGUAUCCCCGAACCUGAAAAGGAUAACCACUGAUCGCCCAGAGUGAGCAAUCACGAUCCCCUCAACAGGCUCACCAGAUUGUAAGAAAACACUACCCUACCCUACCCUACCCGGAUUCUGAUUCCAAGAAUCAUAAAACCCCCAAAACUCAGCAGCCAAAUUAAUUCAUUAGCAUCAAUCAAAUCAGAUUUAACACUAAUCAGAUAAGAACAAACUAAAACAAAAGCAAUCCACAAAUAUUCAUUCAAAUCCAACUUCAAGAAUCUACACCAGUAAUUCUAGACAAUUUUUCAAAGGAAAAGGGAGGGAAAAAAAACUAAUAAGAGAUCAUCAUACCUCUGGAAAUACUUAAGGAGUCUUCACCUUUGUUGAAAAUGCUAUUGUAGGAACGGGAAUGAGAUGUCGCUGCCAGAGUGGGGAUGAGCCGUUGAUAUUGGCCGCCGUAGUUGGAGAUGCCGCCGGCGAAGAAGGGAUUUGUUUGCUGAUGAGAUGUCGCUGGAGAUGGUUUGUUAUCACUGCCCCGAAGAAGAGACUGGUCUUUCAUCGAUGGUUCCUUGCUUGAGGCUGUGAAAAGAAGACUGCUUUUACGAGAGUGAAGUUAUUUUCCUCUCGUAAGUGCAACUUAUUUUCUCUCAGAAAUUAUUUUUCUAAAUUAAUUGACAACCAAAUAAUCAAAAAUAAGGAAAAUGUUUUCCAAAAAACCUUUUUCAUCCAAACAAACAGACCUAAAAUUGUUGUUCAUAUGGGCUCUUUUUAUUUAGUUAACAAGAAUCAUAAUCAUAUUAGUAAUAGAAUUAGUUCAUAUGCUUUAAGCAUCAUUCAAAACGAGAAAUUUGAAUUUCUUAGUAUCAGCAUCAUUCAAAACGAGAAAUUUGAAUUUCUUAGUAUCGAAAUACACUGAUUGUAUAAUUUCAUCGAACCUUUACUAGAAACUGUAAAGCUUUUGUUAAUUUAUAAAAUCACUUACCGUUCCGAAAAAAAAAAAUCAUUUCCAGCGAACAUGUCUUUUUCUUCUUUGAACACAAUUAUUCGUUCGUAUACGUCCCACAGAAUCCCUGAACAGUUUAAAAUACUCAAAGGUUGUCUCGACAACUUUGCUGAUGCUAGAUGACUCUGUUUCUUCUGCAAAAGCUGGGAAGCUUUCUAUUCCUUUGCUGUUAGAGUACAAAUACUUGAUGGUAUAUUGGUAUUGAUAACAUAACGCACUCUAGCAAUAUCAAUUCCCAAUGCAUAUGUCAACCCGGUAAGGUAUUCUGUAGCGUACAAGAACUAAACAAACUGAUAUUGAACUUGGCAGAAUUAUCUCUAAUGCAUGCGUUGCAGUUUUAGAUUUCCAGCGUAGCUAAAAUGCAAUUUUCAUCUCUAAGUAAGUGAACGUUUGAUCAAUUGAUACAACUGCACAUGGGGGAAAAUUGCACUCUACAAACCAAAAUUUAUGAAGCAUUAUGCUUGUGCAUGUACAGAAACACAGUGCAGAUAACUGAAUAAACUCUUUUACGUCCUGAGAUGAAAUAAGACCAAGUUGUUUAAAUUGCAGAGAUCCGGGGCCUUGUGUGGAUUUAUAUGGUACGAGUGUUAGCUAGUUAAUUGAGGGCAUAAAAGCACAAUACCAAGAAAUGUUGAUGGUCAAGAGGAUUUCAUUUUCUUCAUGAAGUCUUCAACCCUUGUAGCAGCAUCAUGCUUCUUGUUUUGUCUAAGUUCAUCCAGGAGCAAGCGACAGGUAACAUAUCGAGGGGUUAUGUCUUGAGCUAUCAUUUUCGUGAAGUAAUUAUAUGCCUCUUCAGGUUUAUUUACUUUGCACAGCCCAUGGACCAGAAGUGCAUAAGUUGACAAAUCAAAACUCAGAUGAUGCUUGCUAGACAUCUCAUCCAGCAGCAUACUCAAGCGAUCAUCUUUGUUUCCACCUUUAAAGCAUGCCUUGAGCAGAGGAAAAUAUGUCUGCACUUCAGGCUUACAAUAAGUCGACUUUUCCAUAUCCCUGAGAAACUCCAACGCCAAUUCUUCUCGUUCCUGCUGACAAAGCAUUGAAAUCAUUGUAUUGUACGUUGAUGUACUUGGGGCAACCCCCAUCUGGGGCAUUUCUACCUUGAAAACAUGAAUAGCAUCACUAAUUCGUCCAGCCCUGCCUAAAGUAUAAAGAAAAGCAUUGUAGAACAGUGUAUCAGCUUUACAUCCAACAGAUUUCAUUCUAUCAAUUAUCCGCAAGGAUUCCUCAAGUGCCCCAGACUUCGUUAAUGAAUGCAUGAUUGUGGUGAAAGUCACAACAUUUGGGGUGCACUUUUGAUCUUUCAUUUCAUCAAGCAGCUCAUACACCCUACUGAAGUUAAAUUGAUGGCAGUAGAACUGAAUAAUGGUUGAGUAGCUGAUAACAGUGGGCCGAAAACCAUGACCUUUCAUCUCUUCAAUUGUCCAGUGUGCCUCUUCGACCCUAUUAAUUUUGCACCAACCAUGAAUAAAUAUGUUAAAAGUACGAGCAUCUGGGGGGAUGUGCGAUUUAAGCUUCAAGAAAAUUUCCCGAGCCUGCCCAACUUUUUUCUCUUUGCAAAGUGUGUCAAAUAACAAAUUCAUGGAUUCUGUAUUCUUCUGCAACCCGAACUUUUCCAACUCAUCAAAUAUCCUUACAGCAUCUUCCCACUCUCCUGCACCAGCAAAUCUUCUCAUAACCUUUGCUAUGGUACUAAGCGAGACAAGAUGAGCCAUGUUCAUUUCAUCUACAAAAGCACACAUCUUUUCCAUCUGUUUCAUUCUUCCCAAUGUGUCCACCACUUUAUCAUAUAAAUUUGGCAAGGGCUUAUAGCCUCGAUGUAAUUCUGCCCAUCUGAAAACACCCAAUGCAGACUUCCAAUCAUCCUUUAACCUGUGCAGCAGCCUAUUAAUAAGUUCAUCAGUUAUCUUUGUAGCAUCACAAGCAGGGUCUUGCAUGAGAACCUGAAAAACCUCAUCUUCACUGUUUACACCAUUAAUUUUAUGCAUAAGAAGAUGAAAAUCGAAAUCUCUUUUCAAAUCUAUGCAUUCUUGUCCCUGAUCAAAAUCCCUUUCUCGAAUGAAAUGGUACUGCCUCACCAGAGAGUGACUACAGAAGGCAGAAAAACAGCAAAGGUAAUUUCUAAAUAUAACAUGGGAAGUGGCUUGGUUUACCGUUGCAAGUAAUAUAUUCUUCCUGGAAAUGGUGCUAGACAUAGAAUAUCACGAAGAAACGUGAAAAAUUGUCUUUCUGCUUGUUCAAUCCAGCAACCCUGCACACCAAGAAAUUAGUUAUUUAAUGAUCCUCAUUUCUUAUAAUCUGAAUACUUAUCAAAUCAUACCACAAACAAGAAUAUUCACGAAUUUAUCAAUCAAAGUGUACAAUUUAACCAAAAAAUGUACAAUCAACGACAUGCCAUUGCCAGCCGAAUAAGGUGCACAUUUGCUAUAUGUAAAAGAGAAGGGAAAUGGAAAAACAAGAAAUGACCAACUUUAAAAAGUGUAUAUAUAUUCCGUAGAAUGCUAAAAUAAAAACAUGAAAACAGUGAUUAGCAACUUGUUCUUUCUAAUGGUUAAACCUAAAACUUCUUACGCGCCAAAGAAACCACAAGGAAAAUGCAGGCAUUUAAGGUGACAUUUCCACGCCGGAAAACAAUAAGCAAUGCUUAUUAUUCAGCAAAAGUGGUAAACAUCUGAAAAGAAAACACAAUAAUGCCGAAGAAAUUUCAGAUUUAUUAUUUCUGUGGACUAACUACAGAUAUCCUCCAAAGUAACAAUCCAUAAACGAAAAGAGAAAAUUUGCAGCCAUUUCCUUACGAAAACUUGAUUAGGACAGCUUGUUAGCAAAGCUAAUAACAAGCCAGAAGUGGAAGAGUAAAUUCAUUAAUGAAAAUGCAAUGGAAGAACGGAGGGAUUACAACCCGUAAAGAUCACAUUUUUCAGGCACUGGGGUUGAUACAGAAGCUAAAAUAAGUAUACAAGCUGUUUGAUCAUAUGCCUCGGACCAAUAAAAUUGGCGAGCGCAUGAACUAUCACUGACACUAAGCUGGCAAAAACUGACAGCUUUGAAAAAUUUAAGCUCGAAAAGUAAAGAGCGGCGGCUUCAGACAGUAGUUUAUUCAAUCGAACGACAGGAAAAAAAAAAAAAGAAAGGAAAACCGCACUUCAUGGCAAUUACGGUUUGCAGAAUUGCAGCUACAGCCACAGCCCCAGAGAAGCAGAGGCAAUGACGUCUGAAAACUUCAAUUAGUAUACCUUGGGUGAAAAGGGAACUACGUCUCCGUAGGGAAUGACAACGGACGGAUUGCCGGCGGUCGCCCGAACUGUACCUUCGGUGAGGAAAUGAGGAAGAGUAUAUUUGUUUCUUGAUGGGAAUAGAAUGUAUUUGGGACGAACAUAAAUAAAAUUUACACACACAGCAAAGUAUUAAGGGCAAAAAGCCUUCUCGAAUUUUAACAAUUUUAUAUUUCUAACUCUUCGACUAUUAGUUGUACAUUUUUUUUGCCCUUGAAUUAUUAAAAAUGUACAUGUACAUCGACGUACAAGGUUAAAUGGAAAGAAAAAGAUUUUCUAUCGAAAUAGUAGAAAGAGCAACUUCAAAUUAGAAUUUUAAACUUUUCACACUCCAAGGAAUAUUUUGGUAUAAAAUUUAAAAUAAUUGGUAAAUUAGUGAUAGAUCUGCUAAUUUUAUUCAGUGAGAUUCAUUAAAAAUAGAGCCAAAUUUGAAAUCUACAUGAAAUCGAAGGCUUGGAAUGUAAUUUGAUCCAAUUUUGACAAUGAUAAUGAUAUUGAAUAAUUAUAGUUGUCAACAAACUUGAUUUGAGAAGGAAUAAUGUCAAAAUGACUUUAUUUUGGGCUAGUCUCAAUAUUUUGAUAUAAAAUUUAAAAGAAAUGGUGAAUGACAAGUAAAAUAAUUGAUAAAUCUACUACUCUUUAUCUAAUGAGAUUCAAUAAAAAUGGAGUGCAAAUUUGAAAUCUAUACGAAAAUCGAAGGUUUUGAAUGCAAUUUGAUCAAAUUUUGACAAGCCAGUGAAGAGUUGCACUUGAUUUGUACGAGAAAGGAGAAUAUAUAUAUUAAAAAAAAAACAUCGUUUAUGAGAUAGUUUCGUUAGAAUUAUCGGGUUCAAAUUUACGAGAGGACUAUAAAUACACGCUUUUAAUAGUUUAUAGGCUAAAAAUAUGCAAAUAAUAGUUAGAGGACUAAAAUUAUAAAAUAGUUGAAGAUUUUGAGAGCCAAAUGGACUUUUUACCCAAGUAUUAAUGUACAUCAUAUGACGUAAAACUAAACUGCACAAUCGUGCAAAAACAUUUACCUGCUCCAAAUCCAUAAUUUUAUAAUACUCAUGCUAAAGUUGACAUCUCCUUUAUUCGUACUUAAAAGGAUAUUUUUUCUAAUGAGCUACUUGGGCCUUAAAAGAUACUAGAUAAAAGGAACAUACACAUGCAUAUUGUUUAAUUUUCUAUUUUACAAUUACCUUUUCUAGCAUUUUUUAGCCAAAUAAUUUUUUUGGUAUAACUAUACAUUUGCAAAUGAAAAUUUGCAAAUAUGAUGCAGCAUAUCAUCCACUGCACGAAUUGUUGAAGAGACCUUGUUUGGAUAGUCAUUUUCCGUCGGAAAAUCACGUCGUUUUUCGUGAUCACAUUUCCCUAUUACCUUUUUUCCUUACAUACGUCAAAUCGCUACAGUAAUUUUUCUAAAAAAAAAUCCUAGAAAAUGCAAUCCAAACACUACCUUUGUCUAAUCUCUAACAUUUUGGCCGCACAGCAUUGCUCUAUAAUUAAAAAGACCUUCUAGGUCCUGUACAAUCCAAAGAUAGAAGGAAGAGUGUAAUAGCUCACUUAACAGAAAAUUGGCUUAUGUUCAUUCUAUCUAAGUCUAAACACUGGUACACAAUGAGCAUUGAAUAACUUAUGCCGUGCUCUAGAAAAAUGUUCCUUGAGCAGAAAAUCUUCUAGGGUAUCAGCGAAUCCACACAUUUAUAUUGACAAGGGAAUACCAAGAACUGUCCCCGCAGAGCCAGUUUCUUGAUAAAAUUUGAAAACUCUUACUUGAUGCAAACGUUCAGCUGGCGACAGUGUGGAGUUGCAAGCUAUAUCCUUCAAAAACAUUAGGGCUUCAGCCAUGACAUCAUUCAUUUGAGAAAGCACCAGUAACCUUCACACUGUGGGCUUUGGCUGUCCUAACAGAGAUGCCUGAACGAGAGAUGUCAGCGACGGAUGAAUCCGAGCCUUUCUCAUUGAUCGGGCAUCACUUCUUCCUUCCGCAUACUCCUCACCUAAUGGCCACCUUGGCCGCAAAUCAAGCUGUUUCAUGCACGACAUUCGUCAACAUAUUACUAUCCAAAAAAAGAUAGAAGCAUAGAUUCUUGCUACUUUUCAAAAUGAAAAUCCUCAAGACCACAUGAAAACAAAAGCAAUGAACCCAACCACCUGUAGAUACUACAUUUCCAACAUAAUUCUUUCAAAAAAUGGAGUUCCUCCAAUCUCCACUUAAGGUAGCCUGAUCCCUUAAUUUGUAAUCAGUUCACGUUUAAACAUGCAAUUCAUUUGUCCAGAUUAACUAAAUAGAGGAAUUUUGAGGAUUGCUUUACAAACCACGUUAACCAAACCUGAAGUAACACAUUUGCCCAAUUCUUUGCUUAUUCAAAGUUCAAGAGAGCAGAAAAUGGAAAUUGACUAAGCUAAUUAGCAUUACGGCAGCAAGUCUGAUCCAUGCGACCACUUAACUUUUUCUCCAUCAACUAAUAGGUUUUGGAAACCCAUAUGAAGUGAGAAGUCAUGAAUUAAUCAACUUCUUCUUUCAUAUGAGAAAAGAGGCAGUAAAGACGAAAAAUAUAGAGCUUACUCUUCUAUUAGAGAUAUAGCAUCCAAAUCAAACAAAUUCUAGCCAAAAAAAUCUUUAAAAAUCCAAAUGAAAGCACCAAAAUGACAAAACCUGGGCAUCUUCAGGUUCAUUGGCAGGUGGUGGAGGAUCAUAUCUUCCUACCCGGAAAUGUUCCACGCCGGUCCAAGCAAUCAUUACACCUUUCAGAACAAGCCAACAUUAUUCUUCAAGACAAGGCCCAACGUACUAGCUUUUCAAAGUUCAAAUAAUUUAGGGUUAAAAACAAAAAAGUCCCCUGUGAUAUACCUAAUAUACAGAAAAGGCCCACAUGGUUUCAAAACAUACAAAACGACACCUCAUGUUUUGAACUAAAUUAUAAACUAACAGAAUUUGUUAAACUUAACGAAAUGACAAUUUCGCCUGUUAAACUUAACGAAAUGACAAUUUCGCCUGUUAAACUUACCGGAUUCUGUUAAGUUUACCGUUAGCUUUACCGAAUUCAGUUAAAUUUUCAUUAAGUUUACCGGAUAACGAUUUCGUCUGUUAAACUUACGGGAUUCUGUUAAGUUUACCAUUAACUUUACCGAAUUCCAUUAAAUUUUCCGUUCAGUUUACCGGAUUCCAUUAAGUUUAACGAAUUAUAUUAGUUUACAAUUUAGUUCAAAACAUGAGGUGUCGUUUUGUAUGUUUUGAAACCAUAGGGGGUUUUUCUGUGUAUUAGGUAUAUUACAGGGGAUUUUUUUGUUUUUAACCCAAUAAUUUAACAUUACCAAGAUUUGGGCAACUUUUCCACAGAUGCAAAUGAACCCCUACCAGGCCUAAAACAAAUUAAUUAUGUUCUCAAUGAUGGGUAGAUAUCUAACAGAUUACCACCAGAAAUUGAAUGCCGAUGCAGCUAUUCAAUUGAGACUAGCCUAUUCACUUUAUUUUAAAUUGCAAAAGUAUUGUCUGUAAUGAGCACUUGGAUCCAUCCUUAUGUUGUAGUACACGAGCUUGAACCACAGAAACCACACACAAUCUAUCUACAAGUUAUUUGUCCGAAGUUUGUAUUUUUCAACUGCCAGUUAUUAAAAUCAAGUACCUCUGCAAAUUAAUCACUUUUGCAUUUUCUCAAUGUUAACUGAAUUAGCAGGAAAAACACUUAGCACCUUACCAUUAUCAGUACAGAGGCUAGGAGGAGGGCACAAAAGUUGCAGGGCAUUCCUUUCCACUACCUGAUUAAGGCGAGAGCGGACAAACUUGUUUGAAGCAACACCUCCGGAAGCUACCUACGAUGGGAGUAUAAAGAAAUUGCUCUGAGACAAUAUUCAAACCAAUAUAAAGCAACAAAGCGCAUGAAGUCUAGAAUUCGAGAGUACAACAGCGUGGAAGCCAAUUGGGAAUCUUAUUUCACGCACCAAAUACUUCACAGAAGGCUCAAUUUUCAAUGCCCAUUCAAUUGCUCGUUGGCAUUUUUCCUCUAAAUGUAAUACUGCAACUCGCUGCACAAAGAUACUUCGCCAAUGUUUAAAAAAGAGUAAAGCAAUAAAGAAGAAGAUGCUCAUUGAACACUAUUGUUAUAUUAUAUUUAAAGAAAGCAGACAUGUGGAACUAUAUGUUAAAAACUUGAUUUUAUUUUCUUUUCAUGAAAUAAAUGCCAAGACCAUUAUCACCUGGAAAGAGGCAGCAAUAUUUGCCCUUGCACCUCUAUCUUCACUACUAGCUGAAGAAAUGGGGAUUUCAGCAUUGCUGCAUGCACAACGUCCAAGGAACAAAAUAAGGUCAGAGGUGAUGGAGAGAAGAGGAACUUUGAACAUCUAAAUGUUGAAAUGAUUGAUUGCUGGGUUAACCAACAAUAGCUGCAGGGACAGAAAUUUGUUCCAACUACACGAUUAAUACUUUUUCCAAGCAUAUUCAACAUGAUUGACACAGCUAGAAAAGAAGAUUCUUUUAGAUCUUUUGGCAUAUUUUCCCAGAUAUGCUAUAGUCCACAGCUAAUAUUUCAGCAUUUUAUAUCCAAAUAGAAGAUUCAAAAGGAAGAAUCUGGGACAAGACGUGACCUUCUUAUCAACAGCAAUAAAGACAAUAUUUCUUCAUGGGAAAAACAAUGUUUUUCAUAGGCUAAAAGCACCUACAUAUUCUGUGCUUCGAUUUCCAACCUCACUUGAUUCUUUAGCCCUGCAUAUGAGAAGUUGCAGUCUUUGUGUUGUUUCAUAGGAACCUAACAAACAACCACUUCAAAACCUGAGCUCAAUAUGAAGAUCAAAUUCUGGUCAAACUGUUUCAAAAGAAAACAAAUGACACUUGACAUAAAAUUUCUCCAAACUUACUCUGAAUUUGACUGCUUCUGCAUCUCCCUCAUGAGCUAACUCCUCAAUUGCAGGCCCUCCACUCCUCCUCAUAUCAAGACCAAGCCAUUUUGCAGUCUUGUCAUAUGCCUCCCCAAUUGCAUCAUCAACUGUGGUACCAAGUUGUAUGUAAUGGCCAAGAUCCCGGGCAAGAACUAAAAGGUUGUGUCCUCCUAAUGAUCAAAAUGUUAAAAGUGCAUUGACUUAAUAAGUUCUUCCCCCCAAACCCCCCCCCCUUCUUCCCUCUAAGCAAAUUGACUUAGUAAGUUAAACUAGUAACUAAGUUAAAAGGGUUGCGAAGACUCAAUCCAGUAAAUGACCAAAAUCAUUUCACCUAAGACCCAUGUGCCACUUUACAAAAAACAGUACCAGGAAAUGUGUUAGAAUAAUGUAGAGCCCUCUGGAGCAUGGUAAUUCAAGAUUUCUUAAUUUUCAAUCCAGGUAAUUGGUCCUACAGCACAGCUAAUUACUUUUUCUAUUUUUUUUAGCAGAACUCUAGUCUGUCUCAAUUCUUCUUCAAGUGUGUGCGUACUGUAGCAUUGAUGCACAUUUGAAAAUGGGAAAAUAAAUGUGACAAAUUUAAAUGAGUGCUGUGAUUUAUCAUACCUGAGAUGAGCAGGGCGAGAAAAGGGAAUUGCAGUUUCUUUUCUACUAACCUAGAGAGGGGAAAAAAAUUGAAUAAGGCAAAUGACUUUUCAUGAUAAGUUGAAGCUCAUACUCUUUCAACUUUCGACGAACUGAGCAUAGUUGCAUACAAGAUUUUUUUGAUAGUAAUAGCUACAGAUUUAUUAUUAGAAUUGGAGUGCAAAUUCCAUCCACGCUUUAAGGCCAGAUCUCUUUAUGUUCACCUUUACAGAUGAGGCACCGGAAGACAAACUAAUUGGAGAAAAACCUAAAUCAAUAGUACUUUUAAGUAUCAGGUAGAUUUCCAAGUGAUUUUCAAUGCCUCAUUUCUUCACAAACCAGUUAAGUUGACCCCUCACCAUAAGACAAGAAAAAUGAAAGUCAUAUCUCAUUAAGCACAUUGAGUAAUAGAAGUCUCUUAAAUGGACAAAAGAAGGAAACGAAAAGGUCAAAACAAAGGUCUAUCUUGUAAGCUUUUCUUGCAGAGCUCACAUCUUGCCACCAAAUACAAUUUUCUCCUCAGUUUAUUUAGUUCGUCUUUUCUACCACAUCAAUCAUAGCCAUUACAUUACUGAAUUCUCAAUUAGUGGCUGAAAUCAUGAAUGAUCCCCCCCCCAACCCACAAAACAAAAAGAAGAACCCACAAAUUUUCCAGGAACAUGCAACCAAAAAUCAAACUGAAGCCAUUUAGCAAAGGAAAUAGCAAGAAGAUGCAAAAUUUAUAUAUUGGCUUACAAACAACACAUAAAGCUAUUGUAUUUUACUCAACUAUCUGAUAAAAUUUCAGGGGAAAAAAAGGCAACAUGGCUAAAGGGCAACCAUGGCAUUGAAUUCAAAAAAGUAACACUCCUAAUAUGCUUUUAAAACAAUUUACAGUAAUAUCUUAAAAAAUGUGAUUUUGAGUAUGAAUUGAACAUGUAUUACCUAGCUACUAAGGCAUGUGCUUCCAUGUGGUGCACCCCCACUAUGGGUAGAUUCAAUCUGCCAGCAAUUUUCCGAGCCUUUUGCACACCAACUACAUGUGAAUUGAAGAAAGGAUGUUUAAGGAAUUUUAUCAUGUUGCUCUUUGGCAAACAAACAUCUAAAUAACAUGAUAGAAUUGUCAUUUGACAUCUUAAACAUACAAUGAUCCCUGACAGGGUUUCACAAUUUCAUAUGGUCUAAGGUUAAUGCUUAGGGAAACCAAAUGGUUUAUCAAUUAGAACCACAUCAUCUCCAGAAAAUUCAAUCAAGUUGAGUUCUGGAGUUUUAAAUUAAAAAAAAAAAAAAAAUUACCACGCAAACAAAGGCUUAAACCAGGACCAAUAGUGACUGCAACUGCAGUAAGCUCCUUCUCAGUCAGUUGAGCUUUAUCUAAGGCUUCCUGUACUACCUGCAAAAUAAAUUAUUAUACUUGGAAGAACAAACAAGAAGAGUAAAUGAAAGAGUUACAACUCUUAUUUGAUAAUACACUUUAAGCCAUGGAUAUAUCUUCUUUAAAAUUCAAAACUGAAGCAGGAAAUCCUAAAUAAGAAAUUCAGAAACUAAUUCAAAGCCACUUAACUAUUAUCAUGAAAAUAGCGUAAGGUAAGAAAGAUACAGCUAGCAACCACAAUCUCAAGAAAGCUGUUCUAGUAGAUCAUGGAACUAAAAAGGAAACAAAUCAAUAAUGAUGAUAUAGUUCUGCAACAAAAGCAAACUGAAGAUAAACAUAAUUGCCAGAACGCUGACAGCAGUAAAAAAGGCAACUCCAGUUAAAGACAUGUCUUUUAAUUUUUUUUCUUUUUUUUUUUGGUUGCGAAUAAAAUCAAGCAACAAACUUAGUUCUUCUAUUACAUGAAACACAAAAGCAGAGUUUGAAAGCCAGAAAUGGCAAAUAUCAUAAACUACACAAAAAACACAGAGAAGGAUUAAAAAUCAUAGGCAGCAUACUCAUGUCUAGAUUCUGUACCUGAUCAAUUACUUGUGCAUGUGCUUGUUCAGCCAUUUUAGGUGCAACCCCCCCAUAGCGAGCAAGCAGAUCCGCCUUCAUAUCAUUAGAAUUCAUAUUCAAUACAACAGAUACCACAGUUGCAAAAACAAAGGAUGGUUUGUAUUGCUUGGGAAUUUUAGUAUAAAGAACACACAGAAAAUUUGUUUCUACUAUUUGGGGAGUAAUGUACAUAGACAAUAGUGACAGCAACUUGAUUAUAGUAUAAACCUGCACUAAGUUUAUAACCCAGCUUUCAUGAAUUAAGAUUAAAUUUUAUUAUUACAAAAGCUAACUUAUAGUACUUUGUAUCUUGACAUGAUUAAGCACAACAAAAUGUCAAGAUCUAUACGAAGCUUAGAGUAUAACAACUAUCAAGAAUAACAAUACAUUUACAGUAAGAACAGAUAUAUGUACUUGUACUAAGAUCAGCUACCAUCAAAGUUUUAUUCCCGCUAAACAAGAUCACAUUUUUUAUAUUAUGAAAGUAGCAAGAGCCAGCAGAAUCUUUCAUGCUUCUCAAUAAUUCUCAAUCACAAGCGCGUCAAUUGAACUAAUGCACAUAAGCAAAAGCCUAAUACUUUUACUUACACAAACCUAUAAGACAAUACCUGAGAAGCCACAACUUGGCUCAGAAUCUCACCACUGCUUCGAACCUGAAAAUCCCAAUAAACAAAAAACAUGUUAUUUAUUCUGUAAACAUACAGAACCCCCUUCAAAAAAUGUUGCACCAUACAAAAGAGCGAAAAGAUAUUCAUAACCUACAACAGCAGCCGCAGUAUCAUCACAGCUGGUUUCAAUGCCCAAAAUGACUAAAUUAUCAUCUGAGGAUAAUGGGUUUUGCUUUUGGACUGCUGCUGAUUUAUUGGAAUACGAGGAAACUAAAUGGGGCGGACUAGAAUUGAGUGGAAAAGCAGAGGAGAGAGGUGGCAAUACAGGUCUGCUUGGAAUUCUCAAAGCUUUGAAGGCUCUAAUUGUUACGUAUUGAGUGGUUUUGUGAAGUAGGUUUAGGCGCCAAGAAAUUCUUGAAGAUAGGGUCGGUACCAACCCCGUCAUCUCCAAGUCCCGCCCAGGUAGGGUGAGUUGAGUGACCUGAUCUUCCUUGGUGUGCCGGUGACCCCAAAUAGGACGUAGAUUUACAUCUGGGCGGAAUUGCAAAUUUCCGGGUUCAUUGGUUUUAGAAGCAAAUAAUGCGAAUUUUACGAUUAAACCUCUGUCAAAGAGCUAUGGCAAUUUUAAAAUGAGACACUAACGGCAUUUCAAUAUUGUUUAAUUUCCUGUCUGUUCUUUUUUUUUUUGGUCAUUGUCCUUUUCCUUUCACUUUUUUCUUACUUUUUUUUUUAUUGUUACCUUUCAUUACUAGAGAAUUUUUCUUUUGAAAAAACGAAAAUUCUAGCCAAGUUCACAUUUUUGCUCAACUAAAACUACUGUGUCACAGAAAAAAAAAGUAUUAUUUAGACUUUUUUGGGACAAAGAGGAAUACUAACAAUACCAAAAAUACGUUGAAUUUGACUAAAAUAUGUGCAAUUUUUGUUCAAUUUUACUAUCAGUGUCUUAUUACUGUUGACAAUUCAUCAAAAAAUUGACUGAAAAAUCAAACAAAAACAAUUUUAAUACAAUCAAAUUGUGUCAAUUAAUUAGAUAUGGUUUAUUGUUUUAAACUAACUAAACCAUUUCAAACUUAAGUUGUAUUGCUCGAUUUUGGUUCUUGACUAUCAAAAAUUAAAAGUUUGAAAAAACUAAAGUUCUUUUUUUAAAAUAAAAAUGCUGUGUAUUUAAUUUUGUUUUUCACGAUGCACUGGAAAAAUAUAGUGAUUUGAGUGCUAUUAGGUGUUGAGAUCUUUCCUUAGAUAAAUUAGAAAUAUUUGCUUGGAAAUUGCAAUGACGUAAUUUGUGAGUUGCUCUCUAUUUUUAGGGAAUUGAGAAAAGAUCGCUAAUUGUUAAAAAUAAAAAAAUGAAGAAAGGAUAGCAAAAUGACUUUCAAAAGCACUAGAACAAUAUGCAAACUCAAAGGAGUUUCUGUCAAGAAAUGAGGUUAAUGAAACAUUCGAAGUUGUGUGGAUCUUUUACAAGGGUUUUCGGCGGAAUGGUAUAAAUAGAGGAGUGGUCGAUUAUGUCGCCAAGCCUGUUUUGAUUGAUCAAUAAGUAAAGGCUGAAAAACCAAAUUAAAGUGCUAUUGCAAUGGCUGAUGUUAUCGAGUUAUUGUUAAAAGGAUUAAUCGCACUUUAUCCCCUUUUAAGUAUAGGUCAUUUUACACUUUAUCCUUCAACAUUUGUUUUUUGUCAGUCUACCCAAAAAUUAAUGGUCAACUCUAAUGGACAUAAACAGAAUAUUGAAAAGACAAUAAUAUCCUUAUGAAAAUAUUGAACAACCCAAAAUGCCCAUAUAUAUUGGUUUAUGAAACGCAAGUUUUCAAAAUUACCCUGAAAUAAUGGAGGAAAAUUUCCUUCCAUUUGGCACGGGACAGAAAAAGAAAAAGAAAUUAGGGAACACAAAAGGUUCCCUUUUGUUAUUGUCGGGUCACUUUCUCUUCCUUUUUGCCAUUGUCGGGUCACUUUCUCUUCACUUGUGCCCGAAGCCUCAGCAAAACCUCCAUUAAAAAACUUGAAAAUUCACCAGUAUCUUGAAUGGAAAAACGGGCAAUCGAUGAAGUUGUUAGCUGACGGCAGAAUUGAAUUUGAAAAUUGUGAAAGGAGAUUCUGAGAGCUUGGGCAACCCUUAAGGUUAGAUUUUGCAAUUUUUUCUCGAUUUUAGAAAUUUCUAAUUUUUAAUCAAUUGUAUUGCACAAAAACAACGAUAUGGGUUUUUUUAAUGGCUACAUGGGCUUUAACGUGUAGACAAUUAUUUGUUUGAAAUCUAUUGGUGUGGUCCCUUGAAGUUCAUAACAAGUCAUUAUCGGGUUAUGAUGAAAAUGAUGGGUUUUUAACAACUUUUGUUUUUUUUAAUUAUUAAUUUGCUGGAUUCUUUGUUUACUUUGGAUGGUUAUAUGUCAGCUGUUACAUAGACAAACUAGGAUUUUUUAUUUUUGUGGGACAAUAAAAGAUGCCUGCUCUGUAUUACCUGUGCAUGCACUAAAAAAGUUGCCUUUGUGUGAUUACAGAAGAAUGGAUUUUAAAACCUAUGUUUUAUAGGUUCACUACGGAGGCCAUUUUGCCCAUGUCCCAAAUUUACAGUGUGUGCGGGAAGAAUUUGCUAAUUUUGAUGAUGUUGACCCUGAUUUGAUGUCAAUUUUUGAGUUAAGAGAUGCUUUUAAAGACGUUGGAAUUUCACAUGAAACAGAGGUGUGCUAUAGGGUUAGGAAUCUUGACCUUGAGGUUGGUCUUAAACUGUUAAACAGUGACCAGAUAAUUCUAGAAAUGUUUGAGGCAAAUAGAACUCAAAGCAUCAUACAACUUUAUGUUGGUGAGAUCCCUGAAGAAGAUUUGCAUGCUGAUGGAACUAUUGUAGAGGAUAAUAUUGAGGUUAAUGGUGAACAAAAUCUAAAUCCUAAUACUGAACAACCCCAAAAUGAUGAGGCCGAAAGUGAUACUUCAGAUGCUUCACAUAAAGGUGAUAGGGAUGGUUGUAGGGAAGUUGAAUAUGACUCUGACUUUGAUUUUUUCCUAGAUGGGGAUGAUUUAAAUGAUACAUGUGACUCUGUAGAUGAUGUAGAGAGGGAUGGUGGUGAAGUAAAUUGUCACCUAAAACAGCCUGAAUAUAUUAAGUAUGUGGAACUGAUUAGUGAAGAAUAUAAUGCAUACCUUAACUCCAAAGGGAAUGGAAAACUGGUCGAUGAUGACGAUGUUAGUGAUGAUGAAAUACUUAAACCAGAUUAUGAUUCAAAAAAUGAAGGCAUAGAGCAUGAAUUUCCUGAGUUUAACAUGGAAAGGGAUCUAAAAAAUCUUGAGUUGACUGUAGACAGAAUUUUCACCAACAUUAUGAUUUUAGAGCUGCAGUUAGAAUAUAUUCAAUUUUGAAUGGGUUUGAAGUUACCUUCACUAAGAAUGACAAAGACAAAGCUGUGAUUAUAUGUGCAAAUAAAUGUGGAUGGAGAAUAUAUGCUAGUGGCUAUAAUGGAAGCAAAGUUACACUUCAAGUGAAGUCCAUUAAAGGCGUACCUCAUAGAUGUCCAUGGUCUUUCAAGAACAAGAGUGCAAAUUCUAGGUGGCUGUCUAGGAUGUUUAUAGAGGAGAUUGCUGAUCAUCCGGAUAUGAAAGUAAAAGGGUUCGAGAAGAGCAUAAAAAAAAUAUAUAACCUGAACUGUACAAACUCUCAAAUGCAUAGAGCAAGAGAGAAAGCAGAGGAAGCACUGAAAGGGUCAUGUGCAAAGUAGUAUGCAAGAUUAAGAGACUAUUGUGCUACACUUCUACAAAGAAAUCCAGGUUCAGUGGCAUUUAUUCUAACUGAAAAAUCCCAACUUUGUAAAAGCCCAAUCUUCAAGAGAAUAUUUGUUAUGUUUACUGCACAAAAGGAAGGUUUUAUAAAUGUAUGUAGGCCUGUAAUAGGAUUAGAUGCAUGUCACCUUAAGGGGAUCAUGGGAGGGCAGCUUAUGUCUGCAAUUAGUAGGGAUGCUAAUAACCAAAUGUUCCCAAUUGCUAUGGCUCUUGUUGAGUCUGAGUGCAAAGAUAGUUGAGGUGGUUUUUGGACAGUCUUACUGAUGCCAUUGGGACUCUAAUUGAAAAGGGUUGGGUAUUUCUAUCAGAUAGACAAAAGAUCAGCACCACUACAAUCUGAUUUACUUUCCUUUAUUCCUCACUCACUCCUUUCACUAAUUCUGUGAUUUAUGUUUUUAUGUCAGGGAUUAAUUGAUUGCAUUGAGAAUAAGUAUCUUGCAGUGGAACAUCGAUUCUGUGUUAGACACAUGUAUGCUAACUUCAAACUGAAAUUCAAGGAUAAGUACCUAAGAGAUUUAAUGUGGGGGGGCAGCUAGGGCUUAUUUACCCUGUCACUAUGAAAGCAAAAUGAGAGAGUUGCAAUUAGUAAUCCCAGAAGCACAUGCAUGGCUUAGUUCCAUACCAGCUAACCUAUGGACCAGACACACCUUUUCUCCAAGGACAAAAUGUGACCUUUUAAGUAAUAAUAUAUGUGAGAGCUUCAAUCAAUACAUUAAGGAUGUUAGGGAGGAACCCAUUUUGACUAUGUUUGAAGCCAUUCAAAGGCAAAUAAUGUGCAAAUUUCAAGAAAAAAAAAGACUGGAUUCAAAAUGUGAAGUCUCAUAUUUGUCCGAGAAUUUGUCAGAAAAUUGAAGAGAGGAAAAAACAGGUAGCUCAGUUUGAUGCACUUGUGUCUACAAGAGAGGUGUAUGAGGUGACUGGUAUAGUAGGAACUUUUGCUGUUAAUGCAAUUCAAAGGUCUUGCACAUGUAAUGAGUGGGAUAUGACAGGAAUUUCAUGUGUCCAUACAUGUGUUGGACUUGUGCAAGACAACAAAAGCCCAUAUGCAUAUGUUGAUAAUUGUUACUCAGCGGAAACAUAUAAAAAGGCAUAUGCUAGUGUUAUUAUGCCUAUGUCAGACCAAACAAAUUGGGUGAAUGCUAGCAAUGACACAUUACUCCCAUCUCAUAAGAAGAUAGCCCCAGGUAGACCUAAGAAAGUUAUAAGAAAGACUCUAUUGGAGGACUUAUAUGUUGGAAAGCUGUCUAAAGUAGGGCUGCCAAUUCAUUGUAGUCAUUGUGGUCAUAAUGACCACAAUGCCAGAAGUUACAAGGUCACUGAUUGUUCAUUUGUGAGGCAAAAAAAGCAAGUGAAUGCUCAGGUAACUUCAAUCAAUAUAUGCUACUUGGUUAUUUUCUAUCUACAUCUGACUGUCAUUUUUUGAUGUGUCGCAAGGUACAAGGGUCUACUAAACGAGGGAGGGGAGCUCGUAGGGACCACUCUAGAAAUGCUGAUACUGAUGUUGAGAGAAAUGUUGAUGCUGAUGUUGUAGAGGAUGCUGAUGUGACUAAAUUUACUACUGCAAAAGGCCCAAUUAGAGCUAAAAUGAGAGGUAGAGUUACAGGCAGGGGUAAGGGUAGGGAUUCAGACCAUAAUAAUGACCAACUAUGUGGCAUUGGACUUUGGAAUGGCCAAGGGAUAUCAAUAAGUAAAACAUAUAUCCCAUUUGAGUCUAACAUGGUGAGUUUCUUUUUUAUUUGUAUGUAACUAAUUUAAUUUUAGACACUUGCACUGAUUAAAAACUACUUUUAUUAUGCAGAUUCCAAGUACUUCAAAAACUGGCCAGCCCCCUCCAACCCAACUGGUAAGCCUACAUUUUAAAACUCUGCAUGCAUGGCCAUUUUAUACAUGCUCACUUAUUGUUUCCUAUUGAUGAUAUAAUGGACAAGAACACCUACAUCUGGUGUCAAUUUGAGUACAACUACUGCUGUUGCUACCACCAUUCAAAAGCAACCACUACAAUAACAACUAAAAGACCAAAAACCAAGUUGGGUGAUGCUAAAACUGAAAGUUCUAAAAGCAAUUCAGGUGCUGCUAAAACUGGAAUGGUGAGUUCAAGUCUUUUGACUAUGUUUACAUGCUACCACCCCUAACAGUAGUUUGAUGCACUAAGAUACCCCUCAUCCAUGACUCUAGUUUCAAACCAAGAGUACUAGAUUUGGAGAAGCUGUGUUCUCUACCCAAGGAUCUUCAACUGCAAAUGGACGUUCAACAGUUAUACGCAUACCUGAAUGUGUUUUGAUGUGAAAUAGUGUUGUUGUUGCUAUUUUUGUCAUUACUAGUACUUGAUUGCUUGUUUUGCAACAAUGUUAGAAAUUCUGAUGUUGUUUUUCUUUUGCCAUUAUUUGGACAUGUUCUACGAUCAUGUUUUGGUUAGGUUCUACUAAAAUGGCCUUUGUUUGGGUGGCCAUGCAGACACAUGCUACGAUGUAAUCUAAUAUACAAAAUGCUUUUAAUUUAAUAUAAUUUUCUUUCAUAUAUAUUUGCUUACAACUAUGGUAGAUAAAACAGAUUUUUGUUACCUUUUGGUUCUGAAAUAGAGUACAUAUACAUAAUGCUAGCAAUCAGAAAUGUAAUGGCUAAUAUUUUUCUCCAUGAUGAAGAUCGAGCAGCUUUGACCAUCAUGUAUUGUUAUUGUAGCUGUUGGUUUUCAACUCGUAAGACAUAGACUUCUGUUUCUAAGGCUUCAUAUCUGCUUUUCAAUUUUUCAUGCUCCCUUUGUAAGUACAUUAGUUUCUCCUUUCGCUCCACCAGUUUAGAUUGCAGCACUGCACUUACUUCUUUUGUUUUGCUACAAACUUCAGGAUCUACCCAUGAAAAGUGUCCACAUGCGUGUCGGAUCAAAAUAAAAAAAAAUUAGUUGUUUAAACUCUUUCUAACUUAUUCAGGUAUAGAGCAAAAUUAAAGACAAUGUUAACAAAUUAUUAAUGAAAAAUUUUUACAUUGUAAUUUGAAUAGUCUUAAAAUUUUCUUCCCGAAUUUUUAAGUGUCCAAGAGGCAAGAGGUGCACAAUGAUGUCUCUUUACCACAUCCACAUAUUUUUUGGGGUGAUCUUUCAACAUUAUUUGAAGCACUUUGUGAUAUUUUAUGAUGCUUUUGGUUGACAAAGAGAAAUUUUAGGAACUUUGAAGAGAAAUUUUAGGAACUUUGGAAUAUGCUAAAAUGUAUGACAAAAAUUGGCUGCAAAAUACCACCUUUUAUAGAACCCAACCAACGGCUUUUUGAGGGAAAAAGUAGGCUAAAAGCAUCAGACACCAUUGAGGGGCAUUUUUGUUAGCCAAAACCAACAGCCCUUUUCGUAUAGCAAUUUCAAAAUCUUGAAAUUUUUAACGGUGCAAUUGCUGACGGAGGGAGUAAACUGACGAAAAACAAACGUUGGGGGGUAAAGUGAGAAAUGACCUAUACUUAAAAGGGAUAAAGUACGAUUAACCCUUGUUAAAAUCCCCCAGUUCCCCUUCAAACCAACUGCGCAAGAUUGAGAUGUACAGAUCCAACAGAGUCAAUAUCCAAGGAAACUUAUGCCUGCAAGUGACGGAGUCAGGAUUUUUUUUGGGGGGCCAAAAUUUUUUUCUAAUAAAAUUAUUUUAAUAUAUUAUGUUCAAAAUAAUUUUCUUCUUUUUAAAUAUAUGACAUCUAAAAAUAUCAAAUAUUAAACUUAAUUAUAAAGGUAUGUUUAUUCAUAAAUAUGCGGUAUACUCAUAACAAAAAUUAAUAAAAAAAAAUAACUUUUGAUUAAAUAUCUUGUAACAUCACAAACCAUCCAAUUUGCACAUUAUGAGAAGAUGCUCUCCAAUGUGUCACCUAUGCAUAUAUAUAUAUAUAUAUAUAUAUAUAUAUAUAUAUAUAUAUAUAUAUAUAUAUAUAUAACCAUGUAAUAUAAAUGUAACUAUUUUCAAUUGAAAAAAAAUAAAAGUUAUGUUAACAUAAUUUGAAAUUUCAACAUCUUUUCUAAGAAGUAAAUUGAGUUCUACGCUCUUUCAUAGAACUAAAUGCAUUUAUAAUUGAAUCACUGCUAAAUUUUUCAGCAAUUUCAUUUUCUAUAUACACAGUUAAACAAUCAUUCAAGAAAUUAUCUUCCAUCUUGUUUUGGAACUUUAUUUUGAUUAUUUUCAUAAUUGAAAAUACCCGCUCUGUAGUUGCAGUUAAUACAAGAAAGUAAGAACACAUCUAAUCAAUCUGUCAAUAAGAGAAUAUAUCACUGAUAUUCUUGUCUUCACCAAGUCUUGACAUAACUCAUGAAUACCGAAUAAUUCUUGCAAUUCAGGAUGACUUGGAAUGUCGAGUUCAAAAUAUUGAAGUUCUAUUCUUAGACGUACUAGUUCUUGCUUUUAACAAUUAUAAAUUGGGUCUUUUUAGCCCAUUAACAAUUAUGAAUUGGAUCUUUUUAUUCUAAUACAUCACAUUGGGUCAAUUUACUAUGGAACAUCAAAUUAUAUGUUUAAUUUUUGAAAGUUAAAUAAUUAGUACAAUAAAAAAUAAAUAACUUUUUUUGAAGAAAAAAAUUAAUUCAAAGAUGACUAAUUCAUAUAUAUAUAUAUAUAUAUAUAUAUAUAUAUAUCAACUCUCAUAAUAUAAACUAAAAUUGUAAAAAUUUAGGGGGGGCCAAUUUUAUUUUGCACACAUAUUUACAUAUCAUGAAUUAAAAUUUUCAAAACUUAGGGGGGCCGUGGCCCCCUUUGACUCCAUCAUUGCCCGCACCCAUUACAGAUAUUACUCAUAAGAACUUCAUAUAUAUGUCCCUUUUCUUUCCUUUUUGUCAAAUAAGAACUUCAUAUCAUUUGACAGUAGUAUUAUUUGCAUGCAUCUCCAUUAAUUUUUUAUAGUUUUUUUUUAAAAAAAAUUCAAUAGGUUCGACUCUAAUUACCACUAUAAAUUAGAGCAUGCUUCCAAAAUCACAAGUCACUUAUAAAGAUUAAUACAAUAAUGCCUACCAACACUUCAUAUUGAUAUGUAGUUCUUUCCACUGAAAUCAAUUGAUAUGUAGUUCAUAUUGAUAUGUAGUUAAACAUACGAUUUUGUGAGAAAGUACCACAUCCUUGCCAAUAAAUGGUCCACUUUGUAUUAGUUAAAAGUCAGUUGACUUAGCUGAACAAUCUACUGUGGUCCAAAAUCUUCCAAAUAGACAAGUAUCAUUAGCUAGCUACGUUACUAUAUAGAAACAACAGCAACAUUUCUCGUAAUGCAAUCAAUUCCCACAUUCAUUUGAAAAUCUUCAUAGCUUCCGACAAUCAAACAGUUGAUAACCAGAACCUCUUGAUCUAACAACCCAAAAGGGGCAAAAAAAAAAAAAAAGAUGCUAAAGUCUUCAAAAAGAAACAAAAAUUGAGCAGAUGUAGGCCGUACAUCCCCCAGGCCGUAGCGGUGGAUAUAUACUGAAACCAAGUACAAUAGAAAAACAGGAAGAAAGAAUGAAGUGUUCAUUACACAAUACACGCGAAUAAGUCACGCUGAAAUCUAGAACACCGUUUUUGAUUCACUGUUUCUCGAAAGAGUCAUGUAGUAUUAAUUAGUCAUCAAGUUAAGUUGAGGAAAGAAGGGAACAUAUCCCGGCAUAUAUCACCGGCGGCUUUGCAUUGCAAUUGCAUGGCAACCACGUAGUUAAACCACUAGAUACCAAGUUGGUAUUUACCAAUUCCCAUGUCCCGAUUAUCUUCUUGCCUCCUCCUAUAAAUUCUCUCUCGCCAACUUUCUCGCUUCUGCUCCCCCUUCUCAUCAGUAAGAUAAAAGAUGGAGAUGACUCAACAACAUAAAAUGUAUGAGAAUUUUAACAUGUCAAUCACCAGCAACGAGUCCAAAAUGUACACCUCUUUCUGUAUAAUACGUCAGAUUUUCUUCUUUCUUUACCUAUAUUGGAUUAGAAAUUUUAGAAAUUAGACUACGUACCAUAGAUAUCAUGCUUCUAAUUAUUGUCCCCCGCUGCAGCACAGAUAUCUUAUCAGAAAACUCAUGAAAAUCUAGCUUGCAGCAUUUUUUUUCCUUCUAAUUUGGUUAAUUUUAGUUGUACUGUAUUCAUCUUCUACAGGUUAAUGUGGCGCCUUUAAUUCUUUUCCAUCUAACAAAUGAGUUUCCUCGACCAUACUAAAGGUGGCAAACUUCGUCAUUAAGUUUCAGUACGAAAAUCAAGACGUUGAAUUCACAGAACGAGUCUCAAAGUUCAAGCCAGCCCUUUUAGAUAGACGAAGCAAAUAUAGAAACGUGGGGAAGCUAAUGAUAUUCAUGAAGAAAAAAAGGAAAGAAUACAAACAAAAGUAAAAUAGAGAAGGGAUGCAUUGGAUGUGAUGUGAUACUAAACAACACAAAACAAAAACAAAAACAGUAAAGGCAGCCACGCAUGUGAUCCCUUGCAGGAAAUUUUUUUUAGUGGCAUAGUGAAGAAAGUUUUUUGGGGUGAAAAAAGAGUCUUUUGGGGUAAAUUUUUUUUUUUCCUACAAUAAUCGCGGUCUUCCUGGCACGAGUUCAUCAUUUAGGCAUUUGCUGAUGUCUGUAUCACCAUUGUUCCAAAGUUCACAGCAGAGGAACAAAGCGAGCGACUUCUAAUUAUGUUGUCGUGUUAGUGAAAAUCCAUAAUUUGUGUCUAUCCUAAAAAAAUAUCAUAUGCAAUAAUGUCCCAUUUUGACAGUCAAAAAAGAAAAAGUAUUUAAUGUCACUUUUUCUCUUUCGCGUGUGAUUAAUGGAAUAUGAUACUUAACCUUAUCUAAAUUUUUUUCUUAUUGGUGGGGUUAGUUGAAAUAGUAAGUUGUGUCCCUAUUGAAAUCGUAGGCUGUUCAGUUUCUAUAUUCUACUUUGAUAAGAUACUUAAUUUGCCAUUUCACUCACCAGCUUUGGACAAGAUUUCUGAGACCGAAUUUGGUAAAACUCGUGUACAUUUUGGAACUAGCAUUUUCAAGCCAUUGAUAUGUGUAAUUUUGCUGGACUGUAAAGUUCUCAAAAUAAUCAUCAUGUGAAUUCAUACCUUUCUACUUCAUAAAAUGUGCUGUAAUUGCCUUCGACUUUGAGCUAUUUAACUUCAGUAAAGCCAUCCAGUCUUAUACAUUGCAACUAAAUGGUUUUACUUAAGACUCUCGGAUUCCACUUCAAUUUUGAUAUUGUUUGUAGUGAAUUUAAAAGAAUAGUUCAUAAGCUCUUUACAUCCAUGUUAUACUUUGGGCCCCUGUACAAUCAAACAAAUCUCUUCCCCAAGAUUACCUUUCAAAAGAAUGAUACGGCAUGUACAAGCUAUUAUAAUUGCGAGGUGUCUAUUAUAACAUUAGAGUGAAAGCCAUAUCAUAAAGGGUAAAUUGUUUAACAAAUUUUAGAACUUUUUAGAAAAGAAAAAAAUGAUUCUGUCUUUGGACCAUCAAAAGAGUUCUUGAAGACUCUCGAUGGCUGAAGGGACGUAAUCAUAAACUGAAAUUUAGGUACCUGUUUCUACAUAUUGUUAAUUUCAAGUACUAAUGAAAGUGGCUUCCUAGAUAUUAGGAUUUAGGAGUAAAGUCCUUUUAAGCUCAGGGCUUUAUUUGGAAGAUUUGUUCAACUGUGUAUUAUAUAUUUGUACUGGUGAAAGUAUGUUUCAUAUCAUUUGGCCACUGGAAUUCGAAUUACUAUCUUACCAUUAUUGUAUGGUUCUUGGAAAAUUUCAAGAACUGCACUUUUCUUUGAAAAUAGAUGUUCUAGUAUAACAUCUUUAAAAUUUUGAAAACUGCAAGAAAAACGUACGUUCUAUACUUUUAAACAAAAUUGGUGUUAGGUGGGAUGAGCUUGAUCUCCUAUAAUGCAGGAUGCAAGAAAUAGACUUCCAAAUACUUGCACAAAAGAUGGAUCUUUUGACAGGCAUGGGAAACCAGCGAUUAAGGAAAAAACCGGUGGAUGGAGAUCAGGGAUGAUUUUGCUAGGUACUUUUUACGUUUUCUUGUUUACUACACUCGCAAUCUUGGUAGCCUUAGUAGCCGCUUAUCUAAAUUAAAGUACCAAUGAGAAGCCUGAUUGGUAAGUUUACGAUUAAUUGGCUAAAGACAUGCCGCAAUAUAUAUGUGUUGUUAAAACAUCAUUUUAAUGUAAAUGACACAUUUUCCUGCUCAUGGCUUGUCUAGUCAAUGAAGGACUUGCUGCAGUUGCAUUUACUGGGGUGGAAGUAAACAUGGUUCUUUUUGCAAAGUCAGUCCUCAGGCAAUCAAAUGCAGAUGCAGCCAAUACGUUCAGUCGGUGGAUGGGAACCCUCAACAUUUGUGCUCUUAUAGGUGCAUUUCUCAGUGACUCCUAUAUGGGCAGAUAUGUCACUUGUGUUGUUUUCCAGACAAUAAUGGUGCUUGUAAGUGAACCUACCAGAAAUUUUCACUAGUUCUUUAGGUAUUUCCUCUUUUCUAUACAUUUUGGAUUGCUUCUCCCUGUGAUUGGUAAACUUCAUUGUUGUUGCAGGGUUUGAUUAUAUUAACUCUUUCAACGCGCAUAUUUAUGGUUGAACCAAAAGGAUGUGGGAGAAUAGGAGAACACUGCGAUAUUAAGUCACCACUUGAAACUGCAAUAUUCUAUAUAUCAAUCUACUUAGUAGCUCUUGGUAGUGGUGGAAUGGAACCAGCACUUGGUACAUUCGGUGCAGACCAAUUUGAUGAGGAGGAUACAGAAGAAAAGCGAUCAAAAACUGCAUUUUUUGGCUAUUACUAUGUCGCUUUGAAUCUUGGAUCGUUGAUUGCUGAAACAGUCUUGGUUUAUAUAGAAAAUCUGGGGAUGUGGGAGCUGGCCUUUUGGAUUUCAACAUCUGGUGGUUUUUUUGCUUUGAUUUUGCUGUUAUGUGGGAAUUCUAGAUAUAGGCACUUUAAGCCUGCUGGCAAUCCCGUUUCAAGGUUCUUUCAGGUAUUUGUGGCUUCUACAAGAAAAAUGAAACUCGAAGUUCCCUCAAAUGGGAAGGGGCUCCAUGAACUUCAGGAGAAAGAUGAAAAAGACAGUACCAGAAAUAUAGUACAUACAGAUGAUUUCAAGUAAGUUUCUUCAAGUCAUAUGCCUAUCAAAUAUCAUCAGUGUACAAAACAAUGGCCUCAUCUGUACUUCUGCAGAAAAUUGCUAUGCACUUUUACUUUCUAGACUAACUUGCAUUUAUGUCAUUUAAGAUUGUAUGAUAUGAAAAACUCGUAUAUGCACUCAUCGAAUUAAAAACUUGAGUUUAUCCAAUCUGACAGUUUCAUCAAAAAGAGAAUAAUAAAUCCAUUUUCAGGUUUCUUGAUCGGGCAGCUUUUGUGACAGCACCAGACAUGAUAACCAUAUUACCUGGCAAAAGCCAAGCUCCAAAUCCGUGGCGUCUCUGCACUGUUUCUCAAGUUGAAGAAGUAAAAUGUGUGCUGAGGCUAUUGCCAAUAUGGUUUUGCACCAUUGUUGCCUCCAUAGUCUUUGUACAAGUUCUUUCUCUCUUUGUUGAGCAAGGAGCUGCAAUGGAAUCAGUAAUCUUGGGAUUUCACAUCCCUCCAGCCAGCAUGACUGCCUUUGACAUUAUAAGCACAUCUACAUUCAUCAUUUGCUAUGAGAAGUUUAUUGUUCCUUUUUAUGUGAAACUGACUAAAAGGAAGCCAAAGACUCUAAGUGAAUUACAAAGAAUAGGAAUUGGACUGGUGAUUUCGAUUGUAGCCAUGAUAAUUGCAGGCUUUGUCGAGCUGCACAGACUAAGACAUGCAAUCCAAAAAGGUCAAGAAACUAGUUCCCUGAGUAUUUUCUGGCAGACUCCUCAGUAUGUAUUAGUAGGAGUAGCCGAAGCAUUUGUAAUUGUUGCCCAGUGGGAGUUCUUCGCUUCACAAACACCAGAUAGAUUGAAGAGCUUGGGGCUUGGUUUAUCGAUGUCUUCUUCUGCGUUAGGUAGUUACUUAUGCAGCAUAGCGCUGACAGUGGUGAUGAAUAUCACAUCGAGGCAUGGGAAGCCAGGAUGGGUUCCUGCAAAUUUAAAUGAUGGCCAUUUGGACAGGUUUUUCUUCCUUUCAGCAGCUCUCAUUGCACUUGAUCUGGCAAUGUUUGUCGUGGUGGCUAAGAGGUACAAGUGCAUAACAUUAGAGAAGCGAGAGGGGGGAGCAGAAGCAGGUGCCAUACCUUGAACUAAUCAAAUUGCUUCUCAUGUCUAUCUCUAUCUGGAUCACAAGUACUUGAAUGAGCAUUUUUGUAGCAAGAUCAGUAGACGUGGAUUGUAGAAGUGAUGUAAAACGCAAAUAUGACAACUUCAUGACGAAAUAUAGUAUUCUCUUUGUAUUUUUCUCAGUAGAUCCUAUAUAUAUAUAUAUAUAUAUAUAUAUGUGUAUGUGUAGUUUAUUAGAACUCUCUGUGAUGAUGACACCAGAAAGUACAGCUCAUAUGACCCCGUUUACAAGCUGGUUCAGCAACCAAUUAUGGUAAUUGCAGCAGUACCUUGUGCAGACAAGAAUGGUAUAAACAGCCACCCAGCCAGAUGGAGGCUCAGAUCUGGAAAGCCUCCUCGCCUUCUAUAACGCUUCUGGCACAGCAUUGGGAGUAAAUAAAUCUGCAAGAGGAAAUAUGAGACACAACCAUAGCGUAGCGUCUAACAAAUAAAACACCAUGUUAAAGUAAUAAAGAAAAGGCAGAAGACCUCUUUGGAUUAAACGAAAGAAAUAACUCAACAAGAAGAAUUUGGACUGAAGACAUUAUUCAUUCUUAUUUUUGUUCUCCACAAUAAUGAAGGAGAUUAUAAUGCAUGUAUGAAUUUUAACAUGGCAACCAACUAGUAAAUGGAACAGGAAACUGUGACAGUUGAAUUCCUUUUCGAGCUAGCUGCUCUUCAUACAACACUAGGGAGUGAAAAAUGCUUGGUGUGCUGCUUCCCUUAUGAAGCUUUUGGGCUUCAGUGUAGCUCUUUAUUGGCAACAUCUGUUCAUCACUUUGAUAUCUUUGCAGUGAGUUCUCUUACAAGCUUAGCAGCAACCAUUGCUGUCAUCCCAUCAACAGUAUCACGCUGGGGGUUGAAUUCCACCACGUCUGCAGCAAUAACAUUACCCUGAAGAUUGUGAAGUAUGUUGAGAACAUCACGGAAAGAGAGGCCUCCAGGCUCAAUGUGAGACACCCCUGGGGCAAAUGCUGGAUCAAGAGAGUCCACGUCUACUGAAAUGUAUACACCCUUCACCCCUUCACCAAGUUUCUGCAAAUAGAGUAGACAUUCAGAAUAAGGUAAAUUGAGUAUGAACCAGAACACCUUGAAGAGUAGACUUGUUUGUUUGCUCUAUAGCUCCCCUUGACCAAUGCAUAAGUAUUGGAUGAAAUGUAGAUUUCAGUUCGUGAAAAGGAACCCAAGCAUUUGACAAUGUCUAAAGAAUGAAAAUCAGCUUUGUGACAUAGGGAUUUUGUUUUGGGUCAGCAAAACUUGGACUCCAAGACUAGACGAUAAGAUGACAGAAACUAUGCAUAUCAAAUCUUUUCAAUUUGAGAGUUGCUAAUGAUGAACCUCCGUGAAUUUGUGUGUCUGUGAGAGAGAGAGAGAGAGAGAGAGAGAGAGAGAGAGAGAGAGAGAGAG